RNAcentral lists this long non-coding RNA (94826 nucleotides) under Lathyrus oleraceus (garden pea). RNAcentral's name for it is "Pisum sativum (pea) long non-coding RNA (PSAT_LNC003804)". The record is from RNAcentral. Lineage: Eukaryota; Viridiplantae; Streptophyta; Magnoliopsida; Fabales; Fabaceae.
AUCCAUCUCCUACACACGCAAGACAAAACAAAGACACAGGCGCCCGGAGAGAUCUGCUCAUCUCCUGCCUACGUACCUCAUCUGGUAUGAGGAUCAGGGCGACGUAGUUCCCCUACGAAGGGACACAGGAUUAGCCUAACCAGAUAACAGAGGGAAACACAACUAGGGAGACUACGACUCGAGCCUAGCUGUUAUCAUGCAAAGUUGUCCCUAAGUCGAGGUUUCUAGCUAACUUGCACAGGAAGCAAGCCUAUCCUAUUCAACACAAGCAGUAAAUCAAGCAUUCACAAGUAGCACACGCUAUAUGCACACAAAAGGGCUCAAUCAAAGGGUAAGACUGCAAGAGCAAGUCAUCUGUACAGGGGUGGUGUUAGCUCUUAACCUUGCCAUUGAGGGGCUAAGGUGAAGCUGAUGAGAGGAGAGUGAAGAUAAGACUUCACAGCUCUUAUCCCUGGUCAGGGAGAGCUUUAGACAAAGGAGUGUGGGUUCAGAAAGGAGGAACCCUUCUACACUCAAGACUCUGACACAACUGUACAUUGUACAAGAUCUUGGGUUUGUUGUCCAGAUGGCAUUCAACCACAGUUGGUUGUGAGCAAGAGGUACGACUCAACAGAAUAGUGGGAGAUUAGAAUUCAUAUUCUCUGAUCCCAAUUUGCCUCAUUUGAGGUUCUUUACCUGCUUGGGGACAGUCAAACAUCACAAACAUCGCCCUACUUAAGGCAGGACUUCAGACAGUUGCCUUGGCCAAGUAAACAGGCCAAGGUCUCCAGGACUACAUGGAGACAAGAAAAUGUUAUACCUCAGUGCAAAAAUUGCUUAUCAAGCAAAGCAAAGCCAAAAUAAUUAGCCAACAAUGGUUACCUGAAUCCAAUUCAAAUAUCAUCAGUAUACACUCACAGAACUAAACAGCAACGCGUUCACAAUUCAGCUAACUACAGGACAAACACAAUCCAAUGCACCAAAGUGCAAGCAACUCAAAGCCAAACAUCCUACCAAACCAAAACAAGUUAGUUGUUUAACAAUGGCAAAAUGACAUCUCAAUCAAAGUGAAUCCACCUCCUUAAGGAGUAUUUUGCCUCUUAACCUGAAAUUCACAUUCAAACAUGAGAUACAAGACCAGCUAGGAACAAGCCUAGGGUCAAAAGGGAGGAAAAAAGUUAAAACAGCAAGUGAAAUCAUGAUUCAAAAAUCAACAUUAAUCACAUACAAAAGAGAUUCAAUUGGUCUCAUGGUCAUUAAAAACUAUACACAAAUUUAAUUUCAGGCACAAAUUUAAGUUCAAGCAGGGCAAUUAUGAGUUCAUAUAGAGCAAACGAAUGAUUAUCACUCAAACAAAAUACUAAACCAGGCUCAAUAUUCCACAAAAAAAAAUGCCAGCCUAAACAAGACCCAUCAAUGAACUACUAUCAAUUUCCAAGCCAUUUGGACAACAGGAAGUAGGUUCAAUUGAAAAUCAUUAAAGUCAGCAGGAAAUUCCAAACAGCCAACAACAUGGUGCAAAAUGAGCAUUCAACAUUUCAUCAGUCAUUAAAACAGUGAGAACAUUAAGGAAUGAAUGGGACCCAAAAGCCAAACUACACCUAAAACAUGUUAUGAAUCCACUCCAUCAAUUUUCACAUUCAUAUGAUCAUUGGUAGUUGAGGCAUUUCACAAGGACAUGGAAGACAACUAGUCAAGCAAAACCCUAAAAAUGCUAAACAGCAGUGAAAACGUCACUUAAAUGGAAAGAUGAAAUCAACAAUUUCAUACAAAAUUUCAUGUGAAACUAGACAUAUACAAAGACCAGCAUGCCAAAAAUCUUGAGAUCAAUUGGAAAAGCCUAGGCAUGUAAAUAAAAUUCAUGACAAAUUGACCUAACCUAGUGUGACACACAAUUUGUCACACUCAACUUUUGCACACAUCAUAUCUACCAAACCCAGAGAAUCCAAAUUCACAAACUAUACAACUCAAUAACCCAGGCAAGGAGUCAAGAAUUAGCUGGUGAAUUUCAUUCAAUUUGAUAAGGUAGGAGUAUUUCAUGUUAAAAAAAAUGGUGAAACCUAACAAAGAAUGCCACACCAUGACCAAGAUCCCUAGCACAAAGCAAAAAAUCCACCAAAGCCAAACUUUGAAGCUAUCAUACCUAAUAAAAUUCUAGACAAAAAUUAUGAGCUAACCAAAAAAAACUCCCCACUAUUUUUGGAUUAAAAUGGGAUUUGAUUUGAUUUUUGUAAGAUUUGAUGGAAAUUAUUGAAUAAUUAUUUAAGUUUUCUAAUGAAUUUAAAUGGCAUUUUAAUUAACAGCGAUGGCAGUUUUGUUAAUUCAUGUCGCUUAGCCAAGCCUAAACGACGUAGGCAUUGUUUAAGCGCUGGUCAACACGCGGAUUUGCUUAUCCCGGCGGGACAACACAAAUUUGAAAGAACUGAGCCAGGCGGAAUCAAAUACGCGCGGAUUAGACGGAAACUUUGAACCAGCAGAUGCGUCUGCGUGUCUUAAUGGUCCAGAAAUGGUUUCGAGCUUUCUCAACGAAAUACGCAAAAACAAUUAUACCGUUGAAACCGUAUUGAGUGCGUACAUCAUUGAAUAUAUACAUGGAAAUCGUCCAGAAAGUUUUGAUCAGCGAGACAUCGAACGGAAAAUAGUUUUUUGACAUUCAUAACUUUAAUCCUAGAAUUUCCUCUUUCAAUAAUUCGCUUAGAAUCAAACUACAAGCAGCAUAGUACUCUACAAUGGUUGAAGAUCUACAAACGCCCUAUUCUCAUUGAGCCAAUGGUGAAGUUGAUUUCCACCCUCAAUUCGAGUGAGCAGUUCCGGAAUUCGAUGGAUUCAAGUUUGCAAACAAAUGGUCAAAACAAGCUGUUGCUUGAGUGUGGAGAGAUGAUUGGGACGCGUAUUGUAGCUUCAGCAACCACUCUUUAAAUGCUGGAAAUUCUUGAAUUUGCCAUUGAUGGAACGAUCUUGGAACAGUUGGAGUUUUUGAUGAUUUGAAGCUCUAAUUGAUGCCAAACGUGUCCUGGGAUCAACACCUGCAAAUGAGAACUACACCACGAUUUUGCAAUGAAACAAUGUGAAAUAUUGAUGAAUUUGGAAAAGAGGUGAAAGUUCAACGUGAUACCAGUGAAGAGAAGAAGUUUUUUGAUUUUCUGUUUUGGAAUCUUGAGCAAAAUGCAUUAGUGCUUAUUUUGCAAAAACAGUUGCAAUAUAUCUAAUUUAUACAAGGCUUAACACCAAAAUUAUCCCUAAUUCAGCAAAAUGGUAAGGUUUUUGUGUUAAUGUGCAAUUUUCAAGCUUUGCCAAAAUUGCCCUUUCUUAAACCACUGAUUUUUUCGUGUCCAAACUUGGUUCCAAACAAGUCACAAAUUGACAUUUUGAAGGUGUUGCAAAGUUCCCAUUCAAAAUCUCCAUGUAUUUCUCAAAUUGACCAUUUGCCCUUGGUUUUUAAUUGUUGCACUUGAAAAUUGACCUUUUUAUGGUGAAGCUUUUGGCAAAAUGUGAUGAUGGAUUAUGAAGUUGCACAUCAAAUGUGAAUUGCUCAAAGAAAAACCAUUCCAUUUGGCACUUCCAUCGUGAAAAUUGAUGGCACUUUGGAUUCUCUGCGAUUUUGGAAAAUGACUGGACCAUAUCUUUGCCAAACACACAUAAAGCCGAUGGAUUUCCAAUUGCUCUCUAGGACUUUAUUGGUGCACCUAAAUCGAGUUGACGCAUUCACAGAGAUCUUCAACACUUUGCAUGUGCGAAACAAAACCUCAAGUUUGAAGGCUGUGAUGAUGACAAAUGAGGGGAGAAAAACUAUUCAUUAUUUGGGCAGCUGAAAUAUACAGGUCGCCUGCCCAUUUUGAAAACUUCUCCUGUUCUGACCUCCAAAUCUUCAACCUUGGUCUAUUGAUAUGUCAAAAUAGACUUAUCAUGUACAUGAAUGAGGCCUUUCAAACCAUCUCACACCUUCCAAUCCAUAAAAUCAGGCACAACGUUGACCACAGUUGACUUUCUUAACUGGUUUCCAGCUGAAUUCAGCUGACUGAUGAGCUAUUGAUCAAUCAAAUCUUUUGCCCAAAACCAUUCAAAAAUGACCUUAGACCAUAUGAACCUUGAUAAAUCAAACCCUAGGGCUUAUGUUCUUCAAUGAAAAUAGCACAUUUGCUAUGCUUGCUUGCUUGACCUGAUCUCCUGACCAGUUUGACCUAAUUCUUCUGAAUGGCUUGCACUUGGGCAAAGGGACAAUGCAAUGUUAUGCAGUGGACUAUGUUAAUGUUAUGACCUAAUAUGGGAAUGUAUGUACAAAAGGUAGGGUGCAAAUUUGAGGUGCUACAAGAAUUAGACAAGGAAAUUCAAUGAGACUAGAAAUAAAAGGUCGGCCUUAAGAAAAAUUCAUGAAGCAACUGAUCCUCUAACACACAUCCGCAGGAAAAUGCAAGGCAUGGUACCUCCGCCCCCGUCCAACUCAGGGAGAUGCCUUUAAGAAAGGAGUUUCACUCUGGAUCCCUAAGUAGGAUCUUCCACCUUGGAGCCUUGUGAAGAGAUAGAUGCCGAAGACUUCAGAUGUGAUCCAACCAAAGGAGAUACCUCUGAGCGCAAAGAAGUUUCAAUCGGCAUUCCAGGAAGGACAUAGGCAAAAAACUUUUGACACGUUUCGACCACUCUAUGGUCUCCAAUGAAGGUUAUCUGCCUCAGAAUUUCAUAAUUUAUCUGUAACAAAUUCAAUUCAUUAUUAACCUGAAAAUGUAUAUAUCUUUUUACCUUGUUGUGUGCUUUUUUGUAUCUUUCUUCUAAAAAGCCCGAAACGAGGAAAUAAGGAUAAAAUGUAUGAUUACAUUUCUGAUACAAACUUAAUGCACUUCUGCAAUUCCAAUAUGACUUCAGCGUAUUCCGAGCUCACUGUGUAUCUGAUACAUAAUCAACGCAAUUAUGAGAUUCUGAUACGGCUUAAAAUGCACCAUUUGCAGGAAUGUGUGUCUGAUACAAACUAAAUGCAUUUAUGCAAUUCUGACAUGACUUAAUCAAAUUCCAUUUCCAAUAGUGUAUCUGAUACAAACUUAACACAUUCAUGCGAUUCUAAUACGGCUUGAAACAUACUCAAGUCUGGUUGUGUUACCGAUACGAACUUAACACAUUCAUGCAAUUUUGAUAUGCCUUAAACACAUUUUAUGCCCUAUUGUGUAUCCCAUAUAGACUUAAAUAACUUCUGCAAUUCAAAUAUGACUUAUACGAACAUCUCACCUCUAAAGCUUAUUAAACCCAAUUCAGGAUAGUUGCCCUCUGGAUAUAUCCAAUCAUAAGGCGUAGUUGGUGGAGCCUAGAGAUGUAUUCCUCGAUUCGAUCCCAGUCUCAAGGGCUGGGAUGAGGAUUCUACCCUUGGUCGAGGAAUGUUCCUCUAUGACACAUAGAAAUAGUACAACAUAUAACUAUAUAAAUUAGACUUCACCGAACCUAUGUAUUACCAGGGAAAAGCAAGAAAAUUUUAGAGACACUCUCACCAUAUUAUUAUAGAGAAGUGCGUUGUUUCUUUCGUAAAGCAAAAAACAGUAAAGGAUUUUAGGCCAAAAAUAGAUAUCCCGCCAUAGCUAGUGAAGGCCGAUGGUUUGAUCUAAACUUUGAAGUGAAUAAAAACUUCAAAGUGCAAAAAGCGUGCCUAGAAUUAUAGGAAUUCAUAAACAACGAUAAUGUUAUAAAAAAGAUUGUCACAAGGCUUUAAGGUUAAAAAUACUUGAAACAUCAAGGUAAAAUAUUUCAUUAUGAACUUAAAAUUAUUACACCCAUAGCAAAAAAGCCUGGGAAAUGUUGCAGGAAAUAAGCAUAAAAGAAAAAUUAAAAUCAAGUCGGAACAUCUAGAUCUGAGGCACCGUGAUCACCUCCCUAAAUCAAAUCGGGAGCAGACUUAAAUGGGUUCAUCUCCUUGCCUGCUCCACAACUCUCUCUCGGACUCUGAGAACCUCCCACAUAGUCUGUUGAGUAGCAUCAUGAAUCACAUGCCUCAGGCCUACCACCUCGUCCUGAAGAGCUUUCAAGACCUCUGCAUCUUUCCCAUACUUUUCCACCUAGCGAGCGUUUUCCUCAAUGGAAUUAGAAAUGACCUUUUAUUGCUUCUGUAUAUCCCAUAGGGAACCCUCUAGUUCAGUCAUGCGAGCCUCCAUGGUAAAAGGUGUCAUACCCCAAUUUUGUCCCUAUCCCGAUACAAUUUUCAUCUGAUCCAUGACCCAACUGCACAUGCAUACAUUUAUUAUUUCAAAAAAAAAUUGGGUAACCGGUUACCCUAAUCAGGGUAACCGAUUACCCGGACCAAAAACUGAUUUUUUGGCCAUUUUGGGACUGUGUAAUCGAUUACCCUAAUCAGGGUAACCGAUUACACCUACGCAGACAGCAGAAAUAACUUUGUUUUUUACACAGAGGACCCUUUGGUUCACCCACUUCAACCCCUUUGCUUCCCCUAUAAAUAGAGCACUAUCCUCACUCAUUUUUCAAGCUUGAAAGCCACAAAACCACUGUCCAAAUCAUAUUCAAGCUCCCUCUUUUCAACCUAAACCCUAACUCACCCAAACCCUCUUUUCUUCUUUGAACCACCCAACCACCAUGUAAAAAUCCACCAUUUCCACACAACAAAAACAGUAGCAAACUUGUGAUCUUCACUUACAUAAUCAUUCACCAUCACCAUAUAAACAUACACCUUCCUUCUUUUCCAUUUUCCUAUCACAACAACCAUAGCCACCCUCUUCCAAGCUUUUUGCAUCAUUCUCAAACCCAAACACAACAAUAACCUAGUUUUGACACCACACUCUUGGUAAUAUUUUGGACUCAAACUCCUUAACAUUUUUUGGUUUUGCUUUAUGUUUGAAAAUGAGUUUUUACUCUUGGGUUGUAUUUUGAGAGAGAUUUGAGCCAACUUUGAGACAAGUGUUUUUGUUGGGUUUACACCCUUUUGGGGAUUUUUUGCUCUUACUACUUUUUUAUCCACCAUUUUCAAUUCAAAACUUUGUUUCUGUAUCAUUUAAUAUUUAUUGUUGACUUGUUGUUACAUUUAUGUGGUUGAUGAGUUCUAUUAGAUCAUGACCAUGGUUGUUUAGAGUUGAUUAAAUCUUCAAUACUUCAAACCUAUUAAUGGUUGCUCAAUAGAUCAUUCAUGAUACUUUGAGGCAUUGAUAGAUUGUCUCUAUUUCAACCAUUCUUGGGUCAUUUGAUACAUAGAUGAAACCAUUUCCUUUACAUUGUUUAUUGUUAUCAUUUAAUAUUUAUUGUUGACUUGUUAUUACAUUGACUUGGUUGAUGAGAUCUAUUAAAUCAUGGCCAUGGUUGUUUAGAGUUGAUAAGACCUUCAAUGUUUCAAACCUAUUAAUGAUUGAUCAAUAGAUCUUUCAUGAUACUUUGAGGCAUUGAUAGGUUGCCUCUAUUUCAACCAUGAUUGGGUCAUUUGAUACAUAGAUGAAACCAUUCUCUUUACAUUAACUUGUUAUUCUAUUUGCUUAUUGUUAUUCUACAAACCACUAACUACUAACUCCUAACAUUUAUAUUAUUGCACUUUAAUUCCUUGCAAUUUAUUUUAUUCUUACUAACCAUUAACUACUAACUCCUAACAUUUAUAUCAUUUCAUUUUAAUUCCUUACAAUUUAUUUUAUGUUCACUAACCAUUAUUAUUGUGAUAUUGUCAUUCUUUAUCUUGUGAUUUACUUUUAUGUCAUUACGUUGUAAUUUACAUUCAAAUACUCAUUAUCAUCAUCAUUGUACAAACUCAUCAUACAUGUUUAUUUACUUGUUAUUUAUUUUAUUAUCAUCAUACAUUAAAAAUAACAAAAACAUGAUAAAAUGGUAAGACCAAAAAUAUUCACUCCACUCUUAAUCAACUUGGACUUAGAGGAUUUCAUCUUAGGACCUUUGCUUGGAAGCCUUCCUUUACUCUUUGUGAUACAUUGUAAACACUUGGAUUUUCAUCCGUAACUUACAUGCAUGUUGUAAGAAUAGCAUCAUGACACCACCUUAGAGGGACAUGUUUGUAAGACCAUUAUCCUUUGUUUAGCAUAGGUCACUUUUGCACACAAAAGGCUUUCUCUUGUGCUACCUUACAAUGAGACUCUUUAUUUUUUUGUUGGUUAUUUUGCAUUCAUGUUGCAUAAGCUAAAAUUCAUAAGCAAUCUCAUUUUGAGACCAUUUUCAUAAUUCAAUUCAUAUGCACAUGUAAAUACAAACCUCGGUCAAUAUCGAGUGCGCCUUUUCCAAAUCAAUUCAAAACACCUUGUAAGUCGAUCGCUUUUAAAGCAUCGCCAUCAACCUCAUAUAGCUUACUCUUGGGCUUUCUUACAAUGAGACCUAUUCGACUUUUAUCGAGUAGAAGAGCAAUACACUAAAUAAAUCCACUUCAUUCAAAACACAAAUCUAAAACCUCGAUCUAACAUCGAGUAUUUUCUCUCAAACUCAAUUGAAAUACCCCGAUUAAAUCAAAACAUUUUUUACAAUAAGUUAAAUGAAAAAAGGAGUUGACUUUGAGUUUUCAACUUCACUCCUCAAUUGGACGAAUACGAGUUUUCUUACUCGGUCAGUCGAACAAUUGUCAUUUUCCGCCAAACAUACAACUUAAUCGAAUCAUUUCCUUAAAAAGCUAUACGAAAAGAGAGAUGGUCUUGAGUUUUCAAUUCCUCUCCUCAAAUGCUUGGAUAUGAGUUCUCUUACUCAACCAUUCAAGCGCUUGUUGUUUAUUCUAAAAUACAUCAAUGAUACACAAACCUAUUUUCAUAAUCACUCAGAUGCAAAAAGAAAGUGGUUUAGAGUCUUCUAUUCCCUUUCCCGAUUAUUAGGAUACGAGUUGUCUUACUCGAUCGUCUGAGUAAUCGUCAUCCAUUCAAAAUACCUUAACUAUUAUCAACUCCUUUCAUAAUAAAUGAUGUAAAGGGAGGUGGUCUAGAGCCUUCAAUUCCUCUCCUCGACUAUUAGGAUACGAGUUGUCUUACUCGACUAUCCGAGUAAUCGUCAUCCAACAAAAUAUCUCAACACAUCAAAUAUAUCUGUUCUCGCUCUCAUACGAUCAGAACCAAUUAAACAAAACACCCAACAUAUUAAUUCAACUCGUCACCCCCGUGUGACUAGAACUCUUUUCAGAAAGAACACUGUUUAAUCCUUUCUAAUGCGCACAACAAACCAAUGCUUAAGCCUCCGCCGAGAGUAGACAAGCCAACAUUUAGCCUUUAGAACACGAUCUAAACAGCUGUUCAGUAAAAGACACCAACCAACUGUAGUUCCCCGAACUACGAAUGCUCUGAUUUCCUUAUUAUACCAUAAAGAUACGUAGGCAGGAGAUUGUUGUAUCUUCGCGAGCACACUAAUAAAAAACCUCCCCUUUCUCCUUUCUGAGGUUCUCAUCCAUUUCUAUAUUUUAUAACCCAAAGAUAACAAACAAACAUAAAUUAACACUCAAAACACACAUUAGAACUAAAAGGUUCCCGUUGAAUACAACGGACGUAAGGGGUGCUAAUACCUUCCCCUUACGUAAUCCACUCCCGAACCCGAAUAUGGUUGCGACGACCAUUCUUCUUCUUCUUAAAGGUUUUAUCGAUAUUUUCCUAUUCCUUCAUUGGGGUAAAUAAAGUUCGGUGGCGACUCUGUUCGAACACAUAAAUUUUCCGCGACCAUCGCGAGGAAUCGUAUUUUUCGAGAUGCGACAGAAGGUGAGCCAUGUACUUUCACUACCUCUCGCAAAGAUUAAUAUUGUUAACUUCUUCCUGCAAGAACACUAAAUUCUCCUUAAGAUUAAUGCACUUCAGCACCAUGGCUUCGACCUUCCCUUUCUAAGCAUCCAUCUCUUUGAAGGGAUUAAUGGGUUCCAAGACAUCACCCUGUCCAACAGAAACAAGAGAAAAAUAGAAGCAUAUUUGAACAUGUUGUGAGCAAGCUCCAAAUCCAUUUACAUCUUAUCCCCCUCAGGGAAAUUCUAUACGAAGGAUAAAUUUGACAUCGGGACAAUAUCAACAACCUCCUUAAGAGCGCGUGGGAGUUGGGAAGAGAAAAUCAUUGAUAUCUUUAAGAAAGGGUUCACCUCCCCAGAAGUAUCAUCUAGAGAAACAUGAGUCUGUAUUGGAGAACACUCAAUUUGAGAAGAUUGUUGUUCCAUUUCCCGAGCCCUUUUGGUCGAAACCGAAGGCAAAGUUAGUCCCCCCACCAUCAAUGUGGUUGAAACUUUCAUAAGAUAAUCCAUCUCGAGCACGUGUGUCGAAGCUUCUAGAGUCGAGGUAGGAGAAGGGGACAAAGGAGAUGCGGGGGCAUAAGAAGAAGUUCUAGUAUUCACCGCGUCCUGAAUACUUUGAGCAUCGAGAAGGUUGUAUAACAUGUUCAGCUUGCUAAUCUUAUCCCUCAUCUCCUUAAAAUCAACUACGCUCAACAUAACAUGAGUAUCAAUUACCCUCUUCAUCCCAUCAAAAGAAGGAACCUCAUUAUGGCCGAACUCAUCUUCGUAGUUAAGCCCUUGAAACCAAGAUUGCCUUUCCUUCUUCACUAUCACCUCGUUCGGAGAAAGAGAAGUUGGUUUGGUACAAUAGGAGAAAGAAGACCGGUUAAAGUGAAGCUUGGAAAUAUUUUGGGUACCUAACCCGACAAGGGAGGGGAGGAUCAACGUGAAGGUAACAUAAACAGAGUGAGGGGCUUCACCAAUAUAAAAUGUCUUAGAAAAUUGCCCCAAUCUAGAGUAAAGGGGUUGAACCACUGUUAGACUGGGCAGAAGCAAAUGCGCCCCUGAUUGCGAAAGUCACCUGGGGAAGUACACCUCAGAUGGAAAAGAUCGAAGAAUAAAUUAAAGAGGGCUUCCAAGACUUGUGCUCAGAGCACAAUUGGAAGACCCUUAUAUAUGCCCAUGAUCCCAGAUGAAGUUGGGAAGAGGAAAUCUUCAAAUGUAGUAGAACUUAAAUCUCAAAUUUAGAAAAAGGCAGCCGGAGUUCCACUCUUGUAAAUAGAAACUCAUAUAACAGGAUCAUGUAGUCAUCGAAAGAGCAACAUAGCCUUUUUUCCUCUAACACUGGAAGGACCAACCACUCUGAAGGAUCGUUGACUACAAUGUUAGCCUCGACAAAGGAGGCCUCAGUACUCAAAGUUAAGGAAGUACUCGCUACCUUUGCAUCUACCUAAUUAUAUAUUGGUGCAUCUGAUCGACAUCGAAGAUUUAAAUUCUCCAGCACCUCAGUGUCGGUAGGCUCACAACCUACAGUCCACAAGUGAAUCUGAAUGAAAUCUCUAGCAUGUUUCCUCCUUUACAAAUUGACAUGUACCUCCUCUUCCGGUAAUAUGGGAGGGGACAUAAGGACCUCAACGUGGGUUAUUCUUCUGCCAACAUUUGAAAUAAGAGCAUCUAACGACCCAAAAGAAGUUUCUUCCACCAGAGAAGUCCCAAGCGUCCCUUCUGACCUAUAAUCGUCAAAUAUGGAUAUAAUGUUUAGUCAUACCUAAUCAUUAUUAAGUGAAGGAUGUUGAGAAUCAUGAGAUGACCCAGAUGAAGCUUCCACUUCUGAAUCACUAACUAAAUCGACAAUGUUGUCACUCAUCCUAACUAAGGAAACAAUAAAUACUGAAGGAGAAACUUGAGUUAGAAUAGUACCUGAUUAUAAGAGACUGAUGAAGCAAGAGGAAUGAAAAAGGAAAAAGCUUUAAGCGAAUAUUUAAAUUGUUUCUAGUGAUAUUAUUAAGGAAGAAGGAACGAAGUUGUUUCCCUAGAGAAGUAACUAAAAUCUGGAAAUCUAAAAGGUUGCGAAAACUUCAAAAAAUUUAACUGACUCUCUUUAUAAGCAAUAACAGUUGAAAUAUCAAGACCAAAUAUGAGCAUAGAUUACAAGAUUAAUGACUAGAAUUCCACUUAUGGAAACACACGAAACUCAAGUGCACCUAAGCACUUCAUGAACUGCACCACAUUCUAGCCGGUCACGUCAUCGCAUGUGUCAGGAAUUGGUGACUAUGUGUAUCAAUGAUGAUACAUCAUUAAAUGCAUUUGUUCCCCAUUAUUUUUCAAAAAAAAUUGAUCCCCAAGAGAUUCAAUUCUAUUCCACACCGAACUACGACAUGAAGGUCAGUCAAUAAUACUUAAGACUUUCCCUGCCUCCUUUAGUGUCCGACAAAGCCUUGGGGCAACUAUUAUAGACCGGCUAAAGGCCUAAUACAUCUCAAAUCCGCUCUACUCAACCCAAAAUAUAAAAACAAUUCACAUUCUAUUAGAAGGUACACAAUCUCUGAUAUUCAAUUUUAGUUUACUCAUCUUAAAUCUUGAACUGAUUUGAACGUUGAAGUGUUAACCAUGCAGGUCCAUCCCACCACCAUAAAGGAGAUCAACGUCACUAUUCAAGAUAAAUAGUUAUCAAACUCUCACCAUAUCUGGUUCCCGAAUGGAACACAAGGUAUCGAUAGCUCGACAUUGAGAACCUCGGGAGACUCAUGCCAUUGGAGGGCCUCCUCUUUUAAAGUCCCCACCAUGAACUUGUGUUUCAGUGAGUUCAUCGCUCCGAUAAUCGUCAUUUGUGUGCUAAUGACAAUGAUAUGCUAUCGAGGGUUGUUCUUUCCGUCGAACGUUAUCAUAUUCUACGAUUUGAAGUUGUUUGGAACUGGAACAUUCUACAUUUAGCAUAGAGUGGCCAGUGGAAGUUGCUGUUGAUGUUGGUCACAGACAUUGUUACAUUGUCCUACAGUGUUACAUUUUGACGACGCAACUCCUCACAGCGGAUAGCAUAUCCGAAAUGGUAGCUAGUUCAUUUUUGAACUGGUGGCAAACCUAACCAGUGUGAAUUAACUGGUGUUGGUAGCGUGAUUUGUAUGAAUGUAAUGAAAUUACUAUGAUAAAUAUUAACCUCUAAUAGAGGAGAUUUUUAUUAAGGAAAUUCCAAUGAUUUUAAAUUGUGUUGAUUAAGUGAAGUCUAUCAUACCACGCUAUUUUGAACAAUAUACUUAUCAUUUAUUUCAAUAGUGUAACUUUUUAUAAUUCAAAAUAGUCUCUUCUUUAUGACUUUAAUUUAAAUUUUUUAAUUAUAUAUUUAUUAAAAUAAUAAAAUUUUCAUUUUUUUAAAAGAAAAACAUAUUUUUCAAAUUAAUAUAUUAUUUAUUCCUAUAGUUUUCAAAUGUUAAAUUGAGAUAAGAGUAUAACUUGAUUAUCAAAUGUGUGGGUGUUUUUCCUUUGGGGCAGAGUGUAGAGUCGCUGUUGAUAAUCCAGUGAUACCAAAGACUUUCUAGCGUUAGAGGCCAUAUAUAAACUAUUAUAUGACAACGAAUUUGCGAGAACAAACAAAUAACAGAGGUUAUAAAACUGAGGUAAUAUACAAUAUAUAUUGCCUUUCUUGAAAGGAACUGCAAAAAGAUAGCAACCAAAAGGAACAAGAUACAUAGGACUUAUCAAUAUGCAUAGACUUGACUCAUCAUAAAAUUAUUAUGUGCAUAGACUCGUAGACUAACAAAGGAUUGAGAAAUGGUCUUGCAUUCUUGUUAAAGAAAAUAUUGAAGGUAUGUUGUUUCACACUAGAGUGUACCUUUGUUAUAAUGACCCAUUUUUUUGAUGAAUUUUAUUUAAAAUAUAUAUUAUUUUUUAUUUGAUUAUAAUUAUUAAAUGUAUUUUAUAUUAAAAAGGAGUGCAAUGUUUUUCUAUAGUAGUUAAUCUAUAAUGUUCGGUUCAAAAUUAGAAAUGAUCGGUAAAACGAUGAGACACUGUUUUAUCUUUCAGUGCGGUGGAGAGGAGGUUCAUCUGCAAAAUUAACAAGCUAGAGAAUAAUGAGUGAUGUAGGAGUGAUGAAUAAUUUAAAGAGAUUAAAAUAACAAGCUUUAUUUCUUAAAUAGUAUGAGUGAUUAAAAUUGUCUGCGAGGAGUGUGUUGUGCAAUGUGGACAAACGUCUGAUUGAUUAGAAUGCAAAAUUAUCACAAGUGACAGAAUUAUUUACUCUAACCGAUAAUGGAGGAACAUAUCUUUGAGGACGAAAAGUCAUAUUUAUUUCGUGGAAAGGAAAAUGUCAAUUCAAUAGUAAUCAUUGGUGAAGAGAAAACUAUGUAGAAUUAAUUAAUAUUAUCUAUUUAUAGUGCACAUGACUUUUAUAAAUUGAGAACUCAUAUAUUGUAGUAUUAAAUCAUCCUAUAAUAAUCCAAGAGUGUGAGUUAACAUUAUUUCUUCUCAUUCCUAUACUUUUGUCUCUUAUUUUAGCUGUGUUAAUAUUAUUUCAUUUUAAUACAGGAUUGCCUUUGUCUUCAAUUUCCACGGUGAGAAAUUACUUUCAUUGAACUUCUCAAUCUCAAAUUUUAUUGUCAUAGUAAUUUCAAUUGAACCGGCUUGCACAAUUUCACCGCAAAUAACAAAGUAUAUGUGGACAAUAUUGUAUAUUUUUACCGCACAUUAGAACAAAUAUGAUAUGUGUUAACAAUCACUGUAAAAGUAUACAAUAACACGUAUGAAUAAUAAUUGUGAACAAUAUUUGCAGCGGAAUAGAGACCAACACCAAUAACUCUGAUACCAUUGUUGGGUAAUAGAGUAACAUGAAAUAAUAUGAACACAACUAAAAUAAGAGACAAAAGUUUAGGAAUGAGAAGAAAUCAUGUUAACUCAAACUCUUGGAGGAUUAUAGGAUGAUUUAAUUCACUAUUCUGUAUCUAUUUAUAAUGCAUGAGACUCUUAUAAAUUGAGAACUCAUAUUGUAGUAUUAAAUCAUCCUAUAAUCAUCCAAGAGUUUGAGUUAAUAUUAUUUCUUCUCAUUCAUACACUCUUGUCACUUAUUUUAGAUGUGUUAAUAUUAUUUCAUUAUCCUGUUAUCCAACCGUGGUAUCAAAGCUAUUGGUGUUGAUCCUUAUUCCGCUGCAAAUAUUAUUUAUGAUUACUAUUCAUACCUGUUAUUGUAUACUUUUAUAGUGAUUGUUAACAUAUACCAUAUUUGUUCUACGAUGCAAUAAAAAUAUACAAUAUCAUCCACGUAUAUUUUGUUAUUCACGGUGAAAUUGUGCAAAUCAGUUCAAUUAAAAUUACCAUGACAACAAAAUUUGAGAUUUCUAGAAGUUCAACGAGAGUAAUUUCUCCCCGUGGAAACUGAAGAUAAAGGAAAUCCUGAGGAAGGAAAAUUUCUUAUAAGCGAUAGAAGAUAGGGCUGAAGAUAUAUCUUAUGAGAACACUACGCCAAAAACUGGAAUAGACAGCGCACCUUAGAGGGUGCUUUCUUAAAGAAGCGCACUCUAAAGUGAAGAGAAAAAUAAGGAGGAAUAGACAACGCACUUUAGAGGGCGCUUUUGUAACAAAGCGCCCUCCCCUAAAGUGAAGCGAAAAAAUAAUGAGGAAAUGGAGGGACACCAAUAGAGGGCGCGUUUAUGAAAGCGCCCUCCAAGGGUACCCUUAGAGGGCGCUUUAAAAAAGCGCUCUCUAAGUCCAUGUACAUUUCCAGUUUAUAAAGCGCUUUUGGAAAGCCUUAGAGAACGCUUUUUAAAGAAGCGCACUCUAAAGUGAAGAGAAAAAAUAAGGAGGAAUAGACAGCGCACUUUAGAGGGCGCUUUUGUAACAAAGCGCCCUCUAAAGUGAAGCGAAAAAAUAAUGAGGAAAUGGAGGGACACCAAUAGAGGGCGCGUUUAUGAAGCGCCCUCUAGGGUACCCUUAGAGGGCGCUUUUAAAAAAGCGCUCUCUAAGUCCAUGUACAUUUCCAGUUUAUAAAGCGCUUUUGGAAAGCCUUAGAGAGCUCUUUUAGAAGCGCCCUCUCAGGCCCCCUUUAGAGGCGCUUUUUUUACACAAGCGCCCUCUAAGGUCCCCUUUACUAAACAUUAAAAUUAUAACAUAUAUACUGCAUGUCCUCUUUAUUUUCCCUCUCUAUAUGCUAUUUCGUUUACGUAACUGGGUUUUCUCUCUACUGCGAUUACUCUCUACUGCGAUUACUCUCGUCCUCCGUUCGUUCUCCUCCCUCACCGUCGUCGUCGCCGUCGCCUUUUCUGCUACUGCGUUCACGUUCACUGAGUUAUCUGCGUCCACCGCCGCUGUUCACUUUCUUCUCCAUCGUUACCGUCACCUUGAAGGUAUUUCUCUUCUCCAUCGUUACCGUUCACUUUCUUCAGGUGUUGAUUAGGGCAUUUUCUAAACUGAGUUUUACAUUUUGUGCAUUAUGUUGAUUAAUGUUGUUUAGGGCAAACGAGCACUAUAUGGUGUUCAUGAGCACCUUGUUGUAAGGUUUUUUAUUUCUGAUUGAAAACUGAUGUCAUUUGGAGUGUGUUUGAGCUUGUGCUUGGAAGUUUGAUGAUUAUGGAUGCAAGUUUGUUAUGUUCCAAACACCAUAAGUUUGCAUUGGUCUUUUGUAUGCAGUAGGUGUGUGUGAGUUUGUAUUCAAUAAUGAUGAAAAAAAAAGAGUUUAGAUUGUUGUAACAUGAGAGAAAUGGAAGGUAUAUGAAUGUGUUUUUUGUGUAGCUUCACGAAUAUGGUCAUUGUCUUACUUGGUCUUAUUGAAUCAUUUCUAUAUUACAGAUAAAAUGGCUAACCAAGACGAUACCCAUGACGCGAGUGGAUCACGUAACAAUGUUGAAAAAGAAAUCAAACGAGGAUUGACUGUUAUGAAGUCAAUCAUUCGUGCAAGAGACAAGGGUGAAAAAUUCGAAGUACAUUGGAGUGCUGAAGACCAACUAAUUGAGCCUAACGGUUCAAUGUUGGCAAGUUACAUUGGUUUCCUUGUUCGACAACAUAUUCCGAUUACAUGUGAUAAUUGGAGAAGUCCGGANNNNNNNNNNNNNNNNNNNNNNNNNNNNNNNNNNNNNNNNNNNNNNNNNNNNNNNNNNNNNNNNNNNNNNNNNNNNNNNNNNNNNNNNNNNNNNNNNNNNNNNNNNNNNNNNNNNNNNNNNNNNNNNNNNNNNNNNNNNNNNNNNNNNNNNNNNNNNNNNNNNNNNNNNNNNNNNNNNNNNNNNNNNNNNNNNNNNNNNNNNNNNNNNNNNNNNNNNNNNNNNNNNNNNNNNNNNNNNNNNNNNNNNNNNNNNNNNNNNNNNNNNNNNNNNNNNNNNNNNNNNNNNNNNNNNNNNNNNNNNNNNNNNNNNNNNNNNNNNNNNNNNNNNNNNNNNNNNNNNNNNNNNNNNNNNNNNNNNNNNNNNNNNNNNNNNNNNNNNNNNNNNNNNNNNNNNNNNNNNNNNNNNNNNNNNNNNNNNNNNNNNNNNNNNNNNNNNNNNNNNNNNNNNNNNNNNNNNNNNNNNNNNNNNNNNNNNNNNNNNNNNNNNNNNNNNNNNNNNNNNNNNNNNNNNNNNNNNNNNNNNNNNNNNNNNNNNNNNNNNNNNNNNNNNNNNNNNNNNNNNNNNNNNNNNNNNNNNNNNNNNNNNNNNNNNNNNNNNNNNNNNNNNNNNNNNNNNNNNNNNNNNNNNNNNNNNNNNNNNNNNNNNNNNNNNNNNNNNNNNNNNNNNNNNNNNNNNNNNNNNNNNNNNNNNNNNNNNNNNNNNNNNNNNNNNNNNNNNNNNNNNNNNNNNNNNNNNNNNNNNNNNNNNNNNNNNNNNNNNNNNNNNNNNNNNNNNNNNNNNNNNNNNNNNNNNNNNNNNNNNNNNNNNNNNNNNNNNNNNNNNNNNNNNNNNNNNNNNNNNNNNNNNNNNNNNNNNNNNNNNNNNNNNNNNNNNNNNNNNNNNNNNNNNNNNNNNNNNNNNNNNNNNNNNNNNNNNNNNNNNNNNNNNNNNNNNNNNNNNNNNNNNNNNNNNNNNNNNNNNNNNNNNNNNNNNNNNNNNNNNNNNNNNNNNNNNNNNNNNNNNNNNNNNNNNNNNNNNNNNNNNNNNNNNNNNNNNNNNNNNNNNNNNNNNNNNNNNNNNNNNNNNNNNNNNNNNNNNNNNNNNNNNNNNNNNNNNNNNNNNNNNNNNNNNNNNNNNNNNNNNNNNNNNNNNNNNNNNNNNNNNNNNNNNNNNNNNNNNNNNNNNNNNNNNNNNNNNNNNNNNNNNNNNNNNNNNNNNNNNNNNNNNNNNNNNNNNNNNNNNNNNNNNNNNNNNNNNNNNNNNNNNNNNNNNNNNNNNNNNNNNNNNNNNNNNNNNNNNNNNNNNNNNNNNNNNNNNNNNNNNNNNNNNNNNNNNNNNNNNNNNNNNNNNNNNNNNNNNNNNNNNNNNNNNNNNNNNNNNNNNNNNNNNNNNNNNNNNNNNNNNNNNNNNNNNNNNNNNNNNNNNNNNNNNNNNNNNNNNNNNNNNNNNNNNNNNNNNNNNNNNNNNNNNNNNNNNNNNNNNNNNNNNNNNNNNNNNNNNNNNNNNNNNNNNNNNNNNNNNNNNNNNNNNNNNNNNNNNNNNNNNNNNNNNNNNNNNNNNNNNNNNNNNNNNNNNNNNNNNNNNNNNNNNNNNNNNNNNNNNNNNNNNNNNNNNNNNNNNNNNNNNNNNNNNNNNNNNNNNNNNNNNNNNNNNNNNNNNNNNNNNNNNNNNNNNNNNNNNNNNNNNNNNNNNNNNNNNNNNNNNNNNNNNNNNNNNNNNNNNNNNNNNNNNNNNNNNNNNNNNNNNNNNNNNNNNNNNNNNNNNNNNNNNNNNNNNNNNNNNNNNNNNNNNNNNNNNNNNNNNNNNNNNNNNNNNNNNNNNNNNNNNNNNNNNNNNNNNNNNNNNNNNNNNNNNNNNNNNNNNNNNNNNNNNNNNNNNNNNNNNNNNNNNNNNNNNNNNNNNNNNNNNNNNNNNNNNNNNNNNNNNNNNNNNNNNNNNNNNNNNNNNNNNNNNNNNNNNNNNNNNNNNNNNNNNNNNNNNNNNNNNNNNNNNNNNNNNNNNNNNNNNNNNNNNNNNNNNNNNNNNNNNNNNNNNNNNNNNNNNNNNNNNNNNNNNNNNNNNNNNNNNNNNNNNNNNNNNNNNNNNNNNNNNNNNNNNNNNNNNNNNNNNNNNNNNNNNNNNNNNNNNNNNNNNNNNNNNNNNNNNNNNNNNNNNNNNNNNNNNNNNNNNNNNNNNNNNNNNNNNNNNNNNNNNNNNNNNNNNNNNNNNNNNNNNNNNNNNNNNNNNNNNNNNNNNNNNNNNNNNNNNNNNNNNNNNNNNNNNNNNNNNNNNNNNNNNNNNNNNNNNNNNNNNNNNNNNNNNNNNNNNNNNNNNNNNNNNNNNNNNNNNNNNNNNNNNNNNNNNNNNNNNNNNNNNNNNNNNNNNNNNNNNNNNNNNNNNNNNNNNNNNNNNNNNNNNNNNNNNNNNNNNNNNNNNNNNNNNNNNNNNNNNNNNNNNNNNNNNNNNNNNNNNNNNNNNNNNNNNNNNNNNNNNNNNNNNNNNNNNNNNNNNNNNNNNNNNNNNNNNNNNNNNNNNNNNNNNNNNNNNNNNNNNNNNNNNNNNNNNNNNNNNNNNNNNNNNNNNNNNNNNNNNNNNNNNNNNNNNNNNNNNNNNNNNNNNNNNNNNNNNNNNNNNNNNNNNNNNNNNNNNNNNNNNNNNNNNNNNNNNNNNNNNNNNNNNNNNNNNNNNNNNNNNNNNNNNNNNNNNNNNNNNNNNNNNNNNNNNNNNNNNNNNNNNNNNNNNNNNNNNNNNNNNNNNNNNNNNNNNNNNNNNNNNNNNNNNNNNNNNNNNNNNNNNNNNNNNNNNNNNNNNNNNNNNNNNNNNNNNNNNNNNNNNNNNNNNNNNNNNNNNNNNNNNNNNNNNNNNNNNNNNNNNNNNNNNNNNNNNNNNNNNNNNNNNNNNNNNNNNNNNNNNNNNNNNNNNNNNNNNNNNNNNNNNNNNNNNNNNNNNNNNNNNNNNNNNNNNNNNNNNNNNNNNNNNNNNNNNNNNNNNNNNNNNNNNNNNNNNNNNNNNNNNNNNNNNNNNNNNNNNNNNNNNNNNNNNNNNNNNNNNNNNNNNNNNNNNNNNNNNNNNNNNNNNNNNNNNNNNNNNNNNNNNNNNNNNNNNNNNNNNNNNNNNNNNNNNNNNNNNNNNNNNNNNNNNNNNNNNNNNNNNNNNNNNNNNNNNNNNNNNNNNNNNNNNNNNNNNNNNNNNNNNNNNNNNNNNNNNNNNNNNNNNNNNNNNNNNNNNNNNNNNNNNNNNNNNNNNNNNNNNNNNNNNNNNNNNNNNNNNNNNNNNNNNNNNNNNNNNNNNNNNNNNNNNNNNNNNNNNNNNNNNNNNNNNNNNNNNNNNNNNNNNNNNNNNNNNNNNNNNNNNNNNNNNNNNNNNNNNNNNNNNNNNNNNNNNNNNNNNNNNNNNNNNNNNNNNNNNNNNNNNNGCCUUUUUCAGAAAGCGCCUCUAAGGUGGCCCUUUAUAUGGACAUUCCAGAGGGGCGCUUUUUUCUGGAAAGCGCACUAUAAUGUGGCCUAAAGGCCACUAUAGACAGCGCUUUCUCCAGGAAAACAAAGCGCUGUCUUUACCUAUGCCAGCGCCACUUUAGAGGGCGCUUAAAAGCGCUGUUAUAGGCCAAAAUAAGCGCCCUCUUUUCCCUUAUUUGGCGUAGUGGAAAUGGAAUAAGGUGGAUAACAACGAUGUUGCCAAUUUACACUUAGCAUUGGCAGAUUCAGUUUUAUCUUGCGUUGCAGAAGAGAAUGAACUGCAGAGGGAGCAGGAAAAUGUCAACACUUCUAAAGAUAUCAUUACUGCUCAUAUAGAUGGAAAGUCUAUAGAAGAUGAUUCUUUUGAAGCAAAACCACAACACCAGGUACAAGAACCAGAGGAUCCUGAUGGUGUUGAAGUUCGACGAUCAACACGUCAGAAAAGGAAACUAAAUUGGCAGUCACACCAUUUUAUGGCAAGCCAUGAUGCAUAUUAUCUUCUAACAGAAGAUAGAGAACCAUCAAUCUUUCAAGAGGCUGUGAGUUACUCAGAUGCUUCUUUGUGGGUGGCAGCAACGCCAGAAGAAAGGGAAGCCUUACAUAGAAAUAAGACAUGGGAACUUGUUGUACUUUCAGAGGGUCGGAAAUCCAUCAACAACAAAUGGGUAUACAAGAUUAAGCAUGAUGGUAAUGAUCAAGUGGAAAGAUAUCAUGCAAAAAUUGUGGUUAAAAGAUAUGCUAAAUAGGAAGGAAUUGAUUUCAAUAAAAUAUCAUCUCCGAUGGUUAGACUUACCACUAAUAGAGUAGUGUUAGCUAUGUGUGCUGCUUAUGAUUUACAUCUUAAACAAUUGGAUGUAAAGACUUCUUUUCUUCAUGGUGAACUUCAAGAAGAAAUAUAUAUGCUUAAACUAGAAGGUUUUGAAGAAAAAGGAAAAGAAAACUUGGUUUGUAUAUUGACCAAAUCUCUGUACGGUUUAAAGAAAGUGCCAAGGUGUUGGUACAAGAAAUUUUGUUCCUUCAUUAUUAGUCUUGGGUACAACAGGCUGAGCUCAGACCAUUGCACAUAUUACAAGAGAUUUGAGGAAAAUGAGUUCAUCAUUUUGUUGUUGUAUGUAGAUGACAUGUUGGUAAUAGGCCCCAACAAAGAUCGAAUCCAAGAAUUGAAGGCAUAAUUAGCUAGGGAUUUCGACAUUAAGGACUUGGGACCCAUAAAUAAGAUUCUAGGGAUGCAAAUUCACUGAGACAUAAAAGAUAGGAAUAUUUGGCUCUCUCAGAAUAAUUAUCUUUGAAAAUUCUUGCAACGAUUAAAGAUGCAAGACUGUAAGCCAAUCUCUACCCCACUUCUUGUCAACUAUAAAUUAUCGUCGAGUAUGUAUCUUAGCAAUGAAACAAAGAGGAUAUAAAUGUCUUGAGUAUCGUAUGCAUCAGUUGUGGGAAGCCGUAUGUAAGCAAUGAUUUGUACUAGAGCAAAUAUUGCUUAAGUAGUUGAGACGAUCAACUGGUUUAUGGCAGAUCCAAGUAAAGAGCAUUGAAAUUUUGUGAAGAGGAUCAUGAGAUUCAUUAAAGACACCUCAGAUGUUGUAUUAUGUUUUGUAGGAUUUGAGUUUGUUGUCAGAGGAUAUGUUGAUUCAGAUUAUGUAGGUGAUCUUGACAAAAGAAAAUCUACUACUGGCUAUGUGUUUAUACUUGUAGGAGGAGCAGUGAGCUGGUUAUCCAAAUUGCAGACUGUUGUAGCUCUAUCUACUACAAAAGCUAAAUAUAUGGCAGUUACCCAAGCAUGCAAGGAAGCUAUAUAGAUUCAAAAGUUAUUGGAAGAGCUCGGACACAAAUAACAGAAAAUUGUUGUGUAUUGGGACAGUCAGAGUGCCUUGCACAUUACAAGAAAUCCAACUUUUCAUUCUAGGACAAAGCACAUAGGAGUUCAAUAUCAUUUCGUUCGCAAAGUAGUAUAGGAAGGGAGUGUGUACAUGCAGAAGAUUCGCACUAAAGAUAAUCUAGCAGAUAUUAUGAUAAAGUUAAUCAAUGCUGACAAGUUUAUUUGGUGUACGUCCUCUCAUGUCGUAACAACAUGGAAUUGACAAGUUGAAAAAUAAAUAAAUUUGGAAUCAAAUGGAAUGACUUUAAGUGGGAGAUUAUGAGAACGUAAAUUCAUAUUUGUUACGUGGAAAAGAAAAGGCCAAUUCAAUAGUAAUCAUUGGUGAAGAGAAAACUAUGUGCAAUUUAUUAAUAUGUAUCUAUUUAUAGUACACGAGACUCUUAUAAAUUGAGAUAUUGUAGUGUUAAAUCAUCCUAUAGUCAUCCAAGAGUUUGAGUUAAUAUUAUUUCUUCUCAUUCUUACACUUUUGUCUCUUAUUUUAACUCUUAUUUUAACUGUGUUAAUAUUAUUUCGUUAAUAUUAUUUCAUGUUACUCUAUUACCAACAAUAUCCUCAUGUUUGUUUUCAUUCAGGGUCUUUUGUCUUGGACAAUGUGAGCGGAGUCUAGAACAUAUAGUAUUUAAGUAUUUGAGACAUUAUUAAUCAGACACAAAUUUGACCUCUCUAAUGAACAUGUGAAUUAGAAUGAGAUUUAAUUCAUGACCAUUAAACUUUUUGUUAAUUUUUAAAAAAUUUAUUUAGAAUUUGAAGUCAUAUAAAUUUAAGACCUCAUUUAACAAAAUAGUUGCAAAAACAUUAAACCAAAUGUUAUUGAGUUACUUAUAAAAUCAAUACCGCCUCUUAAAUGAAGUGACUAUAAAAAUGCAAAUAACAUUGUGUAAGAGAGUUUUGGAUAAUUAUACGAGAGUAUACAAACUUUUAAGAUUGGCUCUUAAAGGUAUUUGCAUCACUUUUUAACUUUUGAGAUUGGCUCUAAAUUAUAAAAAUAUUUAACAAAAUAUAAUAUGAUCAUUUUUAAAAUUAAUAAGUACGUAGUUUAUUUUUAAAAAAUAUAUUGUUUUAAAGUAUAUUAUUGUCAUACUCUAAUUUUAUUCCACUAAAAUUUUCUUCAAUAUUCUUAAUUCAUUAAUUCAUGUGUACCUUGCAUCCAUUGCAUUUUCUUAAAAUAAACUUCUAUAUGUUGAGAACAAGGAUCGUUUGACCACUUUCAUCUUUUCAUUGCAUUUUGCAUUUAGAACUCUUAAGAUCAUGUUUGAAAAAUAAAUAGAAAAUGCACAUUUGUUUUAUUUACUAUUAUCCCUUGCCUUUUCUUUUAUCCUCAUCAUUUCAGUCUACCAUAAAUCAUAUUAAUAAGUCAUUUAAGUCAUGUGACUCAUGUACAUUUUAAUAUCUGUUCCAUCAUUUACACCCUCCCAUUAUCAUUCCAAAUUAAAACUCAAAGUAUAUGGAAUUCAUGUCAUAACCAUGUUCAAAUCACAUCACUCAUAACCAAAUUAUUUUUGAACCAUCAUCUCACCAUAAAUAAAUCAUUCUACUUUUGAAAUCAUGAAAUGAAGUUCAACUUUAAGUAAAAGGUGAAGUUCCAAGUGAAAACCAUAAAGAAAAAAAAACAAUUUAAAAUAAAAAUAGAGGUGAAUUGAAAGAAAAUAAUUUGAAUUAAAGUGAAGGAUACAUAUUUAAACUCACAGAAAGAUAUUAAAAUUAUAUUAGAAACUAAAAUGCAACACUUAUUAUAAAAUAGUUAUUUUGAGAUUAUUAUAAAUAAAAUGAACCCUAAAUUAUAUAAUCAUAACUAUGAGAUCAAUGUUAUGUAGUUUAAAAAUUACAUAAGUUAUCAAAAUAGAUCCAAGAUAUCAAUAUGCAUCCAAAAUACCGAGUUAAUAAGUUUUAGAAUAAUAGCACAGAUAUUGACAAAACAACAUUAUUUUUUUUUACCAAAAUUCAAACCAAUAAUCAGUAGGAUAAAAGGUAAAUGAGAUUAGUAACUUUUCAAAUUUAUCAAACUAAGCAUAUACUCUAUUUUCAGAAGAAGAAAAAAAAUGCAGAGGAGCCAAAAACAUAACUUGAGAAGAACAAAUGCAUAGUGAAAAAUAAAAACGAAAAAGAAAGUGGAAAAACCGACCAAAAUGGGAUCGGAAACGGCGUCUGGAGACAGUGAUUUGCGUGUGGGGUAUAUUUAGGAAGGAGUAGAAUAUCAAGUAUGUUUCAAAAGAUAUUUAAGAUCAUAUUAAUUUAAAUAUAAGUGAAUUAUUAAAUAAUUGAUAAAUAUAAAAUAAUUGAAAAUUGACUCCAUUUAUACAUCAAUUUGAGUGGUAUAUAUAUGGAUUAAGUAGAAUUAGUUAUCUUCUCGAGGAACAAAGAUAACAAUACUUUUUUCAAAAGAUAGUUUCAUCCUCAAUUUCGUUCGUGAAGCUUGAUACGUAACUCUGAUCAUCCAUGUUCUAAUACAUACCUUUACAAUAUGACAAGCAAUUAGUUUGAAAAAUAAUGCACCGGAAAUCCAAAUCAAUGAUUUAUGUGUUAGCGAAGUGGAAACUGAAAAAGUUUGCAUUGGUUGAAAGAAAAUACAAUUGGAUUUGACUUGUGAUGAGAAAGAGUUUUGGGGGGAAAUUGUAAUGGUCGAUUUUAAUUGAGUUAUGUUUUAAAAUUAUUUUGAGUUUUAUAAGUUUUUAUGUGUGUUCUAACAAAUUGCCAUAGACAAAUGUAAUUUUGGAUAUGUCUGUCAUUUUGUACUGAGAACAUAAGCAUGUUCAAAUUCCCAAAAUAUAUGAGUACACUUUGAACCUAACCUAUGAAUGAAUUUACAGUCUUCAUAUAUAUUAUGUGUUUUGCGAUGAAUUUAAACAAGUACAGCAUGUUAUGCGAAAAAUUGCGGGAGAUCCACUAAGGGAGCCUUGUUGUAUGCUAACCGCAAUCUGGUGCACUUUGGUGGCUUAGCGAGAAUUCUUGUAGCUAAGCGGGGAUGUCUGAAAAACCAUUUCUACUCUGAUGAUCUGAGGGCAUGCCAAACUUUUUUUAGAGGGGUGAAAUGGAAGAAAUAUCAAAUUAGGGCACUACAACAAACAAGAUCUUAGACAGCGCUUUUUUUAGCCUUAGACAGCGCUUUAAAGCGCUGUCUAAACCUCCGCUGCUAAAGGUUUAGAUAGCGCUGUUUUAAAUCUUAAAAGCGUUGUCUAAGCCCCCCCCCCUUAGACAGCGCUUUGGCCAAAAGCGCUUUAUAAGACCCUCUUAUUUUAAAAUUUUUAGGUAUACCUUAGACAGCGCUUUUCAAAAGCGCUGUCUAAGCCCCACCCCCUUAGACAGCGCUUUGGCCAAAAGCGCUUUCUAAAACCCUCCUAUUUUAAUUUUUUUAGGUAUACCUUAGACAGCGCUUUUCAAAAAGCGCUGUCUAAGCCCCCCCCUUAGACAGCGCUUUUGCCUAAAGCGCUUUCUAAUCCCCCCCUUAGACAGCGCUUUUUACAAAAGCGCUGUCUAAGGUAUACGAAAAUUUUUGAAGCUUUUGUUUUAAACCACAUUUUUUCCAGGUUUAUAAACCAGAAUUUCUACCUGUUUUCAACCAGAUUUUGACAGACAAUUAUCACAUUUUAUAUAUGCCAUUUUGGCCUUUUUUCUACCAAUUUUUGGCUAACAAAUAUAUAUAUAUACCAAUUCAAACCAAUUUUGCCUUAAAUGUAUCAAAAUAUAUACAAAUUUAUGUACACAUUUACAAGUCAUUACAUAUACUACAAAUGUACACAUUAAUUACACAAAUUUAUGAACAAACAUUGAGCUCUAUCAUGAAUUGACACCACUCCUCUUUGAUUUCGUCCACUUGAUCCUUUGUAUAAAAUGCACACUUGAAUUCCUCAAAGUACUACAUAAUAAUAUAACAUAUUUUGAAUUAAUUCCAACUAUUUAAUUAUAUGAGAUAUGUGUAAAUAUAAAAAUAACUCAUAAGUUAGAAAUACAUACAUCGGUGGGAAUCUUUAAUCGGCCCAAAGCAAGAGUAUCUCGCAUAAACCUCAACAUGAAAUACCCGCAAUCUAUUUGAUUACGUUGUUGAGGACACUACAUAUGAAAAAAAAAUAUGGAUUAUAAAUCCUAAGUUUUAUCAAGUGUCAUCACUAAUAUAAUAAAAAAUGUGGUAAUUAAAAAUAUACCGCCACUUUAAUCCAUGUAAUGGAGUUGGCGCCCCUCCUUGAGGUUUGGAUAUCUCGUUGGGCCCGAAAAGCUUGUAGGACGCUAAUAAAAUAAAAAUGAAGCAAUUAGAACAAUUCACAUAAACUAAGAAAAAUUUUGAACAUUCUCACUUACGUGUCAAUUAGGACCUUCAUAUCCGGGUAUGUUGUCCAAUCAUUUCCUAACGAGUCAAGAUAAUACACAAUUUCUCGGAUAGGAUUGAUUGCGAGCAACAACCAAUGUCCACUGUAAUGAUUAGGCAAAUGUUAGAUGGUAACUUGGAAAAUAAUUAUAAUAGAUGAAUUUAGAAUGAAAUGCUAACCCGGUAUUAAACGGUAUAAAAAACAACUUCUCCGCAUCUUUAUUGUCCAUGAGGAUCCGAAGAACGUACUCCGUCACGGUAUCCGGUCUACUUAAGAUUAAACCUAAGUUGACGGUCGCGGGUGCUAAGAAUCCGAAUGACACGUCCAAACCAUUGGGGCGCAUCAAUUUGUCAUACAAAAACCUAAUAUAAAAACAUCAUUAACACCUCUUUUGAAACAUAAAGUAAACCGGAUUAACAUAAAGUAAACAUCAUUAACAUAAGUUGUUUAAUUAAUAAAACAAAGUAGACCGGAUUUACCUAAUAUAUGUAUUGACAACGGUGACGCCGAUUUCUUCAUGACUAAAAACUUGCAUGAAGUCUUCAUUACCAAUCAUUUGGUCGUAAUCAAAGCCGAAAAUCCCUACCUCCAUAUGUACAGUCCGAACACCUCCGGUCGGUAUAUCGGUCAUCUCUAGAAAUGUCCUGAGGCACGACCUAUACUUGGUGGUAGGUUUUUUCCUAGCUACGGUCUUCUUAGCACCAAAACUUUUUACCCGUGCGGAGGCGUUGCUAACCUCCUUUUUUUGUUGUGCGGAGGCAUUGCUAACCUCAUUUUCUUGAAGCUACAUGUCAUAUAAAUAGUUAGAUCAAAUUAAGAAUGUAACAACUUCCAUGAAUAUAUGUCAUAUAAUUGUAUAUUACCUCUUUUUUUGAAGCUUUUGUUUUAAACCACAUUUUUUCCAGGUUUAUAAACCAGAAUUUCUACCUGUUUUCAACCAGAAUUUCUAUAUUCAACAUAAGACAAUAAAAAAUAAUUAAUAAAAUCAAGGGAUUGUGAUGUAAAACAUAUAUCUCCUACAUAUACUGAAGAAAUAUAUCCGUUAAUACAAAGAGGUAGUGAUUGUUAGAAAGUACCUGUACAACUGAGUAGAUUCGCAAAAAUGCUAGAAGACUCGCAAAGACGUCUCCAAAUAUAAAACUGAGUAGAGUAAACAUCAAGACUAGAAUGACAACAGCUCCAAUAAACAUAACAAAUUUGAGGAACAAAACAUAACCUAAAAACAAGUUAAAUCAAUUUCAAAUUAUCACUUCAUAAAGAGAAUUUAAUACUUUAUACACUAUAAAAACCCAUGCAUUAAGAGAGAAUUUAACUAGUCGAUUAAUAAGUAACAAAGGCAUGUGAUUGAUGGUCAAAGCAUCUUCCUGAACAAAUAUUGACUAUAUAUCUAUUAUGUAUGCUAUGUUGUGAAAUACUCUUCUCAUGGCAAAUCCAAAUAAUGCAUUAUACUAUGUUGUUGAAUUAAAUGUGAAAACUCUUUGUAUCUUGGAAAUGCAUGGGCAAGUAAGAGAAAAUAAAGCAGCACCCCUUUAAUCAAAAGUCCCUUAUUCAUCAUGUGUAAACUAUGCACCAUACUAUUGGGACUGCUUUUAAUAUUCUCAUGUACUGCAUUAUCUUGCCACUUAGAGCAACUUUUUAACUUCAUGAGAUUGAAAUAUAGGAAAAACAAUUGGACUUGUAUAAACUAACGUGCAAAUAAGGACAAUUAUAGUGGCUCUGCCACUCUAUAAAGAAAACAGGAUACAAACCAAUAAAUAUAUAAACAAAAUAAAAAAAAAUUAAACAAUAAUAACAUAUUAUGUCAAUUACACUGUUGUCGAUGAUGGAUGACGGUCCAUGGCGAGAACCAAAAUCCUGCAAUACCGACCGUUUUGCGAAAGAUCCUGCAAUACGAAAUCAUGAUUUAUAAAUGUUUCAGUCAUUACUAUACUUAUUAAACUUAAAAAAUGUGAGAAGCUUACCCGUAAUAAAGUAUCAAGUUCAACAACCUUGUCAUGAACAUUGAAAACAACUUCAUCAUUGUAGCUAGCUAGCUAGCUGGCUAAUCAAUUUGAUUUAACUAAAAUGAGUCAAAUAUAACAAAUAUGGAAGUAUCUAAGUUUGACAUGCACAUUGAAGAUUUUUAUAUUGAUUGGAUGAAAUACUUAAAUGGUGAUUACAAUCCUAAUAACAUAUUUGUAGGAAACUUAAUAAUUUCAACUAUGGUAGGAUAUUUUGAUAUUGGUCCUCCAUUAUUUCAAUGUCCUUAUUGUGGAGCAAAUAGGUACAGUGAGAAAAUGAAUAAAACAACGAGAUGCUACAUAUUCAAAGUUUAAAAUAUAUUUUGAAAAUGGAAAGGUUCAACUCUCACCACCUACAACUUUGCACAUGACAAAUUUAUCACAUCUCAAACUAUUUAACAAUUCGCACAACAACAUAUGUAGUUUUCCAAAUUCAACAUAUCACUAUGUUCUAGUUCAAUAAUUGUCGAUCUAAGUUCUAGUUCAAGAACAGUAAGUCUAUAUGUCUAGAAUAUUUAUUGAAAAUUAGAUCAAUUUUAGUAUUACUUUUAAUUUCAAAUUCUUACACUUGAAAUGAAAAAAUAGUUAGAUGAAUAAUGUCACAAUCUUGUAUUAGUAAGACUGCUUGAAAAUGCACAUCAUGAACAAGGAACUCCCACAAAAGAGAAUACUGUACUACUAAUAAAUAACAUGAUGUUACUAAAGUGUGUUUGAUCAAAGUACCCAUCAAGCCAAUCAUCUCCUCACUAUUGUCUUGUGUUAUUUGCAACUCCAAAGUCACCUGUCAAAAAAUUUGAACAAAACAUUGAUCAAUGUUAUCUACAAUAGAGAAAGAAGAAUUCUAGAUAGUAAUGUACCUAAAUCAUUUAGCUUGUAACUCUUACUAAAUACUAAUACAAAGCACAUGAACAUUUAGCCAAAGUAAUAUAGAUUGGUAUUGAUUUCAGAAAAAGAGAGUUAUAUGGCUUGCCUAAAAUUAUGAUAUCAACUUGUUUGUAAUUCCUUCUUAAUGAGAACAAGAAAAUGCACGUUGGACAACAAAUUAGUACCCCUUCAGAAAAUUUGAAAUUAAACAUGCUCACCUCUUUGGAAAUGUUGAUAUGUGAAGUUUCCACAAACCCUGCAUCAAAACCAAAAACUAAGUUACCAAGAAGAUAUUUAACAUGUAGAAACCACUUGAAGCUAGAGAGAUGUUUCUUAAUACUAGAGUACAUCAAAUCAAUUAAUAUACAAGCAGUAGUUCUAAAAGAGUAUUUUCAUAUAAAAAAGUUUCAUAAAAUACAAAAAUGGACAACACAGUGUAUACACGUUUUUACAAUAAAAAGUUGUGGCGUGAUUGAUUAAUUCAAUGAUUUAAAACCAAUUUUUUGAACAGGUUGAUGGAUUCUACAUUUAAUUCUCCAAUUUUAAACUCAAAGAUAUUGAUUCCCAACUCAAUAUCAAAGGUCAUCAUCAUCAGAAUAGAUUAAUUUCCAAGUACUUUGCCACAACUAUGAUAACAAAGUCAUUAAAAGUGAAAUCAAAGAGAUUUAAUACUUACUUCACCAAUAGUGGCUGCAAAUAUCAUAAACAAGUAUAUUAGUCUCCAAUACCCUUUUUGGAAAGUCUCCUUGUUGAGAUCAUGCGACCAUGAGAGUUGCCUUUCAUGCCCUUGUUGGAAAGGGGUUCAGAUGCAGUAGCUUGAAGGAGGGAAGGACUUUGCAUCCAUUUAUGAUAUUUGGGGACAUAGCGUUCCAUCUAAGGGACAUAUAUCAUCUUCUUUCCUUCCAAACUCACGCCCAUUUUCUUGUUCGUCGCCGUCAUCCCACGGAGCAAUUUCUCUCAUCCUCGCACACUCAGACUCACUCAUUAAUAUUUUUCGGCAAUUUGGAGGAGACGUGAGUUUUGUAAAAUGGAAAAGCCAUGGUUUGGAGGAAUAGAGGAAGAAGGAAACAAAAUUCAAGAUUUUAGGGUUUGACGGAAAUGUUUGAGAUCUAUGUGCAGGGAGUGGAAAUCAAAGGUUAUCGCUAUUAAAGAAUCUAACAAUCUUAGUACUUUUGAUAUUACAAAAUUGUUUGGAAACUUAGUCGAGCAUGAAAAUAAACUGAAAUGACUCGUUGAUAGCGAAGUAAAGAUGAAAAAGAAAGAGAAAGGUAAAGAAGAGAAACAAGAUAUUUCUUUGAAAGCUUCGUCAUAUAAGAAGUCAAAGGAAGAAAGUGACAACUCUGACAAAGAAGUUUCUAAAAAGGAAGAUAUGAGUUUAUUCGUCAGAUGCUACAAUAGAUACUUAAAGAGAAACAAGCUAAAGCAUACCGACAAAGGUCUGGUAAAUUUCAGAAAUACACACCCGCCUAAGAAAGAACAUAAGAAAAAGGAUAAUGAUAACACAUGUUAUGAGUGCGGAAAAUCAGGACAUUUUAGAACCAACUGUCCAAGUCUCACCAAACAUCAUAAUAAAAAAGAUAAAGAAUUCUACAAGAUGAAAGGAAAAAGCUUCAAAGUUUUUAUAGCCUAUAUCGCGUGGGGAAGAAGAGGAUGAGAGCUCAUCCUCUGAUUCUUGCUCAAUUUCAGAUGAUGAGUGUUCCAACCUAUGUUUGAUAGCAUAUAAGAAAGGUGAAACUUCAAAGAUAUAUACUUCUGAUUUUGAUAAUGAAUAUUCUUAUAGUGAAUUGUUGAAGGAGGUCAAUGAUAUGUAUACAGAUUCCAUAUAUGCUUUUAAGAAUAUUUCUCUCCAAAAAGAAAUGAUUUUAAAACUUGAAGAGCAUAUAAACAAUCUUAAUCACACUUUGGAUACUCUUAAGGAAGCACAUACAUCUCUAGUUGAUGAUCGUUAUCAUGUUUCACUUUAGUUGAAAAGAUGGAAAUAGUGGAUUGUGUUAAGUGUCAAUUUUUAAAAAGUGAAAUUGAAACUCUCAAAGGAUAACUAACACAUUAUACUUCACCAUCUUGUACUUGUUCCAGAUCUUCGAGUGAUAGAGGGACGACUUUCAAGAAAAAUCCUCAUGUCACUAGAAUAAAUAGAAAAAACAUUUCAGCUAAAAUUAUUCGUUAUUCUUGUGGUGAUAAGGGUUACAUUAGACCUCUUUGUCAUAUUAGGGAUGUUCAAGUUCCCAAUGGUAAAAUGACACAAAUUCCUAAGGGUACCUCAACUAAUCUCAAAAGACUCAACUAAAAUUGGGUACCUAGUUAUAUCUAUUGUUGUUUUGUGCACGAGUGUCUAGGAAUCUUUAUGAUUUCUCAAGACAAGUAAAGAAAGAUGAAUUUAAUCAUAUUUUUAAUCGUAUUGUAUUCUUUUUGCUUUAUUAGUGUUGUUAUUUGCUAAUGUUACUUGUGCGAAAAGUUUAGUCUUAGAUCAUCGUAAUUGAUAUGAUCGUUUCAUUCUCCUUUCGUGUAGUUUCACUUUAUUUAUCUUAUUUUCUUUUAAUUGUUUUCAUUACAUUAUGAUCAUUCAACUAUAUUUCAUUUGCAUCAAAAUCAUGAUUUAGUUGCAUUAAAAUCUUUUUCAUUAAAUUCACCCUGUAUCAAACGAUUUUUGCAUUAAAGUUUUUUUUAAAGCAAAACAUGUUCAUUCUAGUUCUAAUUUACCUUGACGAUAUUAUUUUCGGUUCUACUAAAGAAUCUCUUUGUCAAGAUUUUUCUAGUUUGACGUGGAGAAUUUGAGAUAUCUCUUAUGGGAGAGCUGACAUAUUUCUUAGGAUUGCAAAUCAAGCAAACCGAAGAAUUCACUUUCAUAAGUCAAACAAAAUACUGCUUAGAGCUUCUCAAGAAAAUCAAUAUGAAAGAUUCGAGAAGCAUCUUAACACCAAUGGCAUAAAAUAUGCUUAUUGACAAAGAUAAAAGAGGAGAGGAUUUUGACAUAACCAUGUAUAGAGGUAUAAUCAAAUCCUUAAUCUAUUUAACCGUGAGUAUGCCAAAUAUCAUGUUUAUUGUGAGCAUGUGUGCUAGAUAUCAAACAUCACUAAUGAAUCCCAUUUAAUAUAAUAAAAUGUAUUUUGAUGUAUCUUAAUGAAACCUCCCAUCAGGGUCUUUCGUAUCUUAAAGGUAGAGCUUGUAGCUUGGUAGGUUUUUAUGAUUCUUAUUUUGCGGGGUGCAAGUCGGAUAGGAAAAUAACUAGUGGUACUUGUUACUUAUUUGGAAGAUGUUUAGUUUUUUUGGUACAAUAAGAAGCAGCGUAGUGUUGCUCUUUCUACCGCCAAGGCUUAAUAUGUAGCCGCUGGUAGUUGUUGUGCAAAAAUUGUACGGCUAAAGCAACAAUUGCUAGAUUAUGAUUAAAAACUUGGCUGCAUUUUGAUUAAGUGUGAUAGUACUAGUGCAAUAAGUCUCACUAAGAAUCAAUUACUUCAUUUACCGACGAAACAUAUUGAGAUCCGACACCAUUUUCUUAGGGAUCAUUUGGAAAAAAGGUGAUUUUGUUUUUUAAUUUGUUCACACUAAAAGUCAACUUGCUGACAUUUUUACAAAAUCACUGUCAUUGUAUCCCUUUCACAAGAUGCGUAGGGAUUUGGGAGUCUUAGAGUCUUCAUGCUUUAAAUAGAAUACAUAUUUUUUAAAAUUUAAUUUGUUAUAUUUUGAUUUCACUAACACUAUCUUGUAUCAAAUCAUAGUUCUUAUUGACCACAAUGGUACGUCUCUAUAACUUGUGUAUCUGAUUUUAUAUCAAUGUAUGUGUUUGUUCUAGAGUUAUGCAUUGUUUAUUAUUAACUUCUUCAUUAUACCAAUUUCAUCUCUAACAUAUAUUCUUGAUCUAUCUACUUUGCAUUUAAGUCUCUUUAAAUGUGUAUUCCUAAUUAUGUGCGUUUGAUCAUUUGUAUACUUGUUCGUGAAUUAUUUAUGUUGUUAAUUAAUUCCUUUACAUAAUAGUUUUAGUCACUCAAUUAUUUGUUGUUAAAUGUUGGUAUUACAUGUCUAUUUGCAUUUCGUUGCAUAUAGCAUGUCUAUCUUCGUGUUCUAUAUCUGAUACUUGUUGUUGUAUAUUUUUCUUAGUUGUUUAGCUCAUAUGUUAUUAUGUAAUUAUUUGUUUGUGGUUGUUCAUUUGAUUUUUAGACGCAUUCCGAUCUAUAUCUUUUUGAUGUUGUCAAAAGGGAAGAAAUUGUAAUGUGAGUCUAUAAUUGCUUUAUGUGUGUUAUUUUGUGGCUUGUAUGCAAUGUUUCAGGGGAAACAUAAGUGUUUUUGUGUUUUGUUCAAAGUUGGCUUAAUUCCAAGUGAAAUCUUGCCAAGCAUAAAAAAGGGAGAGAAUGUACUUACAUGUCUCUAAUACAUUUAGAGGUAGCACCCCAAUACAAUUAUGUUGUUGCUUUUCUUAUCUCUUUCAUUUUUAAUUACUUUCGAUUAUUGAGUCUCCUUCAUGAUUGCACUUAUCUUGAAUUGGUUUUGAAAUGAUUUGUUUUUAGCAUGCAUAAACCAAUAUUUAUGUUUGAACUUGAUCAAGAUGCUUUUAGUCAAUUGCAUCAAUCAGUGGAAUAAGAACCAUAUAUGUUACUAAUUCAAGUUAGGUGGAAAGAAAAAUCUCAAAGUGUUUUGAAAAUUAUGAAAAAUUGAAAUUUUGUGUGUUUGAUUCGAAUCAAGCACAUAUCCUAACUUGAAUAAAAUAGAACAGAGGUCAACCAAAAAAUUUCAAACACCCUGAUUCAUCAUCAUUUACACUUGAUUUGAAUCAACAUUUACACUUGAUUUAAAUCAUACUUUUGUUGGGUCACCUCUAGAUGAUUUAAUUCGAAUUAUACUUUACACCUGAUUUGAAUUAGAAAGUUUUCUCACAUUUUCCAGUUAGAUCUGCUUAAAUUGAUUUGAAUCGGAAUUAACACUUGAUUCGAAUCAAGGGGUCUUUGAUUCGAACCAGACUUUGUUCUAGAGUCGAAUCAACUAUAAAAUGGGUCAAAACUCUAUUUUCUUCUUAUUUCACUUCACUUGCUCUUUUGAUUCAAAUCAUGAAUUGGUCUUGAUUCGAAUCUAACUAACUUUUCAACAAUUUUUUAGUGCUUAAUCUCAAGCACAUAUAAAAAUUCUUUUUGUCAUCUUUUUCAUUAAAAAAUAGUUCAUAAUCAACAAUAUGAUUUUCUGUGAAACCAACACCCUCGAUUUUUUAAAGUUCAAAGCCCUUGCAACGAAACUCAUACAUAUUCAACUUCGAUUUUAUUUUAGAUAUUGUUAACGAUAGAUUGGUUAUUGAUUGAAGGAGACACUGUCUUGAAACUAGUUGUUCUUAAAGAUUUGGUUGAGAUUCUCAGGUAGCUUGAAAGAUUGAGGUUUUUGUCGUUGGUGCUAAAAAAUUCCAAUGAAAAGAAGUAGGUUCUUCUCUCCAGAUAGACUUAGUAGUGAUUGCAUGGAAGGCUAUAGAUAAGACACAGUUCUUCUCAAAUCUAUGGAAAACUUGUCACUCAAGUGAUCAGUAGGAUCAAUGGGUGAUUGCUAUACACGAAGGCUUAAAGCAAAUUAGUGAUAUUUGAAGAUUCACAAAGCAUUAAUUAAGAAAAGAUUACACAUAAGAGUUUGGCAUUACGUUGUAUACAAGUCAAGAUCCUGAUAUUGGUUUUAUUUUUCUCAGCAUUAUUGUGGAUUGGUGAAUGUAUGUGUUAGAUGUAAAUAUAGAAGUAGAAAGACAAUCUAGAGGGGGGGGGGGUGAAUAAACCCUUGUUAAAAAAUGAAGAGCUUUUUCAAAAAUUUAUCAGAGAGUUUUAAAAGAUGCGAGCAGAAGGUUUGAUGCAAAAUAUAUGAAAAUUAUAUUUUUCGAAACUUGAUCAUGUUAACACUAAUUUGAUUCACAAACUCCAAAGAUGAAUGUGAUGAUACACAAGUUAUACAAUUAAUUCGGUUGUAUAAUUCACGAGGUGUGUUUAUAUAACGAUUAAAUAUAGUGAAUUCUAACCUCAAUUAUUUCUAAUAAUUUAUUCGCCAAUUCAACUCGAUAAGGUAUCCAAGUCUAACAAAAUCUAAGCUUACGUAAUAAAUCUCUACCAAUUGAAUAAACGAUGAACUAUGCUAGAAUUGAAAUACCUAAGCAUGCAAAUACUACUAAAAUUAAAUGCAAGAGAGAGAGAGAGAGAGAGAGAGAGAGAGAGAGAGAAAGAUGACACCGAUAUUUAUAGUGCUUCGAUGUUUGUCAUUGCUUUUCAUAUGUGGACUCUUAAAUGGUUUCCCAUUGGAACCUACAUUGUUCCUUUUUAUUGACAAAUAUUUGCAAGAGUUCAUACAAAAUUGCAAAUUUCAAGAUUCAAUACAUCCCAAUCCACAAUAAUACUGAGAAAAUUAAAAUCUCCUACCUGGAUCUUGACUUGUAUCACUAAAUCUUCUAGUAUCACUAAUCUUCUCCAAGCUUCGUGUGUAGAAAUCAACCCUUGAUUCUAACGAAUCCUUAGCGAUGAAUUGUCCGAAGAUUUGAGAAGAACUACGCCUGUUGUAGUCUUCCGCACAGUCACUACCAAGGCAAUAUGGAGAAAAGAACCUACUUUUUUCAAUAGAAUUGUCAGCACCAUUGUCAAUCACCUCAAUCUUGUAAAUUACCGAAAAAUCUCAAUCAAAUCUUCAAGAACGAUUAGUUUCAAGAUCGUGCCUCCUUCAUUCAAUUACAAUCUCUUGUUAUCAUGAUGUGAAUCAAAUAAAGUUGAAGAUGCAAGAAUUUCGUUGUAAGAACUUGGAACUUUAAAAUAGAGGUUAUUGACUUUUCGCACUGAAUUACACAAAAUGAAUGUCAAACUCUUAUUCAUUUCUUAGAAAUGAUGACAAAAUGGUUUAUAUGUACUUAGAUCAAGAACUAAAAUGGUUAAAAAAGUCAGCUACAUUUGAAUCAAGAGCAUUUCAUGAUGGAAUAAAUGAACAAUGAAGUGAAUAAACGAAAAAUAGAGUUUAACCAUUUUUCAGUUGAUUCGAAUUAAGAGUAAAGUGUGAUCGAUCAAAUCCCGUGAUUCAUAUCAUGUCUUAAAUUUAUUUGAAUCAAACUGGCUGAGCUAAUUGAAAAAAUGUGAAAAAUGUAUUAUCGAAUCAUGUGUAAAGUUUGACUCGAAUCAAUUGUGGUAGAGGUAACCUAGAGUUAUGAUUCGAAUCAUGUGUAAAUGUCGAAUAAAUGUUUUUGAUUUUUUUUGGUUUGCUUGUGUCCAAAAUGAUUUGAAUCAGGAUUUGUGCUUGAUUAUACACAAACACCCAAAUCCAAAUUUCAAAAUUUCAAAAGAGUUUGAGAUUUUCUUUCCACCUAACUGAAUCAAUUCUAUAUAUGACUCUUAUUCCACUGACUCAUGAAAUUGAUUAAAGUAUCAUGAUCAAGUUCAAACCUAACCAUGUUUAUCCUGCUAAACGAAUCAUUUCAAAACUUGAUCCAAAGAGGUCAUUCAUGAAGGAGACUCGAAUAAUCGAAAGUAAAUCAAGUGAAACAUUAAGCCAACAACAAAAAAACGUAUUGGGGUGCCCCAUAAUGUAUUAGGGACAUUCAACUACGGUAUGAAUUCUUGCAAAUAUUUGUCAAAUAAAAAGGAACAAUGUAUGUGUCCAAUGGAAAACCAUUCAUGAGUGCACGUAGAAAAAUGAGGACAAACGCAAAGCAACAAAUUCGGUGUCAUCUGUCUCCCUUACUCUUGAAUUAUUUCGUAGGACUUGAAUGCUUAGGUAUUUCAAUUCUAGUGUACUUUAUCGUUUAUUCAAUUGUACAGUUUAUUACUUAAGGUUAGGUUGUGUUAGAAUUUGUGCCUAUCUAGCUGAAUUGGUGAUUCAAUUCUGAGAAACAUUGAGGUUAGAAGGAAUUGAAAUUGAAUAUGUAUAUCAAAUCUCUGAAAUACAAUUGAAUCAAUUGAAUAACUUAUGCUCAUCAAUAACAUCGUUUGUAUUUGAUAAUUGAUUAAGUGUUAACGUGAUCAAGUUCAAUAAAAGUAUAUUUCAUAUUUUGCUUCAAAACUCCGCGCACAUUUUUUGAAAAUCUCUAAUACUCUUUGAAAAAGCGGUUGAUUUUUUAUUUUCUAUUCCACCUAACACGAACUAAUCCAAAGAGCAUUGUAAUGUUGUUGUUACUAUUAAAAUCAUUUUUUAAAAUCCAAGAAAAAAUAAAUAAAAAUAUAGAGGAAGAGAAGUCGUAGGUGGAAAGCUGCGAGAUUUUCCAAAAAAUCUUUACGGAAUGAAAUCAUGGUGUAGUCAUUGUUACUUAAGGGAUGGAAAUGGUAUUUGGAGGCACCAAUAUUUUACUUGUUUUUUUAAUUUGACGAUAAUAAUUAUAGUUUCAAUUCUCUUCUUUGAUUUGAGUCUGUUAGAGUCUAGUGAGGUAUCAAAUCCUUCAUUUAAUAAGUUGUAGAAACGUCUUCAGAUAUCUUUAUAUUUUUUCCUAAACUAAGAUUUUGCUUCUCCAUCUUUAGCACACUUCACUUGAUCCAAAUCUCUUAUCUUUAUUCUCUUCCUUUAAGAAGCCUAAUAUUUUCUCCCUCUUGUUCCUAGAGAUUGGUUAAACCUUCAAAUCUUGGGUUCUUGCUUUACUCACCGCGCUUCUUGGUCUCUUUCUUAGUUUUCUUAUUAUUUCCAGCUUUCGACAUUUUACACAUAUCCUUUAUUCUUUCCUAAACUAAGAUUUUGCUUUCUCCGUCUUGACACACUUCACUUGAUCCAAAUCUAUUGUCUUUAUUUCUCUUCCUUUUAAGAAGCCUGAUAUUUCUCCCUCUGUGUCCUAGAGAUUGAUAUAAAUCUUCAAAAUUUGGGUUCUUUCUUCACUCGUGCCUUCUUGGUCUCUUUCUAGUUUUUCUAUAUAUUUCCCAAUUUCGACAUGUUUAGACAUGUACAUUCUUUAAUUUUUGUACUCAAACUCUAAUAGAACAGUUUCACCACCAUGAUUAUUACCCUUAAGUCAAAUGACUCUUGAUCACCCAAAGUCUCCUUAGCUACUUUCAAUAUUAGGCAUAUUUCCACUUAUUAUUGCACUUCCUUGGACUAUUUGAAACCUCAUAAGAUCUUGUGCUGGAAACUCUCUUAUUUCACCUUUCAAAUCCCUCACUUGAUUCAUGGAGCUCCAUGUGAUCUCUUUAUUUCACUCUUCUCUUGACUCUUACAUCAUAAUCAAUACUCUAUGUUGAUCAGUUAAGUUUUCUCUAUAUAUAACUUACAGUCUAAUCAAACUUCUAACUGACUUUCUAAUAAAAAUAAAUCUAUCAGAGAAAUCCACCUACCUUUAUAUUUAAUAAUGCUCUCUUUUUUUCUAAAGUAGGUAUUAGCUAAAUACGAUCAAAGUAAAAAAAACUCCAAGAUGGAUUUAUCCUCUGUAUUUAACUCCCCGGACAUACCUCAUGCACGCCCUCAAGUUUUUUGUUGUGCUUCAUACAGCCAUUUAGACCCUUUAGAGAAAAUCUUUAAUCCUCAGGGGUAUAUCAUGAAGUAAAUUCUAAAUCAUUUAUAAAAAAAAUUUAAGGUGUUCUGCUUACGCAACUAAGGGGCAUAACACUAAUAGCAUUAAAGGUGUCUUGUUUCACUAUAAUUUUAGGACUAUGAUCGCAUCUCCUACUCUUUUGCAUCCACAAUAUCCUUCUUCACUCUUGCCUAAGAUUUCCACCCAUUUCUCGAUCUAACUUUGCAGGUAGAUGAAGCUUAAAAUUCGAGUGUUAAUUCUUUCAUCUUUUCACUGUGUUUAGUUUCUGUGACACACGAAAUUGAUUUUCUCUACCAUACCGUCCACUAUUCCAUAGAUUUUCAGUAAGUGUGGAUAUUCAUUUCCAAACAAAUNNNNNNNNNNNNNNNNNNNNNNNNNGAGAAGAUAUGACACCGAUAUUUAUAGUGCUUCGUGUUUGUCAUUGCUUUUCAUAUGUGGACUUUAAAUGGUUUCCCAUUGGAACCUACAUUGUUCCUUUUUAUGACAAAUAUUUGCAAGAGUUCAUACAAUCCCAAUCCACAUAAUACUGAGAAAAUAAAAUCUCCUACCUGGAUCUUGACUUGUAUCACUAAACUCUUCUAGUACACUAAUUUCUCCAAGCUUCGUGUGUAGAAUCAACCCCUUGAUUCUAACGAAUCCUUAGCGAUGAAUUGUCCGAAGAUUUGAGAAGAACUACGCCUUGUUUGUAGUCUUCCGCACAGUCACUACAAGGCAAUAUGGAGAAAAAACCUACUUUUUCAAUAGAAUUGUCACACCAUUGUCAAUACCUCAAUCUUGUAAAUUACGAAAAAUCUCAAUCAAAUCUUCAAGAACGAUUAGUUUCAAGAUGUGCCUCUUCAUUCAUUACAAUUCUCUUGUUAUCAUGAUGUGAAUCAAUUAAAGUUGAAGAUGCAAGAAUUUCGUUGUAAGAACUUGAACUUAAAAAAUAGAGGUUAUUGACUUUUCGCACUGAAUAACAAAAUGAAUGUCAAACUCUUAUUCAUUUUCUUGAGAAAUGAUGACAAAAUGGUUUAUAUGUACUUAGAUCAAGAACUAAAAUGGUUAAAAAAGUCAGCUACAUUUGAAUCAAGAGCAUUUCAUGAUGGAAUAAAUGAACAAGUGAAGUGAAUAAACGAAAAAUAGAGUUUAACCCAUUUUUCAGUUGAUCGAAUUAAGAGUAAAGGUGAUUCUGAUCAAUACCCGUGAUUCAUAUCCUUUAAAUUUUUUUUGAAUCAAACUGGCUGAGCUAAUUGAAAAAAUGUGAAAAAUGUAUUAUUCGAAUCAGUUAUAAGAUUUGACUCGAAUCAAUUGUGGUAGAGGUAACUAGAGUUAUGAUUCGAACAUGUGUAAAUGUCGAAUAAAUGUUUUUGAUUUUUUUUGGUUGCUUGUGUCCAAAAUGAUUUGAAUCAGGAUUUGUGCUUGAUUUAACCAAACACCCAAAUCCAAAUUUUCAAAAUUUCAAAGAGUUUGAGAUUUUUCCACUAAUAAUCAAUUCUAUAUAUGUACUCUAUUUCCACUGACAUUGAAAUUGAUUAAAGUAUCAUGAUCAAGUUCAAACCUAACCAAUGUUUUAUCCAUGCUAAAAACGAAUCAUUUCAAAACUUGAUCCAAAGAGGUGCAUUCAUGAAGGAGACUCGAAUAAUCGAAAGUAAAUCAAAGUGAAAACAUUAAGCCAAACAACAAAAUAAACGUAUUGGGGUGCUCCCCAUAAAUGUAUUAGGGACAUUCAACUACGGUAUGAAUUCUUGCAAAUAUUUGUCAAAUAAAAAGGAACAAUGUAUGUUCCAAUGGAAAACCAUUCAUGAGUGCACGUAGAAAAAUGAGGACAAACGCUAAAGCACUACAAAUUUCGGUGUCAUCUGUCUCCCUUACUCUUGAAUUUAAUUUUCGUAGGACUUGAAUGCUUAGGUAUUUCAAUUCUAGUGUACUUUAUCGUUUAUUCAAUUGGUAGCAGUUUAUUACUUAAGGUUAGGUUGUGUUAGAAUUUGUGCCUAAUCUAGCUGAAUUGGUGAUUCAAUUCUGAGAAACAAUUGAGGUUAGAAUGAAUUGAAAUUGAAUUAUAGUAUAAUCAAAUCUCUUGAAAUAUACAAUUGAAUCAAUUGAAUAACUUAUGCAUCAUCAAUAAAACAAUCGUUUUGUAUUUGAUAAUUGAUUAAGUGUUAACGUGAUCAAGUUUCAAUAAAAGUAUAAUUUAUCAUGAUCAAGUUCAAACCUAACCAAUGUUUUAUCCAUGCUAAAAACGAAUCAUUUCAAAACUUGAUCCAAAGAGGUGCAUUCAUGAAGGAGACUCGAAUAAUCGAAAGUAAAUCAAAGUGAAAACGUUAAGCCAAACAACAAAAUAAAUGUAUUGGGGUGCUCCCCAUAAAUGUAUUAGGGACAUUCAACUACGGUAUGAAUUCUUGCAAAUAUUUGUCAAAUAAAAAGGAACAAUGUAUGUUCCAAUGGAAAACCAUUCAUGAGUGCACGUAGAAAAAAUGAGGACAAACGCUGAAGCACUACAAAUUUCGGUGUCAUCUGUCUCCCUUACUCUUGAAUUUAAUUUUCGUAGGACUUGAAUGCUUAGGUAUUUCAAUUCUAGCGUACUUUAUCGUUUAUUCAAUUGGUAGCAGUUUAUUACUUAAGGUUAGGUUGUGUUAGAAUUUGUGCCUAAUCUAGCUGAAUUGGUGAUUAAAUUCUGAGAAACAAUUGAGGUUAGAAUUAAUUGAAAUUGAAUUAUAGUAAUCAAAUCUCUUGAAAUAUACAAUUGAAUCAAUUGAAUAACUUAUGCAUCAUCAAUAAAACAAUCGUUUUGUAUUUGAUAAUUGAUUAAGUGUUAACGUGAUCAAGUUUCAAUAAAAGUAUAAUUGAUUUUAUAUUUUCCGCUUCAAAAUUCCGCGCACAUUUUGAAAAAUCCUCUAAUACUCUUCUGAAAAUAGCAGGUUGAUUCUAUCCUAUUCACCAACACAAACUAACAAAAGAGCAUUUAAAUGUGUUGUACAUAAAUCAUAUUUUUAAAAUCCAAGAAAAUAAAAUAGAAAAUAGAGGAAAGAAGUCGGGUGAAACUCGCGAGAUUUUCCAAAAAUCUUACCUCCAAAGAAUAAAUCAUGGUGUAGUCAUGUUACCUUAAGAGGAUGAAAAUGGUAUUGGAGGUCACCAAUAUUUACUUGUUUUUUAAUUUGACGAUAACUAAUUAUAGUUCAAUUCAUCUCUUUGAUUUGAAGUCUGUUAGUAGUCUAGAGUGUAUCAAAACCUUAUUAUAAGUGUAGAAAUACGCUCUUCUAAAGAAUAUCCCUUUAUAUUUCUCUAAACUAGACUUUACUCUCCCAUCUUACCACAUUCAUGAUCCAAAUCUCUUACUUGCUAUCCUCCCUUUAAAGAAGCCUAAUAUUUGCUCCUCUCUGGCUUCCUAAGAUUGGUAUAAACUUCAACAAAUCUUGGGUUCUUGCUACUCACCGGCCUCUGGUUUUAUUCUAAAAAAGCUUUCCACUUCGACAUUAAAUAUCCUGUUAUACUCUGAAUCGAUUUUGCUUUCUUCCGUUUAACACAAUUCUUCACUUGACCAAAGAACUAUUCUUAUUUCUUCUGCCCUUAAAGAACAUCUGCAUUGGUCGUCCUGCUUUGGUUUAAAUGAAUAAAACUCACAUAAUUUUGCGGUCUUCUUCUCACGUAGCGCCUCUUGCUCGUUCUUGAGUUGUCGCUGUAUAUAUCCCAACUCGGACAUGUUUUACACAUGUACCACUCUUUAAUUUUACUACUCACACUCUAAAUGAACUAGUUUAUUCCCACCACCAUGAUAUUUAACCCUUAAGGUAAGCCUUUGAUUCACNNNNNNNNNNNNNNNNNNNNNNNNNNNNNNNNNNNNNNNNNNNNNNNNNNNNNNNACACACUUCACUUGAUCCAAAUCUAUUGUCUUUAUUUCUCUUCCUUUAAGAAGCCUGCUAUUUUUCUCCCUCUUGGUUCCUAGAGAUUGAUAUAAAUCUUCAAAAUUUUGGGUUCUUUCUUCACUCGCUGCCUUCUUGGUCUCUUUCUUAGUUUUCUUAUUAUAUUCCCAACUUUCGACAUGUUUACACAUGUACCAUUCUUUAAUUUUUUAUACUCAAACUCUAAUAUGAACAGUUUCAUUCCACCACCAUGAUUAUUUACCCUUAAGUUCAAGACCUCUUGAUUCACCCAAAGUCUCCUUAGCUACUUUUCCAAUAUCUUAGGCCAUAUUGUUCCACUUAUUAUCUGCACUUCCUUGUGACUAUUUGAAACCUCCCUCAAAGAUCUUGUGCUGGAAACUCUCUUACUUUUCACCUUUCAAAUUCCAUCACUUGAUUCAUGGAGCUCCCGUGUGAUCUCUUUUAUUCACUCUUCUCUUGACUCUUACAUCCAUAAGCAAUACUCUAUGUUGAUCAGUUAAGUUUUCUGUCUAUAUAACUUUACAGUCUAAUCAAACCUUCAUAUCUGACUUUCUAAUAAGAAAUAAAUCUAUCAGAGAAUAUUCCACCCUAUUCUUAUAUUUAAUAAGAUGCUCAUCUUUUUUUUUCUAAAGUAGGUAUUAGCUAAAGUACGAUCAAAAGGCAAAAAAAACUCCAAGAUGGAUUUAUCCUCUGUAUUUAUCUCCCCAAGACCAUACCCUCAUGCACGCCCUCAAAGUUUUCUGUUGUGCUCCAUACAAGUCCAUUUAGACCCCUUUAGAGAAAAAUCUUUAAUCCUCAGGGUAUAUCAUGAAAUAAAUCUUCUAAAUCAUUUAUAAAAAAAUUUAAGGUGUUCUGCUUACCCAACCUAAGGUGCAUAAGCACAAUAGCAAAAGGUGUCUCGUUUCACUAUAAAUUUAGGACAUGAUCCGAUCGCCACUCUUUCAUGUGCACAAUCCUCUUCACUUAUGCUAAGAUUCUCCACCCAUUUCUCGAUCUAAUUUGCAUGGUAUAUGAAGGGCUUAAAAUUCGAGUUGUCUAUUCUUUCAUCUUCACCUGUGUACUUAGUUCUUGAGACACACGAAAUUGAUUUUCUCCUAACCAUACCGUCCUAUUCCAUAGAUUUUCCAGUAAGUGGAUAUAUUCCAUGUUCCAAACAAAUCCUACUCUCAGAAUAAACUACUUAUCCACACUCACGAAAAUAUGAAAACGCAUUGUAUUUUCCUUGAUCUAGGUGGCCGAAACAGUGACCUUACUUCUUUAACACUGUAUUUGAGAUAACAAUCGCGCUCCGGACAACGGUCUGACAUUCACAUUAUUAUACAAUUAAUCCAUGUCAUUUGAGAUUAAAAUAAAAAUUCCGAUUGUCGGCUCCUAACACAAAUCUCUCCUUAGUAACAAUUAUCUCAUUAAAAACCUUUCUAGAAAACUCAAAAAGAUAAAACCAAAAAUAAGGUAAAACAAAGAGUACAGUACAUUAAAAUUGACACAAGUAAGUCCUACUAUGACUGAAUAUAAAUCUAAGAUAGUAAGUAGACACUUUUAAAGUUAUCGAAAACAAAAAAGGGAUUAAAUAACAAUAGGAUGUUUUCAAAAUACAAGGUAAUGUAUAAUUUGUAAUUUACUACUUAACUUUAUUUCUUGAACUCCUUUCUCAUUGGAUGAAUGAGGUCUUAAUUUUGAGUAAUAAUGAGGAUACAUCUUUUAUAUUAAUUCGUUCCUCUGGUGAAUCUUCACAGCAUCUCAAUGCUAAAGCUAAAAUUUCAUACAUUUCUUUCUCAUGUUGUGAGACUAAAUUGUAAUCCACAACUUCCAUAAUUGAACUCAGCAUUGACUCACUAAUCCAGCUUUUCAAAGUUAAUUUGUCUGAAAACAUUUCAUUUGUUGGCUUCUUUCCUGUGAAAAUUUCCAUCAGCAUUAUCCCAUAGCUAUACACAUCACCUUUAACUGAAAUGACUCCCUUAGAUCCAUAUUCUGUAUGUCAACAUUAAUGGUUAGGCAGGUUGGCCUAAAAUGGUAAAAAUGUGAACGCGUCGAAUGAUAAAUCAAAACUUGAUUAGAUAUAAUAUGAAUUUGAAGUGAAGAAAUGACCUGGUGCAACAUAGCCAAGAGUAGCCAAAGUUUCGGUGUGAGUUUUAGAAUGUCCUUCAUCCAAUAGCUUGGAAAUGCCAAAAUCACUUACAUGUGCAACCAUAUCUUCAUCCAGUAACACAUUACUAGGCUUCAAAUCACAAUGAACCACUGGUAUUGAAGAACCAUGAUGGAGAUACUCUAAUGCAGACGCAACAUCUAUCAUUAUAUUCAACCUUUGCAAGAAAUCCAAAAAAUAGUUAUCUGAGUAUAACCAUUUUUCCAAACUUCCAUUUGUCGUAAACUCCAUCACUAUAGAUUUGAAAUCAACAUUUGAACAACUAGUGAUAACUUGAACGAGAUUUCGAUGUCGAAGGUUGCGCAUGGCAUUGCAUUCUGCAUCAAAGCUUCUUGAUGUUGCUUCCAAGUUUAAGUCAAGUACUUUAACUGCUACCAUCUUUCCACUAGAAAGAUUUCCUUGAUACACAGAUCCAAAGCCCCCUUUUCCAAGUAAAUUACUCUCAUUGAAUCCAUUCGUUGCUUUCACAAGUUCAUAAUAGGAAAUCCUGCCUGGAGCCCCUAAAGUUGAUAAAUCCUUUUCGAUUGGAUUUUUAACCAAUUUCCUUUUAAGCAUUAGAAUUAUUAUGCAUACAAGAACCAAACAGCACAAGACAACAAUUAUGGAUGAACUGCAUAUGAUUAAUAACUUAUUUUUCCCAUUUUUAUUACAUGGAGGUACUUGUAAGAAAGGAUUGCCACAAAGUGCUUUAUUAUGAAUGAAAGAUUGAGCUGCAAAGCUUUUGAAAGGUCCUCCAUUUGGAAUCUCUCCUUGCAAUCUAUUGUAUGACAGAUUAAGGUGUUUAAGAUAAGAAAGUGACUCUAAAGAUUUUGGGAUCACACCGGUAAUAAGAUUUUGAGACAAGUCCAAGAAGCUCAAACUUACCAUUUCACCAAGUGAUGUUGGGAUAUGUCCCUCCAAUUUGUUGUUUGAUAAGGAGAGAGUUUCUAAAGUUGUCAAAAGACUUAUGGUUGUUGGAAUGUUGUUUGAAAUUUGAUUUCCUGACAGGUCUAAUAGCACAAGAGCUCUCAAAUUCUUAAUCUCAGAUGGAAGAUUUCCAGUUAUAGCAUUAAGGGAUAAGCUUACCUCUAAAAUAUCUUUGAGAUUCCAAAAGGAGGACGGUAUUGUAGAGGUUAACCUGUUAGAUCCAAUGUGAAACUUCCUAAGAGAAGUCAUAUUUCCUAAACAUGUUGGUAACACUCCAAAAAACUCGUUGCUUGUUAAAUUCAACUCACUCAAACUCCUAAUUUCACAAACCUCAUCAAUUAUAGAUCCUUCAAGUCCAUUGUAGUCAAGACCUAAUGAUUGAAGUUUUUGCAACUCUUUAAUUGUACUAGGGAUUUGUCCAUUUAAAUCAUUCUUACUCAGAGAUAAUCGAACCAAGUUGCUCAUGUUUCCGAUUUCUAGGGGAAUGUUUCCUUUAAUUCCACAAGAAUUUGCCCAAAAAUGUUCUACAGAUAAGUUUCCAAUGGACUUGGGAAGUUUUAAUGGUAAGCUAUUCUCUGAAAUUUCAACAAGUUUCAAAUAUCUGCAACUUGUUAGUGAAGUUAGGAAGUUAAAUUCAAGAGAUUCAUCUAUUGUCAAAUUAUUUCCACCAAUGAUUAGUGAUUUAAGGUCUCCUAAAUUUCCAAAUGAAUUGGGUAUAAUUCCACUAAAUCCAUUCGAACUCAAGUCAAUUAUGACGAGAUUUGAAGCAUUAGAUAUACUAUUUGGAAUAUUUCCAACAAACUUAUUUCUAUACAUAUGUAGUUGUAUUAGGCUUGGAAGGCCUAAUCCCAUAUUUGAUGGAAGCAUGCCUGAGAGAGAAUUUUCUUCAAGACGAAAAUAUUCCAAUGUUGAGAUGUUGAAGACUUUUGAAGAAAUAGAUCCACUCAAUCUGUUAUUUCCUACUUGAAGAUACUUAAGUUCAUUGAGAUUGCCAAUCUCCAUUGGUAUCGAACCUAAAAAUCACACGAAUGAGAAGCAUCACAGUAUUGUGAUGCAUGAAAUGCUUAACCAUAAAAUGAAGAUAGAAAAUUAAAAGUAUACCUGAAAAAAAGUUAUCAUGUAAAGAUAAAAUUUGUAACAAUGUGCAAUUGCCAAUCGAUCGUGGAAUGGUUCCUUCCAAAUGAUUACCGAAUAGAGUAAAUUUUUCAAGUUGAGGAAGUUGAUGACACAUCUCAUCUGGGAGAGUUCCAUUUAAAUCGUUUACGUCAAGAUUGAUCUCUUUCAAAGAAGAGAUGUUGAAGAGGGAGACUGGAAUUUCACCUGUAUAUGUAACAUAAAAUAUGAAAUUAUUAUUCAAAAAACACUUAUUGUGUUAGGAAAAUCAUCUUACCCUCCAAGUUGGUGCUAGUAAGAUACAAAGAUUGAAGGUUUGUCAAGUUUCCAAUGUCUGCUGGCAUAGGUCCUUUGUCAAAAUUAUUGAAAGAUAGCUCCAAAUCUACCAAUUCUUUGCAAUAUCGCCAUACAUUCGGCAUCUUACCAGAAAAAUCAUUAAGUAUUUCUAUCUCAUUAGAUUCUAUUGGAAGUCCUUGACAAACAUUUGAUGGAAGAAUUCCAGAGAGAUUAUUGAAACCAAGACCCAAUAUUUGCAAAGAUGAGUUGUUCAACAUUAAUAUGUUGCCAGUGAGGAGAUUAUAUUGAAGGUUCAAUGUUAUCAGCUGUGGAAGAUCACCAAUUCCUUUUGGAAUUUCUCCUUUAGUUCAAUAUAGACAAAAUAAACAUAUUUAGGAUGACUCGUUAAACAUAAUACGCAUCACAACAACUGUAAUGACUCCAAUUGCAGACGCAACUGUAAUUUAAAACCAUGGAUGUGAGUAUAUCAUACCUGAUAAAGAGUUAUUUGAUAGACGGAUUUCUUGAAGUAAAGACAUGUUGAAAAUAUUUGAUGGUAUGAUUCCAGAGAGUUUGUUAUUUCUAACAUCCAAAAUUCUCAACCUAUGAAGUUUACCAACAACAUGUGGAAUAGUUCCUUCAAGGAAAUUUGAUUUCCAACUUAGAUACUCCAACAUUGACAAAUUGGAUAUAGAUUGAGGAAUAACUCCAACAAUAUUAUUAUAUCCAAAAUCCAAAUAUUGAAGUUUUGAUAAGUCCCCUAUCUUUAAAGGAAUUUCUCCAACAAAAUCAUUGUAACUCAAAUCAAACCACUUCAAUCUCUUCAAAUGAAGUAACUCAUGUGGUAACUCACCAUGGAAACUAUUGCCUUGUAGAUCAAGAACAAGAAGGAAAGAGAGAUUUCCCAAUUGAGGAGAAAUGGUACCUUGAAGGGCCAUGUUACUAAGAUUCAAUGCAUUUACUCUUCCAUGAUGUUCAUCACAAGUAACACCAACCCAAUUGCAUGAAGAGAAAGUAGAAGAAUUAGAGGAAAUUGACCAAUUACUAAGCAUAUGAUAAGGGUCCAAAGUAAUAGAUGAUUUGAAUGAAAGAAGUGCAAAUUCAUCGGUGGUGAUGUUUUUUUUAGUACUCAUAGCUAAGCAAGUGAAGAAGUAAUAAUAGAGUGAGACAGAGAGAAUACAGAGCCAAUUAGAGUAUAGUUUGGCCAUUUUCAAUAUAAUAUAUGCAUGAGUCUAAGAAUGGAUGAGUAUAUUUAUAUGAAAAUGGCUAAGAUGAUACUAAGGGCAUAUGUUAAGUAGUCAAAGGUAAAUAUUUUGUUUAAGAAUUUGUAUUGAAAAUCUUAAUUUUUAAACUUGUAAAAAGUAAUAUACAAUUUCUUGGAAGGAACUGCAAAAAGAUAGCAACCAGAACAAACAAGAUAUAUAGUAUUUAUCAAUAGCCAGACAUGACUUAUCAUAAAAAUAAUAUCUUCAUAGACUCGUAGACUAACCAAGGAUUGGGAAAUGGUCUCACAUCCUUGUUAAAAUACAAUUUAAAUUUAUCACUGAAAUUGAAAUUCCCAACUACGUUCUAGCAAAUAUAUUAGACGGUUACGAUAUCAUCGAUUAUUUAAAAGAGGAUAAAAGAGAAUUUGUGAAUGAUAUGAUGAAGUUCUACAUGACACCGAAGUUUAUAAUGACAACAUUGAAAGAUCGAAUUCUAGAGAUACAUAUCUUUUUAUUAUUAGAGGUUCAUACACAAAAAUACAACACCUGAAUUAUUAUUAGAGGUUCAUACACAAAAAUACAACACCUGAUGAGUUUAAUUCAUAAUGAGAAUUAUGUGUAUUGGACAAAUAAUAAAGAGGACUCUAGUGUUGCGAGUGACAUAUUUUGGACACAUUCUGUUCAGUUAAACUUCUAAACAUGUUUUCUUUUGUAUUGAUCUCCGACAAUACGUACAAAGCAAAUAGUCACCAAUUCCCACUAAUUGAGAUUAUUGGUGUCAGAUAUAGAGUUGACAUUCUCUAUUAUGUUUCCUUGCUUGGGACAUGAAUGACAAGGAAAUUUCAUAUGAGCACUAGAAAAACAUAGGGAGUUGUUUAAAGUAGUGUCACACACUAGAAACACUGUGCCAAAGAAAAUCUUACACAACACUUUUUCUUAACCUUAGACAACGAUUUAAAGUGCUUUAAAGUGUUGUUUAUUUUGUAGCGUUGUAAGUAUAGGAAGUGUUUUUUUUAAAUAUAAAAGUGUUGGCUUAAUUGAAAUUUGGGCAACGCUUUCUAUUAAAAGUGUUGGCGUAACUUCUCUUUAUGCAUCACUUUUGAAUAAAAGCGUUGGGGUAAGGCAUUAUUAGGCAGGACUUUCAGCUAAAAGCGCUGGCAUAAGUUCUCUCUAGACAUCACUUUCAGCUAAAAAUGAUGGCACAAGUUAUCAUUGGACAUAUCUUUCUAAUAAAAGCGUUGGGAUAAGGCAUCCUUAGGCAGCGCUCUCAACUAAAAAUAUGACACAAGUCAUCAUUAAGUGGUGUUUUUUUUAUAUUAAUAAACAGUAUCUUAUAUGUACUUUACCCAAUAGUUUUAUUUUCCUCAAGCCAUCAUUAGGACUUGUUUAUUUUUUCUUGAGUUAAAGUUUGAGAUAGAUUCUCGUGAAAUAUAUAAUUAUGAAACAACGCAAGAGUUACAAUUUUAAAAUACUUGUUCACAAAAUCACUUUUCGGUAUUUUUUGCGGUGUAACUUUCUUCGAAAGCGGGUUUAGAAAUAAAUUAUUAGAUAUUUCCAAAAUAUUAUUUGGAAGAUGGAUUUUUGUAUAUAUUAAUUAUAUGUAGAAUUAAAAAGCAAAUGGCCUAAUGUCCUGGUGGUAAGGGGCUUGAAAUUUUAUGUAAGGGUUUGUGGUUUGAAUCCUAUUGGUGCCUUUUUGAAUAAAGUUUAUUAUACUAAUAGUAAUAAAAAACGAAAUCAAAAUGAACCAAUGUGUAGUUCGAACUCGUAUCCUUUUGAUGGGGGCGAAUAAAAAUAAAUACAUCCAUUUUUUUAUACAUUUUUAAUUUCUCUAAAUCAUCAUUUACUUUAUUAAUGCAUGAGUAAAGUAUAAGAAACAUUGUUCUGUAACCCAUUAUCAAAAAAAUAAGUUUAAUGUGUUUGUGCAAUUUACAUUAAGGUAUUCAAAGUAUCCUAAAGGGAAUUCACCGUUAAUCCCUAUUGUAUCUGAUAUAUAAUAAUUGGUUGGGGUGAAUUGAACCUAAAGAUUAGUGCGAAAUUCACACGCUUUGAAUUUUCAAGUGUGAUAUUCAUCAACAUCUUCUUAGUUCUAGUGCUGCUACAUAUUUUCAACAACCACAAUAUCCAACAAUCUUUAGAUUCAAUUAUUACUUAAACAAUGGCAACGUCACUCAAAGAAAUGACAUCUAAUUUUGUAAAAUUAGAAAAGUUCGAUGGAGGUAACUUUAUCCGUUGACAGAAAAAGAUGAAAUGUUUGCUUAGAACUUUGAAAGUGGUAUAUGUUCUAAAUACAACAAAACCGAUAGAAAGGGAAGAAGAAACAAUCUCAGAAACAAGAGGGAGGCAAGAAUUGGACAAUGAUGAUUACAUUUACAUGUGUCAUAUUCUUAAUGGUAUGUCAGAUUCAUUGUUCAAUAUUUAUCAAAGCAGUCAAUUAACAAAAGAUUUGUGGGAUAAACUAGAGUCAAGAUACAUGCAAGAAGAUGUUAUAAUUAAGAAGUUUCUUGUUUCCCAAUUCAAUAAUUAUAAAAUGGUAAAAAAUAGACCUGUUAUGGAACAAUUACAUGAAAUUAAACGUAUUCUUAAUAAUUAUAAACAACACAAAAUGCACAUGGAUGAAACCAUCGUUGUGUCUUCCAUAAUAGACAAACUCUCACCUUCAUGGAAGGAUAUAAAAGGACCCUCAAACAUAAAAAAGAGGAUAUAUCUCUUGAACAAUUGGGUAAUCACCUUCGGUUAUAAGAAGAGUAUCGCAAAAAAGAAGAUACUAAAGACCAAUUUACUCAUGAGAAAAUACAUGGUGUGGAAGAUGGAAAAUCUAACAAGUCCAAUGAUAAUAUGGACAUAGAUGAUGAAAAGGUUCAUGACAACAAUGGAAAUGGACAAAGAAAAAGAAAAGGAGGAAGUUGCUUUCAUUGUGGCAAACCGGAACAUUUUUAAAGUGAAUGUAGGUUCUUGAAAAAGAUGAACAAAGUGAAGAAGUCAAGUGCACAAAAUGAACAUCUUGUUGCAUAGAAGUAACUUCUAGAAAUUACUCACUUUUAAGAAUGUAUAUUCGGUGUUGAAAAAUUUAUAAUUAAGUGUGUUGUACGUAAUAAAGUGUGGAUUUAUUUGGUUUGCAUAAUUUAUUGUGUGGUAUAUUUAUAUGAAAGUGAAUUUAAAUUUAUUUACAAAGAAAUUGAAUAUAAAAUUUGGUUGUUAAUAUUUUCAUAAAUAUUGAUCAUAAAGUAUUGAAUUUUCCUUUAAUAAAAGUUGUGACAUAAAUAAAUAUACUUAUAAUGAGUUUAAUAUAUUUUGGAAUAAUGUCAUUUGAUUUAUCUUUAAAAUGGAAAAUAUUGUUUUCUUUAUUUUAUAAAAUUCAUUGAUGUGUUAUGACUUAAAACUCAAUCUUAUUUAAAGUAUAAUGAUUGAUAAUUUCAAGUGUAUGUAUGUAUGUUUUGUAUGUCAUGUAAAUGAUAAAAUUCUAUUUAAGAGAAUUAAAUUAAUCUAGCUAUUUAGAUUUAAUUUUCAUAUGUGUUUAUGAUUUACAUGAUUGAAUGUUUGAUAAAAUAUAUGAUCAUGAUUGUUUAAGAUAUAGAAGUUUGAUAAUCAUGUUUAUUAUAAUUAUUUUACAUGCUUGUUGUAUUAAUAUGUUGUGUUCAAAUUGAAAGAAAAGUGAAACUUUAAAUAUUAUUGAUUGUUAUUAAAUGGUUUAAUAACAAAUGUUGAAUGAUUUAAAAUGUUAGUAUGAUAUACAAAGUAACAAAUGUUAUGUGAUAGGCAUCUCGCAUGAACAAUUACAUAUGCAUAAACCAUGCCUACAUGCUAUAAGCGAGGAUUCGGUAACCACUCAUGGAAGUCCGUAAUAAUCCCCAACAAAGCAAUUUGAAAUCACUCAUUUCAUGUCAAUCUUAUUCAACCCUUUGGUUGAAAUUUGUUGUUUAUGUUAAGCUUCAUCAACCCAUUGGUUGAAGUUAGUUCUCUUAAUCUGAAUCAACCCAGUGGUUGAGGAUGAUCGUAUCACUCAUCGACCUUCGUCAACCCAUUAGUUGGAGUUGGUUCUCUUGUGUUGAUCUGAAUCAAUCUAUUGGUUAAGGAGGAUCUAUUUUCUUUCAUUGACCUUCGUCAAUCCAUUGGUUGUAGUUGGUUAUUCUUCAUAUGAAUCAAUCUAUUGAUUGGGGAUGAUAUGUUUUCUUUCAUUAACCUUCGUCAAUAUAUUGGUUGAAGUUGGUUAUUCUUCAUCUAAACCAAUUCAUUGGUUGAGGAGGAUUUAUUUUUAUUUCAUUAACCUUCGUCAAUCCAUUGGUGGAAGUUGGUUUUUCUUUCAUUAACCUUCGUCAAUAUAUUGGUUGAAGUUGGUUAUUCUUCAUCUAAACCAAUUCAUUGGUUGAGGAGGAUUUAUUUUUAUUUCAUUAACCUUCGUCAAUCCAUUGGUGGAAGUUGGUUGUUUUUCAUCUAAAUCAAUCCAUUAGUUGAGGACGAUUUGUGCGUUGACCUUUAUUAAAGUAUUGGUUGAAGUUGGUUAUUUUUCCAUUAAAAUCAAUCCUUUGAUUGAGGAUGAUUUGUUCAUGACCUUCGUUAAUCCUUUGGUUGAAGUCAAUUAUUUUUCAUAGGAAUCGAUCCUUUGAUUGAGGACAAUUUGUUCGUUGACCUUCAUCAAUCCAUUGGUUGAAGUUGGUUAUUUUUCAUCUGAAUCAAUCCAUUGGUUGAGGAUGAUUUGUUCAUGGACAUUCGUCAAUCUAUUGGUUGAAGUUGGUUAUUUUUCAUCUGAAUUAAUCCAUUGGUUGAGGAUGACUUGUUCGUUGACCUUCAUCAAUCCAUUGGUUGAAGUUGGUUGUUUCAAGUUCUACUAAUCCGAAUCAACCCAUUGGUUGAGAUUGAUUUUUUGUCGAUGACCUCCAUCAAUCCAUUGGUUGAUAUUGGUGUGUCUUCUUUUGUUGAUUUGAAUCAACACAUUAGUUGAGGACGAUUUAUCGUUAACCUCCGUCAAUACAUCAACUGAUGUUGGACGUCUUUUGUUGAUCUGAAUCAACAUAUUAGUUAAGGAUGGUUUGCCGGUGCCAUUGCCUUUACCUAGUGAGUCUUCCCAUUUACUUCAUUUGUCUUCCCAUUGGAAUUCCUUGGAAAGUUAUAUCAGUUAAUCCCCUCAGAGUUUGAUUCCUAUUUCAUAUCCCCAACAAUAGAAUCCAUGCAUUCAUAACAUAACGUGCCAUCUCAUUGCACCAAAGGAAAAAAAUUGGGUUUUUCGUAUUUAAUUAUCUUCAACCACAAAUGUAUGAAGACCGUUGUCAUUCAUACCUUCAGGUUCAAGGUAAUUAAAUAGGGGCAACUGUCAUACCCCAAUUUUGUCCGAAAAUUUUAAACUUUCAUGCAUUCAAUCUUAUUUUGUUUUGCUUAGAAUAAAAUUUAAGUUUUACACACAGAUCGGUUGAAUCGAUUUUUAAUUGCACGUAAAUUAGCAAGCAAAACAUUUCUAGAUCGGGCUUGCAUUUGUUUGUUUUAUUGAUCUACAAUUCACGUAGUUUAACCGAACUUGCUCGUUUAAUUUUUUCGAUCCCAUUUACUUUCGCAAUUUGAUCCGUCUAAGCCUUUUCAACCGAGCGUUUUUCACCAUAAAAUUUGAUUUCUAUCUGUCUAUUUUACAGAAGUAUAUUUCUCAUAGAUUAUUUCAAUGCAUUUAUUUUAUUUUUUUUCACGCCCGAUUUUUAUUCAAUUUAGUUCCUUUUGUUUUUGUUUUUUUAUCAAAAUAUCAACAAAAAAAAUAGAGACAAAUAAAUAAUCAUUUAAUUUUUAUUUUCUUUAUUAAAAAAAAGAUUUCAAUUGUUUUGAAUUUGAUUCUUUUAAAUUCAUUUUUUAUCUUAAGCAUAUCCUUGUGUGUUUUUUGGCAGUGCAUUUAAUUAUGAAAAUCCUAAUUUGCUUAUUAUUUUGUGCUAACUUUCUUGACCAAUGGACUGAAGUUAAUCACUAACUCACAAUUGUUACCAUUAUUUUCACUUGGAUCACUAUGGAUGUUUCUCUCCCAUAACUAAAUUACAAUCUCAUUUCAAAAAAAUUAACUUCAAUAAACACACCUAGAUGCAAUCCCAAUACAAUUAUGUUGUUGCUUUUCUUAUCUCUUUCAUUUUUAAUUACUUCGAUUAUUGAGUCUCCUUCAUGAUUGCACUUAUCUUGAAUUGGUUUUGAAAUGAUUUGUUUUUAGCAUGCAUAAACCAAUAUUUAUGUUUGAACUUGAUCAAGAUGCUUUUAGUCAAUUGCAUCAAUCAUUGGAAUAAGAACCAUAUAUGUUACUAAUUCAAGUUAGGUGGAAAGAAAAAUCUCAAAGUGUUUUGAAAAUUAUGAAAAAUUGAAAUUUUGUGUGUUUGAUUCGAAUCAAGCACAUAUUCUAACUUGAAUAAAAUAGAACAGAGGUCAACCAAAAAAUUUCAAACACCCUGAUUCAUCAUCAUUUACACUUGAUUUGAAUCAACAUUUACACUUGAUUUAAAUCAUACUUUUUUUGGGUCACCUCUAGAUGAUUUAAUUUGAAUUAUACUUUACACCUGAUUUGAAUUAGAAAGUUUUCUCACAUUUUCCAGUUAGAUCUGCUUAAAUUGAUUUGAAUCGGAAUUAACACUUGAUUCAAAUCAAGGGGUCUUUGAUUCGAAUCAGACUUUGUUCUAGACUCGAAUCAACUAUAAAAUGGGUCAAAACUCUAUUUUCUUCUUAUUUCACUUCACUUGCUCUUUUGAUUCAAAUCAUGAAUUGGUCUUGAUUCGAAUCUAACUAACUUUUCAACAAUUUUUUAGUGCUUAAUCUCAAGCACAUAUAAAAAUCCUUUUUGUCAUCUUUUUCAUUAAAAAAUAGUUCAUAAUCAACAAUAUGAUUUUCUGUGAAACCAACACCCUCGAUUUUUUAAAGUUCAAAGCCCUUGCAACGAAACUCAUACAUAUUCAACUUCGAUUUGAUUUUAGAUAUUGUUAACGAUAGAUUGGUUAUUGAUUGAAGGAGACACUGUCUUGAAACUAGUUAUUCUUAAAGAUUUGGUUGAGAUUCUCAGGUAGCUUGAAAGAUUGAGGUUUUUGUCGUUGGUGCUAAAAAAUUCCAAUGAAAAGAAGUAGGUUCUUCUCUCCAGAUAGACUUAGUAGUGAUUGCAUGGAAGGCUAUAGAUAAGACAUAGUUCUUCUCAAAUCUAUGGAAAACUUGUCACUCAAGGGAUCAGUAGGAUCAAUGGGUGAUUGCUAUACACGAAAGCUUGAAGCAAAUUAGUGAUAUUUGAAGAUUCACAAAGCAUUAAUUAAGAAAAGAUUACACAUAAGAGUUUGGCAUUACGUUGUCUACAAGUAAAGAUCCUGAUAUUGGUUUUAUUUUUCUCAGCAUUAUUGUGGAUUGGUGAAUGUAUGUGUUAGAUGUGAAUAUAGAAGUAGAAAGACAAUCUAGAGGGGAAGGGGGUGAAUAAACCCUUGUUAAAAAAUGAAGAGCUUUUUCAAAAAUUUAUCAGAGAGUUUUAAAAGAUGCGAGCAGAAGGUUUGAUGCAAAAAAUAUGAAAAUUACAUUUUUUGAAACUUGAUCAUGUUAACACUAAUUUGAUUCACAAACUCCAAAGAUGAAUGUGAUGAUACACAAGUUAUACAAUUAAUUCGGUUGUAUAAUUCACGAAGUGUGUUUAUAUAACGAUUAAAUAUAGUGAAUUCUAACCUCAAUUAUUUCUAAUAAUUUAUUCGCCAAUUCAACUCGAUAAGGUAUCCAAGUCUAACAAAACCUAAGCUUACGUAAUAAAUCUCUACCAAUUGAAUAAACGAUGAACUAUGCUAGAAUUGAAAUAUCUAAGCAUGCAAAUACUACUAAAAUUAAAUGCAAGAGAGAGAGAGAGAGAGAUUUCUUUCAUUAACCUUCGUCAAUAUAUUGGUUGAAGUUGGUUAUUCUUCAUCUAAACCAAUUCAUUGGUUGAGGAGGAUUUAUUUUUAUUUCAUUAACCUUCGUCAAUCCAUUGGUGGAAGUUGGUUUUUUUUCAUCUAAAUCAAUUCAUUGGUUGAGGACGAUUUGUGCGUUGACCUUUAUUAAAGUAUAGGUUGAAGUUGGUUAUUUUUUCAUCAAAAUCAAUCCUUUGAUUGAGGAUGAUUUGUUCAUGACCUUAGUUAAUCCUUUGGUUGAAGUCAAUUAUUUUUCAUAGGAAUCGAUCCUUUGAUUGAGGACAAUUUGUUCGUUGACCUUCAUCAAUCCAUUGGUUGAAGUUGGUUAUUUUUCAUAUGAAUCAAUCCAUUGGUUGAGGAUGAUUUGUUCAUGGACAUUCGUCAAUCUAUUGGUUGAAGUUGGUUAUUUUUCAUUUGAAUUAAUCCAUUGGUUGAGGAUGACUUGUUCGUUGACCUUCAUCAAUCCAUUGGUCGAAGCUGGUUGUUUCAAGUUCUUCUAAUCCGAAUCAACCUAUUGGUUGAGAAUGAUCUUUUUGCCGAUGACCUCCAUCAAUCCAUUGGUUGGUAUUGGUGUGUCUUCUUUUGUUGAUUUGAAUCAACACAUUAGUUGAGGACGAUUUAUCGUUAACCUCCGUCAAUACAUCAAUUGAUGUUGGAUGUCUUUUGUUGAUCUGAAUCAACAUAUUAGUUAAGGAUGGUUUGUCGGUGCCAUUGCCUUUACCCAGUGAGUCUUCCCAUUUACUUCAUUUGUCUUCCCAUUGGAAUUCCUUGAAAAGUUAUAUCAGUUAAUCUCCUCAGAGUUUGAUUCAUAUUUCAUAUCCCCAACAAUAGAAUCCAUGCAUUCAUAACAUAACGUGCCAUCUCAUUGCACCAAAGGAAAAAAAUUGGGUUUUUCGUAUUUAAUUAUCUUCAACCACGAACGUAUGAAGAUCGUUGUCAUUCAUACCUUCAGGUUCAAGGUAAUUAAAUAGGGGCAGCUGUCAUACCCUAAUUUUGUCCGAAAAUUUUAAACUUUCAUGCAUUCAAUCUUAUUUUGUUUUGCGUAGAAUAAAAUUUAAGUUUUACACACAAAUCGGUUGAAUCGAUUUUUAAUUGCAUGUAAAAUUAGCGAGCAAAAAAUUUCUAGAUCGGGCUUGCAUUUGUUUGUUUUAUUGAUCUACAAUUCACGUAGUUUAGCCGGACUUGCUCGUUAAACUUUUUCGAUCCCAUUUACGUUCGCAAUUUGAUCAGUCUAAGCCUUUUCAACCGAGCGUUUUUCACCAUAAAAUUUGAUUUCUAUCUGUCUAUUUUACAGAAGUAUAUUUCUCAUAGAUUAUUUUAAUGCAUUUAUUUUAUUUUUUUCACGCAUUUUCACGCCUGAUUUUUAUUCAAUUUAGUUCCUUUUGUUUUUGUUUUUUUUAUCAAAAUAUCAACAAAAAAAAUAGAGACAAAUAAAUAAUCAUUUAAUUUUUAUUUUCUUUAUCAAAAAAAAUAUUUCAAUUGUUUUGAAUUUGAUUCUUUUAAAUUUAUUUUUUAUCUUAAACAUAUCCUUGUGUGUUUUUUGGCAAUGCAUUUAAUUAUGAAAAUCCUAAUUUGCUUAUUAUUUUGUGCUAACUUUCUUGACCAAUGGACUGAAGUUAAUCACUAACUCACAAUUGUUACCAUUAUUUUCACUUGGAUCACUAUGGAUGUUUCUCUCUCAUAACUGAAUUACAAUCUCAUUUCAAUAAAAUUAACUUCAACAAACACACUUAGAUGCAAUCUUAACCCUUGAUUAAACAUUUAUUUUUCACAUGGAUCACUAAUCGGUACAAUCCUAACCAUUCAUCAUUUUCAUUUUUCAUAUUCUAACUUUCUCAAAAAUUCACCCUCACAUUUCACACAAAUUUGAAUUCAUUCACAUUCAUGCUAGCCUAUUUAAAUAACAUCAUAUCACCACACAAAAAAAGGAGAAGGAGAAAUGAGUAAAAAGGAUAGCAUAUUCACUACUUGAAUUUUCCUCAAAAAUAGAAAAUAAUUGAAUAAUUUGAAAGAGGAGAAAGAGAGGGUUGAAGAGUGAUUCAUAUCACAUUGAUCGAUACCUGCUUGGAGCUUCGUCGGAGGGUGGUCGGGAUUUACAAACUCAUCGGUUUUCUUUGCAUUCUUGAGGAUUUUCACGUGGAUAAACUUUGAUUCUUGUUUUUUACUAGACUUCUUGACAUAAACUUGUUGUUGCACUUAGUAUGUAAUCCAUUAAUCAUUUGUGCAAAAUAGCUCGGAAAAUGAAUUUUUAGAAAAUUGAUAUUCUUGUGCAUCUCACUAUAAACGACUAAUUUUCGAAAAUUUUAGUUGUUGAUUUUUGAGCAUGAAAUUAUGUUCGUGAGAUCGAUUAGAUGAAUUUUUAUUAUUCAUUUAGGCGAUUUCGUGAAAAAUUGAGACAAUUGCAUCUGGAUCAAAUAGAUUAGUAGUGUGUAUUUUCCAAAUUGUUCAUAUUGUUAAUGCAUUCUUACUUCCUACACUACUAUUCAUGCUUAACAAAAGUGGAAGAUGAAGCAUGGCCCAUGUGGCCCUACCAUUUUUUUUUCAUUUUCUUUUUAUUUUAUUUUAUUACUUUCUAUUUUCUUUUUUUUUUAUUAUUUAAUUUUUUUUAAUUAAUUUGAUUAAUUGAUUAAAUACAAACUUAAAUAGUUUUUUUUCCCCUUUAAGUUGACAUAUUUUUGUUUUUGUCACUAUGUCUUUUUUUUAUGGAUAAAGUUCUUAUAUGUUGAAUUUUAUUUGCUUUUAGUUCAUAAAAUUAAAAUCCAGAGGUUUCUUAUGGAUUUUAACUUUAGGGACUAACACCAAAAGAAUUUUAGGAUUCAUGGAUUAUUUUUAGAAAAAAAAGAUACAGGAACAAAAAUAAAUAAAAACGCCAACUUAUAGGACCAAAAAACUAUUUAAGCCUUAAAUGUAUCUUAAUUUAUUAACCUUUUAAAUUGAUUUUUAAUUAAUUGACUAAUUGAUUAAAUAUAUUUUAAUUGAUUAAUUUUGUUAAUUGAUUUUUAAUUAACUUGAUUCAUUGGUCAUAUCUAUUUUAAUUGAUUAACUUUGUUAAUUGAUUUUUAAUUAGCUUGAUUAAUUGAUUAAUUUGGUUAAUUGAUUUUUAAUUAACUUGAUUAAUUAAGUAAUUUCAUUUUAAUGGAUUAAUUAGGGUUAAUUGAUUUUUAAUUAAAUAAUUUGACCACAUAAAAUCAACCUUUCAAAAUCAAAUUAAAUACUUGAUCAACAUCAAGUUGGUUUUCAAAUUAUCUGACCACGUUAUAAACCACUUUCCUAAUUAAAUGUUACAUUAAAAAAUCUUUUCAUAAUAAAAUCGAAUGAAGAGGAACAUUAGAGUCUCGCGUUACAUGAAAACCUCGAAUCAUUGGCUUCGGGACACACGUCUUUGAAUAACAAUUUAUUCUUUCUUUUAUCCCAAAACACUUAAUUCAAACUUGGAUUAAAAAAGGAACAUUAUAGUAUAGGGUUCUAUGAAAACCUUGAGCAAUCGGUCCAGAGACACACGUUUUGGUCCUACCACACGUUUGUUAUCCAUCAAACAAAUGUCAUAAACACUUUGAAUGAAAAAAGAACAUUGGUGUCUCCUUUAUAUGAAAACCUCGAAUAAUCGGCCCUGAGGCAUACGUCUUGGUCCUACCGAGCAUUCAUCAUUCUCCUAAAAAUAAUUCAACACAUCAAAUCCAUUUUUCUUGCCUCUGUGCGAUCGAAAACCUUUUUAAAAAGAACAUUGUUUAGUCUGUUCUAUCGCAAUACAAACAAACGUUUUAAGCCUCCCAUUGCAAGCACAAGCAACGUUUAACUGAUAGAGCGCGAUUUAAACAUUCGUUCGAUAAAAUCAACCAAUCAAUACAUAACUUUUUACGCAGAACUACGUAGUCUUGAGUUCUCUAUCGCACCUAGGGAUACAUAGAAGCGGGAUUUUGAAAUCUUGUCAGGCACGUUAACAAAAAAACCUAAAAAAGUUUUUUCUUUCUUUCUUUCAUAAACACAUGAUAAGUAAAAGAAAACAAUAACAUAAGCUAACAUUCAAUCGCAAAUUUAACUUAAUGGUACUUGUUGAGUACAACGAACGUGAGGGGUGCUAAUAUCUUCCCCUUGCGUAACGACUCUUGAACUAGAGUUUGGUUGCGACGACCAUCUUCUUUUUCUUUCGAAGGUUUUAUCUAUAUUUUCUCUUUCCUAUUUUUGAACAAAUAAAAUUUGGUGGUGACUUUAUUCAAUAGUUUUCCGAGAACGCGCGAACUCCUCGCGAAUGAUAAUAUUUUUUUAUAUGAACACAACCAAGUCGUGCAUUAAGAAAACAUAAUAGCAAACAUGUAACUAUUUAAUAUGUGCAUUAUGAAAUGGAAGUUAUUGUUUUUAAUUUAGUGUUAUACUAAUAUAUUUAAAUUUAAGAGUUAAGUUUUCUCAUUAGAACCUUAAAAACAUGUUCCUGAAUAGCAAAUGAGAUUUGUGUAAAAAUUGGAAUGCGGUCAAAGUCAUGUUGAUACUUCAACUAGGUUCAAUCAAGAAAUCAUUUAGAAAAAAUCAUCAUGAACAUUAAGAAUCAACAUAUUACUCAUUUUUACGCAAUAUUGUAUGGUUUCGUGUCAAGAAAAUGCAAACAUCACAUUGCAAGAGAGAAUAAAAGAGUGAAGUGAGUAGGUGUUUAUAAGGUUGCAUAUCAUAAAAGAGUGAAGUGAGUAGGUGUUUAUAAGGUUGCAUAUGGAUACUGCAUUAUAUGGCGGGAAAUGCUUGUAGCAUGACAUAAUAUUUAAUACCAUAUUAAUUUACAUAAAUAUUUAACAAUAAAAUUAUAAAAUACUUAUACUUCUAUCAAACUCAUACACAUAAAGUUGCCUCGUAUAAAGGCAUUGGCCUCUCCUAAAAAGUGAUACCCAAGCUCGAGGAACACGAAAAUAUACUUCACAUCAAUGUAAUGAUUGUAAUGAUAGGGCUUAUUAACAUAAAUGGUACAUCCAACCAGAUAUAACAUAUCAUAUCUACCAUGUGUCACCAACACCGUAUAUUUUUCUCUUGUAGGCAAGGCUCGUGUAACAUGGAACAUGCACAACACAUCACCUAAUGUGACUGUAAUCUCUUUGAAUGAAAGAUGGAAGGAAGAAAUCUUGUUUUUCCAUCUUUCUGUAAGAGAAUAUAACAGUGGACUGCCUAGCAUGGUGUGCUAACAACCCAUCAACGAAAAUAAUAGAAACCCCCUCAAGUAUCUCCAUAACAAAGAAUUUCUUCAACUUCAUCCCAUGGAUGGAACCUUUAAUAUGACUGAUCUUGAAAAAUUAAAUCAUAAGAUACUAGUUAUUUUAAUUAACACAUAAUGCAUAAAAUAUAAUUAUAUAACUACAUAUACCUCUCAUUGGCAUAGAUGCAAUGCUACAUGUUGAUUGUACUAAGUCAACAUAGACAUGUCAGAUGGUCAUCCUCGGAAUCCAAUUGCCACCUAAGUCAAAAUAAUUAAAUAAUCUUCAAAAGAAGACUAUAACACCUAAUGAAUUGCGUUACAAUUAAAACUCACUCACUCUCUUUCUUUCCAAGAAUUGAGCAAGACUUAUCAGUCGUAAUUUAGUUGAGGUUGAAAUAAUUCUUUUCUAAAAAAUCUCAAAUAAAUAGCAUUUCCCAUUCAAGAGAUUAACAUUUAAAAAAUAUUCAAGGUUUUUUUGAGAUAGAUUUUAUGUGAAUGAUGAACACUCUAAAAGUUGAUUUUAUGUGUUAUAGAUAAGACACAAAAAAGUGUAAAAAUAACACUUUGAUUCGAGUCAAAGAGAAAAUGAGUGAUUCGAAUCUAGUGAGAGAAUGCUUUGAAUCAAAAAAAGAAGAAACUCAUAACAUAGCUAAAUUGAUUAUUGACAUUAGAAUCAUGAAAGACAUGAGAGCAGCUAAACAGAUUAUUGACAUUAGAAUCAUGCGUGACUGAAAGGAGAAGAAACAUUGGAUGUCACAGGAACAUCUUAUUGAAAGAAUGUUGUAAAGAUUCCAAACGGAAAGUUCUAAGGCGGUAAGCACUCCUCUUGCUACUCAUUUGAAGUUUAGUUCUAAUCAAAGUCCUUCAAGUGAUGAUGAAAUGUUUUAUAUAAAAAGUGUUCCUUACGCGUCUAUCGUGGGUAGUUUGAUGUGUGCAAUGGUGUGUAAAAGAUCAAAUAUAACUCAUGUUGUUGGUACAAUCAAUAGAUAUUUGUCAAAUUCAGGUAGAGAGCAUGGAAUGUUGCAAAAUGGAUUUUAAGGUAACUUCGUGAUACUACUUGUGUGAGGCUUUGUUUUGAAGGAGAUAAGACUGCUCUAGAGGGGUACUCUGACUCUGGUAUGUCUAGAGACAUUAAUUCUAAAAAUUCCACUUUGCGCUACAUGAUUAAAUUUGAAGGGGAAGUUGUGACUUGGUAGUCAAGAUUGCAAAAGUGUGUAGCAUUUUCUACUACAAAUGCAUAGUUCAUUGCCAUUACUAAAGCAUGCAAAAAGUUACUAUGGUUGAAGAUAUUUUUGUAGGAGUUUGGGUUUGUUCAAGACAAAUAUGUGUUAUUUGUUGAUAGUGAAAAUACUAUUUAUAUUGGUAAGAAUCCGACUUUUCAAAAGUUCAAACACAUUAAUGUGAGAUAUUAUUAAAUACAUGAUGUUUUGGAUGUUAAGUUGUCAGAAUUAGCUAAAUUUCACAUGAAUGAUAAUAGUUUUAAUGUGAUGACUAAAACAUUAUCAAGAGGAAAAUUUAAAGUUUAUCGUGAUAUUGCCGGUAUGGCAAUUUCUUCCAAAUAAUUGUGAGGAGGAGAUUUGUUGGAUUUGUAACUUGAACUUCCUCCACAUAUGAUGAUUAAAAUACUGAUGUUCUGCAAUGUUUUUGUUUGUUUAUAUAUUUGUUUUUUAUCCUUAUAGAUUUAAAAAAUUUAUAUUUACUAGUUUAUUUUUGAGAAUUAAUUUCCCAUACAUUCUCAUAUUUAAAAAUAUAGAAUUAUGAAAUGAAAACAAGCCAACUGUGUUAUGUUUUUUGGAAUAAGAAUGGGGCCAGCUUCCUGCAGAAUAAAACCAAGUCAAGUGUUCACACCAGUAUGAAUCAAAGGAAAUGAUAAAGUAAAGAUAGCGUAAGUAAAUUGAUGUUGUUAUUUGAAAACGUUAAAAGUUGUCACAUGCUUAUGUUUGUCUGAUAUGACACGAAGACAGGAAUACGUACACUCAAAUAACAUUUCUAAGGCAUCAAUAUGCUGUGAAUGUGCUAACAAAAGCUCAAGUUACAAAUGUGAAUGUGAGAAAGAUUUCAAAAUCCAAAUUGGAAUCUUCUUCUUACAUGGUUUAGGUUUAAAUGUGUACACUUGGACUUUAGGUUUCUUCCCUCUUUUUUUUGUAUAUAUCCAUCAUCUAGUCGUUAUUUUUAAAAUCUUAAUUCAAAAUAAAUAAGUCAAUGAGUCAAACAUGAUGGCAGAGAAUCAUUGCUCACAGCUACAAAAAGUCUAAUUCUCUUGACUCUUCACAUGGUAAAUUAAAUUUCUUAAAAUCUAUUUUCAUUUGUGAAGAAAAAACUUAAAUCUGUAUAUUAUAAUAUUAUAUAUCCUCAUCACUGCUUCGACUCAUAAAUAUAUUAUAUUCAACAAUGGCCAAACUAUACUCUAACUGGCUCUAUAUUCUCUCUUUCUCACUCUAUUUUUACUUCUUCACUUGCUUAGUUAUGAGUACUAAAAAAAACAUCACCACCGAUGAAUUUGCACUUCUUUCAUUCAAAUCAUCUAUUACUUUGGACCCUUAUCAUGUUCUUAGUAAUUGGUCAAUUUCCUCUAAUUCUUCUACUUUCUCUUCAUGCAAUUGGGUUGGUGUUACUUGUGAUGAACAUCAUGGAAGAGUAAAUGCAUUGAAUCUUAGUAACAUGGCCCUUCAAGGUACCAUUUCUCCUCAGUUGGGAAAUCUCUCUUUCCUUCUUGUUCUUGAUCUACAAGGCAAUGGUUUCCAUGGUGAGUUACCACGAGAGUUACUUCAUUUGAAGAGAUUGAAGUGGUUGGAUUUGAGUUACAAUGAUUUUGUUGGAGACAUUCCUUUAAGGAUAGGGGACUUAUCAAAACUUCAAUAUUUGGAUCUUGGAUAUAAUAAUAUUGUUGGAGUUAUUCCUCAAUCUAUAUCCAAUUUCUCAAUGUUGGAGUAUCUAAACUGGAAAUCAAAUUUCAUUGAAGGAACUAUUCCACAUGUUAUUGGUAAACUUGAAAGGUUGAGAAUUUUGGAUGUUAGAAAUAACAAACUCUCUGGAAUCAUACCAUCAACAAUUUUCAACAUGUCUUCGCUUCAAGAAAUCCGUCUAUCAAAUAAUUCUUUAUCAGGUAUGAUAUGUUCACCCCCAUGAUUUUAAAUUACAGUUGCGUCUGCAAUUGAAACAAUCAUUACGGUCGUUGUGAUUCGUAUUAUGUUUAAAGAGUCGUCCUAAAUAUGUUUAUUUUGUCUAUAUUGAACUAAAGGAGAAAUUCCAAAAGGAAUUGGUGAUCUUCCACAGCUGAUAACAUUGAACCUUCAAUAUAAUCUCCUCACCGGCAACAUAUUAAUGUUGAACAACUCAUCUUUGCAAAUAUUGGGUCUUGGUUUCAAUAAUCUCUCUGGAAUUCUUCCAUCAAAUGUUUGUCAAGGACUUCCAAAUCUUAGAUUACUCUAUCUUUAUGUUAAUGAUUUUUCUGGUAAGAUGCCGAAUGUAUGGCGAUAUUGCAAAGAAUUGGUAGAUUUGGAGCUAUCUUUCAAUAAUUUUGACAAAGGACCUAUGCCAGCUGACAUUGGAAACUUGACAAACCUUCAAUCUUUGUAUCUUACUAGCACCAACUUGGAAGGUAAGAUAAUUUUUCUAACACAAUAAGUGUUUAUUUAUUAAGUGUUUAUUGAAUAAUACUUUCAUAUUUUAUAUUACAUAUACAGGUGAAAUUCCAGUCUCCCUCUUCAACAUCUCUUCUUUGAUAGAGAUCAACCUUGAUGGAAACCAUUUAAAUGGAACUCUUCCGGGCGAGAUGUGUCUUCAACUUCCUCAACUUGAAAAAUUUACUCUAUUCGGUAAUCGUUUGGAAGGAACCAUUCCACGAUCGAUUGGCAAUUGCACAUUGUUGCAAAUAUUAACAUUACAGGAUAACUUUUUUUCAGGUAAAUCCUCAAAUUUCUAUCUUCAUUUUUUGGUUAAGCAUUUCAUGCAUCAUUUUACUCUCAUGCUUCAUCUCAUGAUAUGUGAUUUUAGGUUUGAUACCUAUGGAGAUUGGCAAUCUCAAUCAACUUCAGUUUCUUCAAUUGGGAAAUAACAGUUUGAGUGGAUAUGUUCCUUCAAAUGUCUUCAACAUUUCAAGAUUGGAAAAUCUUCAUCUUGAACUAAAUUCUCUCUCGGGUAUGCUUCCAUCAAAUAUGGGAUUAGGCCUUCCAAACCUACAACAACUACACAUGUAUGGAAAUAGGUUUGUUGGAAAUAUUCCAAAUAGCAUAUCCAAUGCCUCAAAUCUCGUCAUAAUUGACUUGAGUUCGAAUGAAUUUAGCGGAGUUAUACCCAACUCAUUUGGAAAUUUAAGAGACCUUGAAUCACUCGUCAUAGGUGGCAAUAAUUUGACAAUAGACGAGUCUCUUGAAUUCAACUUCUUAACUUCGCUGACAAGUUGCAGAAACUUGAAACAUCUUGAAAUUUCAGAGAAUACUUUGCCAUUAAAACUUCCCAAGUCCAUUGGAAACCUAUCUUUAGAACACCUUUGGGCAAAUUCUUGUGGAAUUAAAGGAAACAUUCCACUAGAAAUCGGAAACAUGAGCAACUUGGUUCGAUUAUCUCUGAGUAAGAAUGAUUUAAUUGGACAAAUCCCUAGUACAAUUAAAGAGUUACAGAAACUUCAAUCUUUAGGCCUUGACUACAAUGGACUUGAAGGAUCUAUAAUUGAUGAGCUUUGUGAAAUUAGGAGUUUGAGUGAGUUGAAUUUAACAAGUAACAAGUUUUUUGGAGUGUUACCAACAUGUUUGGGAAAUAUGACUUCUCUUAGAAAGUUUCACAUUGGAUCUAACAGGUUAUCCUCUUCAAUACCUUCCUCCUUUUGGAAUCUCAAAGAUAUUUUAGAGGUAAACUUAUCCUCUAAUGCUUUAAUUGGAAAUCUUCCAUUUGAGAUUAAGAAUUUGAGAGCUCUUGUGCUAUUAGAUUUGUCAGAAAAUCAAAUUUCAAACAACAUUCCAACAACCAUAAGUUUCUUGACAACUCUAGAAACUCUCUCCUUAGCAAAUAACAAAUUGGAAGGACUUAUUCCAAAAUCACUUGGUGAAAUGGUAAGUUUGAGCUUCUUGGACUUGUCUCACAAUCAUAUAACCGGUAUGAUCCCGAAAUCUUUGGAGUCACUAUCUUAUCUUAAACACAUGAAUGUUUCAUACAACAGAUUGCAAGGAGAGAUUCCGAAUGGAGGACCUUUCAAGAAGUUUACAUCUCAAUCUUUCAUGAGUAAUGAAGCACUUUGUGGUAGUACUCACUUUCAAGUACCUCCAUGUGAUGAAAAAAUUAGGAAAAAGUCAAUGAAAAAGAUGAUAUUAAUCAUAUGCAUAUCAUCCAUAAUUGUUGUGUUAGGCCUUGUGGCUAUUGCAUGCAUAAUAGUUCAAAUGUUCAAAAGGAAAAAAGUUGAAAAUCCAGUUGAAAGAGAUUUAUCAACUAAUUUAGGGGUUUCAAAAAGGAUCUCCUAUAAUGAACUUGUGCAAGCAACUGAUGGAUUUAGUGAGAGUAACUUGCUUGGAAAGGGUGGUUUUGGAUCUGUGUAUCAAGGAAUGCUUUCUAGUGGGAAGAUGGUAGCAGUUAAAGUACUUGACUUGAAAUUGGAAGUUGCAUCAAGAAGUUUUGAUGCGGAAUGCAAGGCAAUGCGCAAUCUUCGGCAUCGAAAUCUUGUUGAGAUUAUUACUAGUUGUUCAAAUGUCAAUUUCAAAUCUUUGGUGAUGGAGUUUAUGUCAAAUGGGAGUUUGGAAAAAUGGUUAUACUCAGAUAACUAUUUUUUGGAUUUCUUGCAAAGGUUGAAUAUAAUGAUAGAUGUUGCAUCUGCAUUGGAGUAUCUCCAUCAUGGUUCUUCAAUACCAGUGGUUCAUUGUGAUCUGAAGCCUAGUAAUGUGUUACUUGAUAAAAAUAUGGUGGCACAUGUGAGUGAUUUUGGCAUUUCUAGACUCUUGGAUGAAGGACAUUCUAAAACUCAUACAGGAACUCUAGCCACUCUUGGCUAUGUUGCACCAGGUAAUUAUUCUCUUCUAACUCAUAAGUUGAUUAUAAUAGUUUGAACUCAUAUUCAGAAUCGUCCUAAGUUUUCAAAAGCCAUGCGUAAGAUAGUUACGGUCUAAAUGUGCGAAGCAAAUAAGGGCCUUAUUUUGCCACGAUUUAACCAUGAUAAGUAUUUUAUGAGACACUUUUUAACUACAGUUUAACCGUAUCAGAUUUGAGACUCAUGCAAUAGUCCGCCUUACACACCCUUAAAGACACCUGCUUAUAGUUAGUAGCCAAAUUUAUAUCUAACUAAAUAGAUACUAAAAAUGAAUACUCUCCUUCCUAACAAUUUGUAAAUCAUUUUCAUUGUAUUUGAGAAAUAUUUAAUAACUAGUUGUUAAUAUUGCAUGUAGAGUAUGGUUCUAAGGGAGUGAUUUCGGUUAAAGGAGAUGUGUAUAGCUAUGGAAUAAUGCUAAUGGAAAUCUUCACAGCAAAGAAGCCAACAAAUGAAAUGUUUGCAGGAGAAUUAACAUUGAAAACUUGGAUUAGUGAAUCAAUGGCCAGUUCAACCAUGGAAGUUGUGGAUUUCAAUUUAGUCUCUCAACAUGAUAAAGAAAUUCAUGAAUUUUUAGCUCAUGUGUCGUCUAUUUUGGCUUUAGCAUUGAGGUGUUGCGAAGACUCACCUGAGGCACGGAUUAAUAUGAUUGAUGUAAGUGCAUCAUUAAUCAAAAUCAAGACCUUAUUCAUCCAUUGAAAGACAAAAUCAUGAAAUAAAACUACAUAUUGAAUUAUAAAUCACAUAUUACCUGAAAAAAAUCUCUUUAUUCUUCUAUGUUUCCAAUAAUAUUUGAAUAUAAAUGCAACAUAAAACAUUAUUUAAUUUCAUAUUAUAUGUGGUUACACAUAAAAGUAAAGAAUUUGUUAGCUGAAAUAGACAACAAAACAAUUUAGUGUUGGGCCAUGUUCUCUCAACCAAUCUAAAGCUAGGCGAGUGCAAGUUCAAUCAAAUGUGAAGAAGAUGAAUCUUAAUCAAUUAUAAUUAGGUCUACAAAGAUCAUGGAAGUGAUAGAAUCAUUCAAAACUCAGUAGGAAUUCAUAAUUGAAAAUUUUACCCAUGCUCUAUGUUUAUAGAGUCACUAACCAAAGAAAGCAAAAAGAAAGGAAACACAUUUUGAGGCAGUCUCACAUGCGUGGAUAAGAAAAAAUGGAAAAUACCAUGAAUUUAUAGAAUCAUGUAUGUUAAAAAGAGUGAGAGGGAGAGUGAGAGAUAUUUGAAUAAAAUUGUGUGUUUGAAUAAUACUACGGAGAUUGUAAUAUAUAGUGAAUAUGAUAUUUUGGACGGAACUCUAAUCUUAUAGGGAUAGUUUCAUCUUUCGACAGAGUUGCGUAUGUUGUAGUCGAAGUCUGCUCAAGCAUGCAGGAGUUGAAGAUGUGCAUGUUGUAGUCGAAGCAUGUUCUAGCAUGCAAUUGUAUAAGUUAGCUUGUUGCUUAAGUUAGCUUAGUGUUUAAGUUAGUCUGUAGUCUAUAAAUAGACUGCUCUCUCAGAUUUUUGAGAGAGGGUUAAACGUUGAUUGUUGUUAUUCACUUGUAACCAUUUCCCUAAUUGAAAAAGUGAAUAGAAAAACAGUUUUAAGCAAUUAUUGUUCUUCUUCUUCCUUCUUCUCUCUCUUUCGUAAACCUAAAAGGGUUUCUUGCGUUUUUAUUUAUUCUUGGUGCGGCGUUUGUCACAACAAACUAGUGCGGUGAGCGUGGACUAGAUGCCGUCAACGAAGUAUGAUAUUGAGAAAUUCACUUGUGUGAAUGAUUUUGAUUUGUGGCGCUUGAAGAUGCAAGCCCUACUGAUUCAACAGGGUUUGUUAGAAGCGUUGAAAGGAUCAGAAAAGAUGGAUAUUUCCCUAACAAAGAAGGAGAAGACGACGAUGGAUGUUGAGCCUUGGUGAUAACACUACUACGGAAAACAUAUAUCACAACGGUUUGAUUGUAUGUAUGAUGAUUUCCACCACGGUCGUGGGAGUGUGAUUAUAAGUCAAGUAGCGCGCUACCUACUACAACAGUUACUUUAAAAAAUCGUUGUUAUAUGUCUCAACCUAUCACAACGGUUAUUUUAAACAACCGUUGUUGUAUGUCUUUUACUCCCUUCGUUCCUUUUUAAGUGUCAUUUUUUAACUUUUUACACAUAACAAGAAAACUAAUCAUUAUUGUUACUUUUCAAACAAUAAUUCUUCUUUUACCUAUAAUACCGUUAAUUAUUUAUUACAUUCGUUUUACUUUUUCUCUCUCUUUAAUAAUCACCUAGGGGUAAUUUUGACAAAAGUGCAAUUAAUACUACCUUGAGCUUUGCAAGUGACAAUUAAAAAGGAAUUUUUUUUCUCAAGAAAAUGACACUUAAAAAGGAACGAAGGGAGUAAUAAAAAGAAAAUUAUUGCAGCAAUAGAACAACAACAAUAAGAAGAAGCACAAUAAGAACAAAAACAAGAACUACAACAUGAACAAGAACAACAACAAAAAUAACAACAACAACAAUAACAAUAACAACAAUAAGAACAAGAACAAGAACAACAAGAAUAACAACAAGAACAAGAACAACAACAACAAUAACAACAACAUCAACAUCAUCAGCAUCAUCAUCAUCAUCAUCAACAACAACAACAACAACAAAAAGAACAACAACAAGAACAACGACAACUAACAUUGCUAACUUGAAUCCAUGCUUUCCUUGUCUCAUUCAAGUUAGAGAUGAGAGGUGAUGGAGUUCUGAAAUUUGUUAAUGAAAGAAAUGAUAUUUUCGAGUUUUAUUUAUGGAAGAAAUGAUGUUUUCGAGCUUGCUUUAGUGGAGAAAUAGAGUGUCGUAAGUGGAAGAAGAUGUUUGGAGGUAGAAGAUGAAGUUCGUAUAAGUUGGAAGUUCAUUUAAGUUUUAGGUUUCACUCAGAUCACUAAAGGUAGUGUCUUUAGCGUUCAUACUCACUAGAUGAAUGAUAAAGAUUUAUUUAAGAACAAUGAAGAAACUUAAUAAGCAGGCUUAAAAAUAAAUAAAAACAAAAUUGUAGGUUCCACCUAUCAUAACGGGUACUUUAAACAACUGUUGUCGUGUGUCUCAACCUAUCACAACGGUUACUUUAAACAACAUUUAUUGUACGUCUUUUAAUAAAUAAAUAAAUAAAAACAAAAUUUUAGGUGCUAGGAUUCGAACUCAUGACCAGACGCCACUUUUCAUCAUAGUUGAAAGUUUCAACCGUGGUGAAUAAUGGCUUAAAAAUAAAUAAAAAACAAAAUUAUAGGUGCUAGGAUUCGAACGCAUGACCAUGCGCCACUUUUCACCGCGGUUGGUACCUAUGACCGUUGUGAAAUGUCUUUUAGUAAAUACAAAAAAACGUCAAAAAAAAGUUAUUACCACAGUUAACAGGAAGAUCGUUGUAAAAUGGGUGUUACGAAAGGUCUAUUUUGUAGUAAUAUAAGGUUAUCGGAAGGUCUAGAAGGAUAAGACGACAACAUGUGUGUGAAGAAAACUCGAAGGGUUAUACAUGACAAAAUCCCUGGUAAAUCGUCUGUACCUGAAGUAGGUUUGCAUUCAUUCAAGAUGAGUGAAGAUAGAGUCUUGACGGAGCAGUUGGAUAUGUUCAACAAGCUGAUUCUUGAUCUGGAGAAUGUUGAGGUUAGUAUCAAUGAUGAAGAUCAAGUGUUGUUAUUGUUGUGUUCUUUACCUAAGCCUCAUGCUCAUUUUAAAGAAACUCUUUUAUAUGAAAGAGAUUCCUUAAACUUUGAAGAAGUUCAAUCAGCCUUGUACUCUAAGGAUUUGAAUGACGGAAAGAAGCACAAGUUAUCGUUUGUUGGUAAAGGUUUGUCUGUUAAAGGGAAAUUCUUGAAGAAAGAUGGAAGGUUUGAGAAGAAGAAGGGUAAAGGUCAGUAAAAGUCUUAUGGUGGUGAUACCCCUAGAACUAAAUGUUACCACUGUAAGAAGGAAGGUCAUACAAGAAAAGUGUGCCCUGAACGUCUAAAAUAUCAUGGUUGUAAGGAUAAUGGGAAUGGAAUCAUUGUUCAAGAUGAUUUUAAAUCGUCUGAUGUUCUAGUAAUUUCGAGCAGCAAUUCUUGCAAGGAAUGGAUCAUGGAUUCAUGUUGCACUUGGCACAUGACUCCAAACAAAUAUGUGUUUGAGAAAUUAGGAGAUCAAGAUGGUGGAUCAGUUUUGCUGGGAAACAAUAGAGCCUGAAAGAUAUCAGGAAUUGGAUCUAUGAGAUUCAAGUUCCAUGAUGAGUCAAUAAAGCUAGUGACUGAUGUAAGAUGUGUACCUGAUCUAAAGAGAAAUUUGAUUUAUCUUGGUGAGUUCAACAAGAAGGGACAUGUUUUCAAAGGAGAGCAUUGCAUCCUCAGAGUCAUGAACGGUUUGAAGGAAGUCUUGAGAGGCAGGAAGAAAUAAGGCUUGUAUACCCUCAAGGCUGAGAUUGUAAGUGGAUUAGCAGAUUUUGCCUACACGAAACCUGUGUUGAAGACAGAACUCUGGCACAUGAGAUUGGGCCAUGUUAGUGGAAUGGGUCUUGGGGAAACAGAAUCUCCUAGGAGGUGACAAAGUGGAAAAGCUAUAAUUUUGUGAACCUUGUGUGUUUGGUAAAUCCUGCAUAGUCAAGUUCAAUAAAGGCAAACAAAGAACACAUGGAUCCCUUGAUUACAUUCAUGUUGAUAUUUAGGGGCCUGCAAGGAAUCCUUCACACUCAGGUGCAAACUAUUUUCAAUCCAUAGUUUCUGAUUAUUCCAGAAAGUUAUGGGUAUUCAUCCAUAAGACUCUGUUCGAAAAUCAGACUGGAAAGAAGGUCAAGAGGUUGAGAACCGAUUAUGGCUUUGAGUUCUACAAUGAAGCUUUUGAUAGUUACUGUAGUAUGUCUGGUAUUGUAUGGCACAAGACUACUGCAUGUACUCCUCAUCAAAAUGUCAUGGAUGAGAGAUUCAAUCGAACAAUACUAGAAAAGGUUAGAUGUUGUUGUUAGUGCUAGAUUGAAGUAGGUGUUUUGGGCCGAGGCUGUUGUGACUGCAACAUACCUGAUAAAUAGGUGUCCCAUGAAUGCCUAAGGGAUGAAGACACAUGAAGAAGUCUGGUCAUAAUUGUUGGUGUAAGCCCUAGAGGCCAAUACUUUUGGUACUUGUAUCGAAUUAUUUAUUAAUUAUAAUAGGCUUUUUCUUUAUUAUGUUUGUUUAAUAAAGUCCCUAGGAUAGCUAGUCCGUUUAAUGUAUCAAGUAUGACUUAAUCAUGAGAUCACAUUAAACAUAAGGACACUAUUCUUAAAGUAUCCGUAGUAUUUUAAGGGAUAAUUGUCUAUCGGCCCAAUAUUUGAACUGGACAAGGUGACCAAGUAUAUGCCUUGUGUUAAGUAUAUGAUCAUGGGGAAAAGGGUAUAAUUACACAUAAGUAUAUAUCACAGAAGAUAUUGUAUCAGAUCACAUAUGACAUUUCGUGGUCUGUGGUGUAGGUAGCAGGUGAUGUGUUAGCUACGAUAACGCUCUACUAGAAUAUUAUUUAUGUUUAAUGCGUGAUUUAAUAUAAUUGUCAAUGCGCGAAGAACUAGACUUAGGAGAAGUCACAACAAAGGACGGAUUGAUGACGAGAAUGAGAGUAACUAAGGAACACCGUAAGUACGGUGCACUUAAAGUGAAUUAUAGAACAUCUAAGUAAGGUACGCUGUGUACUUAAGUAUGAAUACGAAAUGUAAGGUACCUGAACGCGCUAAUGUUUGGCAAUUAUAAAAUAUGGGCCACAUACACUAAGUGGGAUUUUUAGCUUGCAGCCCUCACAAGUGGUUCUAUAAUAGAACCCUUGUGGAGAAGCAUUUCGUGCAGUUUCAUUUUCAUUUCUCUCUCUCUCUCUCAAUCAAAGCCUUCAUUCGUGCAGCUAGCACUGAGAUGAUUAGGGAAUAGUUCGUGUGGACUGAAAGUNNNNNNNNNNNNNNNNNNNNNNNNNCGAGCUUUAUUUGAAGUGGACAAUAUUAAAGCAUAAGACUAUUAUGUAUAUAGGACUGAUGAUCACAUCUCAUGGAUCAUGGAUAAGGAGUUAUCAGUCUUAAACAUAGGUAUGGAAUAUUAAGAGUAAUAUUUAUAUGGAUUGACCCCGCUAUCAGAUACUAUAUAGAAUGUUAUGCAAAGUGUCAUAAGUUAUUCUCAUUGGUGAUAAUGGGGUAUACCACCUUCGACCUGAAACCACUAUGGACCCUAGAUAUAAAGUCGAGUGCCUUGUUGCUGAUCAAAACAUUGUCCGUAACUGGAUGACCAUAAAGACAGGUGAUGGGUAUCCACGAAGCAUGCUAAGGGACAUGAGUGACCUAGAUGGAAUUUGGCCCAUCCUGGUAAAUAGGAUAAAUGUCUAGGCCCAAUAUUUGAACUGGACAAGGAUGACACAGUAUAUGCCUUGUGUUCAAUAUAGACAUAAGGGCAAAAGGGUAUAAUUGUACACAUAAGUAUUAUCACAGAAGAUUUGUUAGAUACAUGACAUUUCGUGUGUCGUUGGGUAGCAGUGAUGUGUUGCUAGAUACGCUCACUAUUUAUUAUGUUAAUGCGUGAUUUAAUAUAAUUGUCAAUGCGCGAAAACCUACAGGGUCACACAAAAGGACGGAUUGAUGAAGGAGAUAGAGUAACUAAGGAACACCGUAAGGUACGGUGCACUUAAGUGAAUUAUAGAACAUCGUAAGGUACGCUUGUACUUAAGUAGAAUACGAAAUAUGGUAAGGUACCACGCGCUUAAGUGAUUUUGGCAUAUUAUAAAAUAAUGGGCCACAUACACUUAAGUGGGAUUUUUAGCUUGCAGCCCUCACAAGUGGUUCUAUAAUUAGAACCCUUGUGGAGAAGCAUUUCGUGCAGUUUCAUUUUCAUUUCUCUCUCUCUCUCUCAAUCAAAGCCUUCAUUCGUUGCAGCUAGCACUGAGAUUAAGGAAUAUGUUCGUGUGGACUGGAGUAGAGGCGUUGUCGUCGUUCAACGUUCUGGUGAUCGCUCCGUAGAUCUGCAUCAAAGGUUUCAAUCGUCACAAGAGGUAACGAUUCUAUCACUGAUCAUGCCCAUUCGUAAGGAUCACUAAGGAGAAAAAAAAUUUAAUUCCGUUGCGUUUUGGAUCGCCUCUCCUUCAAUAACAUUCAUCCAAUCUCAACAAACUUAGAGUAUUUGUUGUGUAAUAUAUGCUCACAUUAGGCAAGAAAAAGUCGAACCUAAAGCUCUAAGAUGCAUGUUCCUUAGGUAUCAUGAAUGAGUCAAUGCUAUAGAUUAUGGUGCCUAGGACUAGGUCAGAUAAGGUGUAUCAUAAGUCGUGAUGUAGUUUUUUAGUGGGAGCAGAAUGGUGUUCAAUAAAACUGAUGAUGUUGGUUGAAAUACGAAUAUCUUUGUAGAGGAGCUGGAACAGGAAGAGAUUCUUGUUAAGGUGGAGCAUAUUGAUGCUAAAUUGCAUAACCCUAUGAAGUCGAAGAACAAGCAUAAGUUGCUGAUGAAGAUGAGGAGAAUUGUAUAAUGAAUACCUGCUGGAAAAGACAGGUUGAGAAAUCAUCAAGCCACCUUAGAGACUUGGUUAUGCAGAUCUCAUAGAUUUUGCCUUAAUCUCUCAGUGAGGUUAUUGAUGAAGAACCUAGAGACUAUAAGAAGUUUUGAGGAAUCGAGAUGACUGUCAUACCCCAAUUUUGUCGGGCAUUUUUAAUUUUCAUAAUUCAAUUUAAUUUUCAGUUUACAACAUAUGUACAUCAUAUAUGCAUUUAUCAUUAAUAAUACCUGAAAUAUCAGUCAGGAUAAACUUAUUAAAUUUACAGACAAAUCGGUUGAAUCUUUCUCAAGUACGGACCAAAUCAGCGGGUAAAAAUUUCAGAAUUUAAAAUUACAGACAUCAGUAUUAUUAAUCUACAGUUCAUGUAGUUUAACCUGGUGUGCCUUGUAUUUUUAGCAGCUGUUUCAGUUGUGUUUUGACCCGCCUGAGCCCUUUAACCGAUGCAAACUUAUUCUAGAAUUUGAAGAAACCUGUAUUUUUCAUAAGUAUAUUUUGUGCUGAUCAUUUUUAUGUGUCUGAUUAAUUUUUUGAGCAAAUUUUUGUCCGAAUUUUAUUCAUUUUUUAGUCGUUUUAAUUUAUUCUUUCUCAAAAUAGUCAAUUAAAUAAAUAGAAUUUUCCAUUGUUAUUAUUUAAUUUAUCUGAUUAUUUAAAAAGUUGUGAAUUUUAUUUGAUUCAAUUUGAUUAAAAUUGUUUUUAAAUCGAUUAAGUCAUCUAAAAAAAAGCGAUUAGUAUGUAUUUUGAUUUAUUUAAUUAGGAUGUGUUUCUUUGAUUCAAUCUGAAUCGGUUGAUUCAAAUUAAUCAAAGGCCCAUGUUAGCAAUCCAUACUCAUUUCCAAAAUCCAAUCAUAAAAUAGAAAUUUAAAUAAAUAGUUAAUAGAAAAUUAGAAAAUAUUAAAAAAUAUUCUUUCAAUCCAAUUGCCAGGUUGCCACGUGACAAUCUUAUCUUUGUGAGUGGACGGUUGGAAAUAUCCUAUCACUCCUUUCCAACGGUAACAAAAAUAAUAUUAAAAAAGCGGGCAUACGUUUCCAUGGGCCACUUACAUAUUAAAUGAUGCUCUCUCUCUCUCAAAGAUAGAAAAAAAAUGGAAAUAGAAAGUGAAAAGGAGAAAGGUGGAUUUCACGUUCACUGAUAAAAUAAUAAAAGAAGGAAAAGAAGAAAAUCUCUGCUCACUCACCUCACUAUACCCCACCCUCCACUAAGCAAACCAAACCCUCGCCGUUUACCGUUUUCAACAUUACAAACCCAUUCACACUUCAUCAACUCACCUUCCGACGCGUCACCAAACCUCCGCCAUGAUAUCGCUAUGAAAUCUCCUCACCACAACACACCUUUUCAAUCAACUACUCAUGAGCCUCCGCAAUUUACUCAACUCUGAUAUCGUCUAAUUUCCGGUUUCACUCGUGAUUACGUUUCGAUUAGAUUAAGCUUGUGGAUAAAGUUUUCUGUAUUAGAUCUGUUGCAGGUUCUAGCAUCGAAGUUACUUUUUGCCAGGAGAGAAAAAAACGUUUGAGAAACAAUGGCUCCAGUCUGUUUCUACCGAAGCUACAACCCAACGCGCGGUGAUUUCUCAACAACAAUGAAGCGGAAGCAUCAAAACAACAAUGGACUUGUUUUCUUCUUUUUUUUUGCUUAAUGGCGAUUGGUGUUUUGUCUGUUUGAUUUUUUGGCAGAGCUGCAUUGGCGCUCAUUGAAUCGUUGCGGGUUCGAUUCAGGAUCUAUAUUCAUUUUGAAUGAUUACGAAUCGUCAGAGUCAUUCCAUUUCUAAGCCGCACAAGAAUAACCACCGUGUACACAUCUCAUGGAAUUGGCUAUUCUUAGAAUGAGCCUUAACUUUCAAUGUAUGUUUCUUAAGUUUAAUCUAUUAAUAAUGCAUUUUCGGUGAUGGAUAAUGUUCAGUAAGAUUUUUGUUUAUAUCAUAGUCAAUGGUAAAAAAGCAAAUUUAAUGCUUAUUUUUUAAACAUGUAUGUUAAUUGAUCUUAUAAAGAUUUUUCACAGGCUUAAAAAUAUUGUUAUGUUGUGGACUAAUCUUAUGUUACUUUGUUAUUUUAAGCAAUCUACGAUAAUUUUAAAAAAAGGGGUAAAAUACAACUACAUUGUUACUUUUAAUUUCAGUGGCAUGAUGUACUUGGAUUUGUCCUUAACAUGUAGCAUGAUUUACUAUAUUGCAAAUAAUUGGAUUUUUUUAGUUAUUAAAUAUCAUUAGAUAUUACAUUAUUACAUUGAGUGGUUGUUAGUUGUAAGCCUCAUGCAUUUUUUUUUCUGUUUGUUGAAAUUGAAAUUCACGGGAAUUGGCAAGUUAUACCGUUAGGCCACUAAAUUUCAAUAUUACUGAUUGUCUAUUUUCACCAUUGUUUCUACCGCUCACAUUACGGAACUCAAACUCUGUUGGUCGCUAUGUACAAAUCGGUUUAUGCAGCACAUGGUGGCCGAUUCAAUCGAUUUAUUUUAUAUUCAAUAUUGUCAUAUUAUUUCUUUUAAAAUUAAUUAAUUAAAGUUUUGAUUAAAUUAGAUAAUUUUAUUAACUGAUUUUAAUUACUUAAUUAUUGAUUAUAUAAUACUUAAUCAAAAACAAAUUUUGAUAAUAAUUUUUAAUUACCUAAUUAGACGACUUAACUGAAUUUUAAUUAAUUAAUUGUUGUUUAAAAUUGACCGACUUAUUCACCAUCAUUUUUUCUUAUUCAUGUUCACUAAUACAAACUCAAAUUCCAUUUAAUUUCCAAACCAUCAAAAAUUGCAUAAUCCUCGAUUCAAUGGCGAGCCAUUUUUUCAAUACCUUUGUUAAGUCGAUCGCUUUAAGCAUCGCCAUGAACCUCACAUAGCUUACUCUUUCGGCCUUUUCUACAGAGAUCUAUUCGGUUAUUAAUUAAUCGAGUAGGGAAUUGAUACACUAAAAUAAUCCAAUUUUAUUCAUUAAAACACAUCCAAGUCCUCGAUUUUAAACAUCGAGUAUUUCUAUUCAAAUCAAAUUAAAUACUUAAUCACAUCUAAACAACCUUCAUUUGAAAAUGAAAAGGGGGAUGUUUUGAGUUUUCCAACUCCUUCCUCGAUGUAUUUGAAUUACGGAGUUUUCUUACUCGGUUAGUCCAAUAUGGUCGUCAUUUCUAAUUCAUUUUAAGCACAAAGGCAAAUGCAAAUCUUUUACAACAAGAACUAAACAGGGGAGAUAACUUUGAGUCUUCAAUUUUUUGGCUCACGACUAGUUGAAUACAAGUUCUCUUACCUUGGUUAUUCAAAUAAUUGUCGUUCCUUCUACAAACUUCUAAUCCGAUUAAAUCAAAAUUAUUUUCAUAAUAAUGCCUAAUGAAAAAGGGAGAUGACUUUGAGUCUUCAACUUCUCUCCUCAAUUGUUUGAAUUUACGAGUUCUCUUAAACUCGGUCAGUUCGAAACAAAUUUGUCAUUUUUUUACAAACAUUUACAAACUUUAAAUUCCAAAUCAUUUUCAUAACCCCCCAAAACCUUGUACCGAAAAAGGAGAUUGGUCUGAGUUUUUUUUUUCAAAAAUUUUCCUUCUUCUCAAAUGGGCUUGGGGAUUUUAUUGGAAUUUGUCUUAAAUUUCUCCCCUUUCUUUUCGGAGAGAGGCGUUGUCGUCGUUCAACGUUCGUGAUCGCUCCGUAGAUCUGCAUCAAAGGUUUCAAUCGUCACAAGAGGUAACGAUUCUAUCACUGAUCAUGCCCAUUCGUAAGGAUCACUAAAGGAGAAAAAAAUUUAAUUCCGUUGCGUUUUGGAUCGCCCUUCUCCUUCAAUAACAUUCAUCCAAUCUCAACAAACUUAGAGUAUUUGGUUGUGUAAUAUAUGCUCACAUUAGGCAAGAAAAAGUCGAACCUAAAGCUCUAAGAUGCAUGUUCCUUAGGUAUCAUGAAUGAGUCAAUGCCUAUAGAUUAUGGUGCCUAGGACUAGGUCAGAUAAGGUGUAUCAUAAGUCGUGAUGUAGUUUUUAGUGGAGCAGAAAUGGUGUUCAAUAAAACUGAUGAUGUUGGUUGAAAUACGAAUAUCUUUGUAGAGGAGCUGGAACAGGAAGAGAUUCUUGUUAAGGUGGAGCAUAUUGAUGCUAAAUUGCAUAACCCAUAUGAAGUCGAAGAACAAGCAUAAGUUGCUGAUGAAGAUGAGGAGAUUGAUAAUGAAUACCUGCUGGAAAGAGACAGGUUGAGAAAAUCAUCAAGCCACCUUAGAGACUUGGUUAUGCAGAUCUCAUAGAUUUUGCCUUAAUCUCUCAAGUGAGGUUAUUGAUGAAGAACCUAGAGACUAUAAGAAAGUUUUGAGGAAUCGAGAUGACUGUCAUACCCCAAUUUUGUCCGGGCAUUUUAAAUUUUCAUAAAUUCAAUUUAAUUUUCAGUUUACAACAUAUGUACAUCAUAAUAUGCAUUUUAUCAUUAAUAAUACCUGAAAUAUCAGUCAGGAUAAACUUAUUAAAAUUACAGACAAAUCGGUUGAAUCUUUUCUCAAGUACGGACCAAAUCAGCGGGUAAAAAAUUUCAGAAUUAAAAUUACAGACAUCAGUAUUAUUAAUCUACAGUUCAUGUAGUUUAACCUGGUGUGCUCGUUGUAUUUUUUAGCAGCUGUUUCAGUUGUGUUUUGACCCGCCUGAGCCUUUUAACCGAUGCAAACUUAUUCUAGAAUUUGAAGAAACGCUGUAUUUUUUCAAUAAGUAUAUUUUGUGCUGAUCAUUUUAGUGUGUCUGAUUUAAUUUUUUGAGCAAAUUUUUGUCCGAAUUUUAUUCAUUUUUAGUCGUUUUAAUUUUAUUCUUUCGUCAAAAUAGUCAGAUUAAAUAAAUAGAAUUUUCCAUGUUAUUAUUUUAAUUUUAUCAUGAUUAUUUAAAAAGUUGUGAAUUUUAUUUGAUUCAAUUGAUUAAAAUUGUUUUAAAUCGAUUAAGUCAUCUAAAAAAAAGCAUUAUAUGUAUUUUGAUUUAUUUAAUUAGGAUGUGUUUCUUUGAUUCAAUCUGAAUCGUUGAUUCAAAUAAUCAAAGGCCCAUGUUAGCAAUCCAUACUCAUUUCCAAUAUCCAUAUCAUAAAAUAGAAAUUUAAAUAAAUAGUUAAUAGAAAAUUAGAAAAUAUUAAAAAUAUCUCUUUCAAUCCAAUUGCCAGGUGCCACGUGACAAUCUUAUCUUCUUGGAGUGGACGGUUGGCAAAUGAUCCUAUCACUCCUUUCCAACGGUAACAAAAAUAAUAUUAAAAAAGGCGGAGCAUACGUUUCCAAUGGGCCACUACAUAUUAACUGAUGCUCUCUCCUCCAAAGUAGAAAAAAAUGAAAUAGAAAGUGAAAAGGAGAAAGGUGGAUUCACGUUCACGAUAAAAUAAUAAAAGAAGGAAAAAGAAGAAAUCUCUCUCACUCACCUCAGCUAUCACCCCACCUCCACUAAGCAAACCAAACCCUGCCGUUUACCGUUUCAACAUUACAAACCCAUUCACCUUCAUCAACUCACCUUCCGACCGUCACCAACCUCCGCCAUGAUUAUCGCUAUGAUCUCCUCACCACAAACACCCUUCAAUCAACUACUCAUGAGCCUCGCCGCAAUUACCAACUCUGAUAUCGUCUUAAUUCCGGUUUCCACUCUGAUUACGUUUCGAUUAGAUUAAGCUUGUGAUAAGUUUUCUGUUUAGAUCUGUUGCAGGUUCUAGCAUCGAAGUUACUUUUUCCAGGAGAGAAAAACGUUUGAGAAACAAUGCUCCAGUCUGUUGUCUACCGAAGCUACAACGCCAACUCGCGGUGAUUCUCAACAACAAUGAAGCGGAAGCAUCAAACAACAAUGGACUUGUUUUCUCUUUUUUUUUGCUUUAAUGCGAUUGGUUUUGUCUGUUUAUUUUUUGCAGCUCAUUGCCGCUCAUAAUCGUUGCGGGUUCGAUUCAGGAUCUAUAUUCAUUUUGAACUGAUUACGACAUCGUCAGAGUCCAUUCCAUUUCUAAGCCGCACAAGAAUAACCACCGUGUACACAUCUCGAUGGAUUGGCUAUUCUUAGAAUGAGCCUUAACUUUCAAUGUAUGUCUUAAGUUUAAUUAUUAUUAAUGCAUUUCGGUGAUGGAUAAUGUUCAGUAAGAUUUUUGUUUUAUCAUAGUCAUGGUAAAAAGCAAAUUUAAUGCUUAUUUUUUAACAUGUAUGUUAAUUGAUCUUAUAAAGAUUUUUCACAGCUUAAAAAUAUUGUUAUGUUGUGGACUAAUCUAUGUUACUUUGUUUAUUUUAAGCAAUCUAAUAAUUUUAAAAAAGGGUAAAAUACAACUACAUUGUUACUUUUAAUUACAUGCAUGAUGUACUUGGAUUUGUCUUUAACAUGGUAGCAUGAUUUACUAUAUUGCAAAUAAUUGGAUUUUUUAGUUAUAAUAUCAUGUAGAUAUUACAUUAUUACAUUGAGUGGUGUUAGUUGUAAGCUCAAUUGCAUUUUUUUUUUCUGUUGUUGAAAUUGACAUCUCGUUCGACUGCUGGUUACGUUACCUUAUGUAAUCGACAGCUAGGCCUGAAGAGCACGCGUCGCAGCAACCAUCGACUGUUCUCUUUCAUAAUGCAAAUAUCUGUGGUCAAGGAUAUCACGAAUCAACAUGCUGAACCAGCUAUGGCCUCGAAACAAUAAUGGAAAGAGAGGGAUUGCUCCUCGAUCCAGAUCUCCUAUGUCAUACAAUCAACUUCUGCCAUAUCAUGAAUUCAGAAGUUGCGCUGUGGAGGCCUAAGUCUGCUCAGGCCUUGUCAGAACUAAUACGCGAACGCUGGAUUGAUCGCUAUGUCAAUGUGGAUAUCAGCCGGCAAGGCAUUCAAUAUGAAGCUACAAUGCUUUCCUCAAGCUAAGUGCAACAAUUGAUCGAGUCAAAAGGUAGAAAAAGAAAGAAAAAAAACACAUAUCCUUUUUCAGAAGUGGCUGUUGUGCACGUUAACAUCAGUAAUCUGUCAGAUGAGUUCAAAAGAUUCAUAGAGGUAUCUCUAUUUCAGUAGUUCAGACUAGGAAGUACAUGCCUCACACUUGGCAAUCCGUUGGACUGAUUUGUUUCUAUUUUUGCAUAUUGUAGUUUCUGUUGUUGUUAAAGCUGCUUGUGUUUUAAAGCAUUGUUGUUUUUAAAGGUAAUUUUGAGUUGAAAAGAUGAUGCAUAGUUUUAAUUAAUUAUGCUCGCAUUCACUCGAUUUUUCUUCUCUUACUAUCAAAAACAAAAAGAAUACUUAUCAGUGUUCUCCCAUUCAUUCUUUGAUAUCAUAACUUUUGUUUUAGGAAAGAUUUGAGGAGGAUGACUGAAAAGCAAGAAUAACCCAUAUUGCUGACUAUAUUCUUUCGUAUAAAUCCUGCUGAUGAUGUAGACGGCAAUUUUUCAAAUUCCGCAACACUGAGAGAUAAGGAGUUAAUGCGGGCCUGUCAACACUUCGACAUAGAAAUAGGUGUUUCUUUUCGGAUAUACAACCGCUUAUGUUUUACCCGGGGCAGGUAGUGGUUCAGUUAUAUUCUGACCAUUACUGUUGCAGUUCAAAUUAUAAGAUGAAAUAUCAGGUAUGUGGAGUCACUUACAUGUCCAUUGCCUUCGGCACACCCAUACCUAAAGUGUCGAAGAACCUUGAAUCCUAAAGUUUGUUGGUUGUUUCUGCCCGAGACGCCAUGUGAACCUCUUGGCAGUUCAAAUUUUUUUAAAAAAAAGAAUGAAAGAAAAGCGCUCGCUAAGUCGAUACCGCUCAUAAAGGAGACUUAGUGCAAACAAUAAACCUGAGGGGCAUUCCGCGAUGGAGCUAAAAGCUCAAACAAGCGGUCCAUGGCAUAAAUACGUUAGGGAUGCAGACACUUAAAAAAUGCAAGAGGUCACGAAUACCUCCAAUCACAAAUCAAAUUGAAUUCAGUGACUACCUAUAUCCAAAUCAAAAGAUCAGCACGCAACAUCCAUAAGAGCGAAAAUAAGUGAGCUGUGCAUUUUCAAAAAAGAUCUUACACUCUGUUUUUUUGGCUUGAAAUCGCCGUAGAGUAAAUUGUGUGUGCGAAAUUAUUGACAUGUAGGUAUUCGGAGAUGCAUCAUGUAGAGGGUGGUUUAAAAUAAACUUCGGCCUUAUAUCCUUUUUGUUUGCAAUAAAACCAUGUACCCAGUCACGUUACACCCUCACAAAAGAGCAUAAUUUAGGUAGGGUUAUUUCGAGCAUAUUCAGCAAAGUUGCGUAAACUGACUCCUAAAGAUUUGCUAAUAUUUACAUCGAAUUGUGCAUUAUUCCUCUGCUGAGGUCUUCACAGCUUUAAAUUGCUAACUCAGCAUUCACAUUUAGACUCAUGGUCCUACCGCUGUCAUCUACUAUCACACUCAUUCUAGUAUAAAUGAUUAUUUUCAAACUUGCAUGAGUAUCGGCAUUAAAAUUACCAUUUCUGACAACAUUUUAAACUGGCAAGACGUAUUGACGUCAGGGAAAUUUCCAACAAAUAGGAACAAUGAGUAGGAAUUUCGGACAUUGCGUUGGUGCUNNNNNNNNNNNNNNNNNNNNNNNNNUCUCAUAUUUUCUCGUCAAAUAGUCAGAUAAAUAAAAAGAAUUUUCCAUGUUAUUAUUAAUUUAUCAUGAUUAUUUAAAAAUUGUGAAUUUAUUUGAUCAAUUGAUUAAAUGUUUUUAAAUCGAUUAAUCAUCUAAAAAAAAGCAUUAUAUGUAUUUUGAUUUAUUUAUUAGGAUGUGUUCUUUGAUCAAUCUGAAUCGUUGAUUCAAAUAAUCAAAGGCCCAUGUUAGCAAUCCAUACUCAUUUCCAAUACCAAUCAUAAAAUAGAAAAUUAAUAAAAUAGUUAAUAGAAAAUUAAAAAUAUUAAAAAAUAUCUCUUUCAAUCAAUUGCCAUGGUGCCACUGACAACUUAUCUUCUUGUGAGUGCAGGCUUGGCAAAUGAUCCUAUCACUCCUUUCCAACGGUAACAAAAAUAAUAUUAAAAAGGAGGCAUACGUUUCAAUGGGCCACUACAUAUUACAUGAUGCUCUCUCCUCCAAAGUAGAAAAAAAUGAAAUAGAAAGUGAAAAAGGAAAAAGUGGAUUCACGUUCACGAUUAAAAUAAUAAAAGAAGAAAAAGAAAAAUCUCUCUCACUCACCUCUACUAUCACCCCACCUCCACUAACAAACCAAACCCCGCCGUUACCGUUUUCAACAUUACAAACCCAUUCACCUUCAUCAACUCACCUUCCGACCGUCACCAACCUCCGCCAUGAUUAUCGCUAUGAAAUCUCCUCACCCAAAACACCUUUCAAUCAACUUACUCAUAGCCUCGCCGCAAUUACCAACUCUGAUACGUCUCUAAUUCCGGUUUCCACUCUGAUUACUUUCGAUUAAUUAAGCUUGUUGAUAAGUUUUCUGUUUAGAUCUGUUGCAGGUUCUAGCAUCGAAGUUACUUUUUCCAGGAGAGAAAAACGUUUGAAAACAAUGCUCCAUAUCUGUUCUACCGAAGCUACAACGCCAACUCGCGUGUGCUCAACAACAAUGAAGCGGAAGCAUCAAACAACAAUGGAACCUUGUUUCUUCUUUUUUUUUGCUUUAAUGCGAUUGGUUUUGUCUGUUUAUUUUUUGCAGCUCAUUGCCGGCUCAUAAUCGUUGCGGGUUCGAUUCAGGAUCUAAUAUAUUUUGAACUGAUUACGACAUCGUCAGAGUCCAUUCCAUUUCUAACCGCACAAGAAUAACCACCGUGUACACAUCUCAUGGGAAUUGGCUAUCUUUAGAAUGAGCCUUAACUUUCAAUGUAUGUCUUAAGUUUAAUUUUAUUAAUGCAUUUCGUGAGGAUAAUGUUCAGUAAGAUUUUGUUUUAUCAUAGUCAUGGUAAAAAGCAAAUUUAAUGCUUAUUUUUUAACAUGUAUGUUAAUUGAUCUUAUAAAGAUUUUUCACAGCUUAAAAAUAUUGUUAUGUUGUGGACUAACUUAUUCUUUGUUUAUUUUAAGCAAUCUACAUAAUUAAAAAAAGGUAAAUUACAACUACAUUUACUAAUUUACAUGCAUGAUGUACUUGGAUUUGUCUUUAACAGGUAGCAUAUAUUACAUAUUGCAAAUAAUUGGAUUUUAUUUAUUAAAUAUCAUGUAGAUAUUACAUUAUUACAUUGAGUGGUGUUAGUUGUAAGCUCAUGCAUUUUUUUUCUUUGUUGAAAUGAAAUUCACGGAAUUGGCAAGCUAUACUUAGGCCACUAAAAUUUCAAUAUACUGAUUUGUCAUUUCACCAUUGUUCUACCCUCACAUACGAAACUCAAACUCUUUGUCGCUAUGACCAAAUCCGUUUAUGAGCAACAUGUGGCCGAUUCAAUCGAUUUAUUUAUAUUCAAUAUUUCAUAUUAUUCUUUUAAAAUUAAUUAAUUAAAGUUUUGAUUAAAUUAGAUAUUUUAUUAACUAUUUUAAUUACUUAAUUAUUUGAUCUAUAUAAUACUUAAUCAAAACAAAUUUUGAUAAUAAUUUUUAAUUACCUAUUAACGACUUAACUGAAUUUUAAUUAUUAAUUUGUUUAAAAUUGACCGACUUAUUUCCCAUCAUUUUUUCUAUAUCAUUUCAAUAUACAAACUCAAAUUCCAUUUCAUUUCCAAAACCAUCAAAAUUGCAUAUCCAUCAUUCAAUGGUCGAGACCAUUUUUUCAAUACCUUUGUUAAGCAUCGCUUAAAGCAUCGCCAUGAACCUCACAUAGCUUACUCUUCGGCCUUUUCAACAUGAGAUCAUUCGGUUAUAAUUAUCGAUAGGGUAUGAUUUAUACACUAAAAUAAUCCAAUUUAUUCAUUAAAAAACACAUCCAAGCCUCGAUUUUAACAUCGAUAUAUUCUAUUCAAACAAUUAAAGUACUAAUCACAUCUAAACAACACUUCAUUUGAAAAGUGAAAAGGAGGAGUUUUGAGUUUUCAACUCCUCUCCUCGAUUAUUUGAAUACGGAGUUUUCUUAACUCGUGUUAGUCCAAUAUGGUCGUCAUUUCUAAUUCAUUUAAGCACAAAGCAAAUCAAAUCCUUUUACAACAGAACUAAAAGGGAGAUACUUUGAGUCUUCAAUUUUUUGCUCCACGACUAUUGAUACAAGUUCUCUUACCUUGGCUUAUUCAAAUAAUUUCGUUCCUUACAAACUUCUAAUCCAUAAAUCAAAUUAUUUUCAUAAUCAAUGCCUAAAUGAAAAGGAGAUGACUUUGAGUCUUCAACUUCUCUCCUCAAUUGUUUGAAUUACGAGUUCUCUUACUCGGCAGUUCCGAAACAAUUUGUCAUUUUUUACAAACAUACAACUUAUCACAAUUCAUUUUCAUAACCCCCAAAACCUUUACACGAAAAAGAGAUUGGUCUUGAGUUUUUCAAAUUCCUCUUCUCAAGUUGGAUAUGAAUGCUACUCAUUCAUUCAGUACUUGUUCGUUCAUUUAAAAAUACAUCACCAUACCCAACCUAUUUCUAAAUCACUCAAUGGGAAAAAAACUGUCUAUAGUCUGUAUUCCCUUCCAAUAUUGGAUACAUUGUCUUACUCUUAUUCGGAUAUCAUCAUUCAUCAAAUACUAUAAUAUCAUUAAAUCCUUUUACAAUAAGAUAAAAAAGAAACAGGUCUAGAGCUCUUCUAGUCCCUUUUCCCGACUUUAGAUACGAUGUCUUACUCGACUAUCCAAGGAAUUGGUCUUCCAACUAAAAACAUCUCAACCAAACCAAAAAUAUCCAACAUAUUAUUCAACCUCACCCUUGAUCAAAAAACUUUUUCAAAAAAAACGACAUUUAAUCCUUUAAUACCACAACAAACUAAUGCUUAAAGCCUCCCACGAGUAGACAACCAACGUUAGCCUUUAGAUCGAUCUAAACAUUCGUUCAUUAAAAGACACCAAACCAAACCGUAGUUCCCGAACACGAAUCUCUUGAUUUCCUAUAUAUCCAUAGGAACUAGGCACAAUUGUUGUAUUUCGCCGUGAGCACAUUAUAAAAAUAAAACCUCCCCUUUCCCUUUCUGAGUCACAUCCAUUUCAUUUUUUAAUAAAUUAUAACCUAAAGAUAACCAAACAAAACAUUGAAAUUAAUACCCGUAAACACAAAUUAGAACUAAAAAGUUCGCUUGAGUACAACGCGUAAGGUGCUAAUACCUUUCUCUUACGUAAUCCACUCCCGACCCGAAUAUGCGUUGCAUGACCAUUAUUCUAUUUCAAUUUUUAUCGAUUUCCAUAUCCUUCAUUGAUAAAUUUAAAUCGUGCGAUCUUCGAACACUAUUUUUCCGCGACCAUCACAGGAAAUCGUAUUUCGAGAUCACAGAUGGCACUCUGCUGGAUACCUCCAACAAAGAGUAGCCUAGUAUAGUUCCAUUUCAUAUUGGGUGGUUAAUCUGUUUAGUCUUUAUCUGUUAUUUAUUUUUUAUUCUGCUAUUAUUAUUCUGUCAUAAUUAUUAUAUUGUGACUUAUUGACUAUGUCUUAUUUGGGGUUCUCUGGUUGGUGAUACUUGGUGAGAUAGGCUCUCCACCCGAGUCUGAGAAAAAACAUAAGAUUAAGUUGGUGGUUGCAUAGUGGGCGCCCGCAAGGAGUUUUCCUUGUUGGGAAGAAACGAAGACCCCGCCUAGAGGAGAUUCUCUUGAGAUAUUAUUGUCCGACGAGUUUUCGUCAUGACGAUAGUAUUCUCAAGUUGGAUCAAUGACUCUAGGGACCUUUUAACCCAUUAUAUCCGGCGGUUAUGUAGUAUUAACCUACAAAGUUUCAGACUUGUUGGGUUAAUACGAAAGCCCCAAUCAGAUGAGAUCCCUUGGACGUAUUAUUACCUGACAGUAAUAUUUCCAACCUCGAUCUAUGACUCUGAGAACCUUUUUAGAACCCUGGACUCGAGAGUCGUGUAGUAGAAUCCUCAUGGAGUUUUCCUUGUUGGGAUAAUACAAAGCCCUCACCUAGACGAGAUCUUCUUAAGGAUACUAUUGUCUGACGAGUCUUCGUCACGGCAGUAACGUCCUCAAGAAAUAUCCAUGACUCUGGGAACCUACCAACUGUAGAGCCUACCCAUGGGGUUCCAUUAUUCAGAGAUACCCGUCGUUCACCCGUUAUUCUGAUCUAUCUAAAAACACUUUGAACCUGUGAUCCUGAACAUGUCACUACACUCAUACACAUAUCAUUGCAUCUGCAAUCGUCAUGCAUUGCAUAUCAUUUUUCACCAAAAAAUAUAAAUACAAAAAAAAAACUCAUUCAUCCUUCAUCCAUAACCUACAGUUGAUUUCCCGACACUUAUAUCAGACUGAAAGAAGCUCUUGAAAAACCAUGGAUCCAUUGGAGCAAAAUCACAUUGCAUUAAGAGGAGAUGUUGACUUGAUGAAAAACCAGAUAGACCAACUUGUGGAGGCUAUGAUAGCUUUAGAAAAGAGGGAGGACAACAUUCAGCAGACUACAGUCGUAGAGAAUGUUAUUCUAGCUCUAGUAAAUGGUCUUACCCAACCUCAGCUUGUGCAAACCCCAGUUGAUAACUCCACUGUACAAGAACGUCAUGUUGUUCAAGAUUCCUCACGUCAUGAUGCUGUUGAGUAUCACAGUUUUGCAUUCUCCAUGCCAGAUUCCUAUGGAACAAGCCUAGUGGUUAAUGCUAAACAACCACAAGAUGAUGAGAUUGCUAAAAGAUGUUGCAUGCUAGAGAAAAGACUCAAGACCAUAGAAGGACAAGACACUCUUAAACUGAAUGCUUUAGACAUGUGUUUGGUACCUGGCCUGGUUAUACCCGCAGAAUUCAAGCAACCAUGGACUGUUCCUCAUACAAAUCAAAGAUCUCGUGGUCAAGGAUAUCAUAAUCAACUACUGAACCAGCAUAAGCCUCGAAACAAUCUGGAAAGAAGGAAUGCUCCUCUCGAUCUAAUUCCUAUGUCAUACAGUCAACUUUUGCCAUAUCUGAUUCAAAGCUCACUGGUGGAGCCCAAGUCUCUCAGGCCAUUGUCAGAACCAUACCCACCUGGAUAUGAUCCUGAUGUGCAAUGUGGAUAUCAUGCCGGAACAAUAGGGCAUUCAACUGAAAACGCAAUCUUUCUAAGGCUAAAUUGCAACCAAUUGAUCGACCAAAAAGUAUACAUAUCCUUUUCAAAGAAGCUGUUGUGCACGUUAAUCUCCUCGUCAGAAUGCAGUUUCAAAAUUUAGUAGAGUAUUCUUCUCUGCCAGUAGUUCAGACAGGAAGACAUCCUCAACACUGGCAAUCGUUGGACUGAUUUGUUUCUAUUUUUGCAUUUGUAGUUUCUUUGUUGUUAAAAGCUGCUUGUGUUUAAACAUUGUUUGUUUUUAAUGGUAAUAUUAAUGAAGUAAUGAUGCAUGUUUUGAAUUAAUCAUCUCGCAUUCGCUCAUUUUUCUUCUCUUAUAUCAAAAACAAAAAUACAUCACUGUUUCACCCAUUCGCUUUUCUUUAUCAUAACCUUUGUUUUAGCAAAGAUUUGAGGGAGGAUGACGAAAACAAGUUACCCAUAAUUGCCGACUAUAUGCUUUCGGAUAAAAUCCCGCUGAUGAUGUACAGGCAUUGUUUCAAAUUCCCAAACACUGGAGAGAUAAGGAGUUAAUCCCUAGUCAACCACUUCGAGCCUGAAGUAGGAGUUUCUUUCGGAUCUUAAAAACCUUACACUAAACCUGGGGCAGGGUAGUGUUCAGUUAAUCUGACUAUGCAUUCAAAUCACAAGAUGAAAUAUCCAGUAUGUGGAUCAACUACAUGACAUUCUUCGCACACAUCCUAAAGUGUCGAAGGAACCUUGUUCACAAGAUGAAAUAUCCAGUAUGUGGAUCAACUACAUGACAUUCUUCGCACACAUCCUAAAGUGUCGAAGGAACCUUGAAAAAUCAAAAAGUUAUGACGGUUGUUCUUCAAUGACCAAUGACUUGGCAAUCACAUUCUAAAAAAGGGAAUCAAUAAAAAGCCCGCUAAGUCGAUACCCCAAAAGGAGACUUAUGAAAAAACCGGGGCAAUCCCGAUGGACUAAAGCUUCAAAAAGCGGUCCAUGCAAAAGUUAGGGAUCAAAACAAAAAUCAAAGGAGGUCACAGAAACCCUCAACAAAAUAAAAACAAGAUUUAGUGACCACCAUAUCAAGAAUCAAAGGGUCACCAAUAUCCAUGAAGAACAAAAUAAAGUGUCUGUCAUUUCAAGAGAUCUUACACCUGCAAACUCUCUUAAAAGUUGAAUGUGUAUGGCGAAUUAACUGAGCAUAGGACUGGAGUUUAUCAAGAAGAAGGGUGGGUACAUAAACAAUUUUGAGCCUCAUAUCCUUUGUUUCGAUAACCGUGAACCAAGCCACGUUACAACCCUUAAAAGACCUAAUUGAAGUAGGGUUUAUUCCGAAAGCAUACUACAUCAAGGUUGCGUAAACUGACUCCUAAAAAUUUGCUAAUCUUUUACUUUGGUACAAUCUUCUUGUUGUAUCCUUCGCAUUGUUAAAUCAUCAUUGGGUUUGGAUUAAAAUGGUCCACUCGUCACACAUUAUCACAUCAUUCAAAUAAAUUCUUUUCAAAACUUGCAUGAGUAUCGCAUUAAAAUUACCAUUUCUGAACAAGCAAUUUUAACUGCAAGUCAGUACUUGACGUCAGGGAAAUUCCAACAAUAAGGAACAAUUAGAGGAACUUGGGCAUUCGUUGGUGCUAACCCGAAUCAAGACUACCUCAUAACCCACGAAUCAGGUGCAUGCCACCCAAAACAUCAAGUUGAUCAUAGGAAAAUUACUCCAAGAAUUGGUCAGUCUUAAACAGUCUCCAACAUCUGUUAAUAAAUGUGCAAAUCAUUUCAAGAAUUAGUUGAUCCAGAGCAAAUUAUCUCAGGACUCUAUUAACUAGGGGCAGAUCACCUAGAGGUUCUGUUGGCCAGGGGCAGACCCCUUCAAUGUUCAGUUAGGGUGAGUUAAGUCGCUUCAACGCUCAUACCGGGGCAAGCUACCUCAAGAGUACAGAAAAGUCAACCGCUCCAAGAGUCGGUUAACCAAGGAUAAAUCCUUUCAUGGAUCAAAAUUCUGGGGCAAUCCAUCUCCAAAUUAUGGUACAAUUGCUUUCAAAAUCCUUUCGAGGUAAACAUUUUGCAUAGACCCAUCACAUUGGGGCAAGAUGAGCCAUACAGGAGCAAGUCAUCUCCCUGACUUGAAGCUGUUCAAGCGAGAGCUUUUUCACACGUCAUCAACUGCAGAGUUCAAGAUGAGUGUCGGGGAAUCAUGCUAUCAUCCCAUAAAACAGCCAUCUGGCAGACAGAAGCCUUUCUGCAAAGAACCUUCUCUUCCAAUACCCACGCAGGGGCAUUUUGAAAACCUUCAAAUCAUUGCAUAAAGCAUCCUCAUGCAUUAGUCAUGUCACUUUGCUCUAAGAUAAAACCAUGCAUAUCAUAAAAUUCAUGGGGUCUAACCCCAUAACAUGAACCUGGCAUCAAAAAGCCUUGAAACACAAAAUCUGACACCAAUGCCCAACAUCGCUUGACCAUUUCAAAGUCCAGUUCUCGUCUGGCAAUUUAUUUCAAAGUCCAGUUCCCGUUUGGCAACUUAUUUCAAAAGCCCAGUUCCCGUCUGGAAAACCUUUUUCAAAAAAAACAGUUCCCGUCUGGCAAUUUAUUUCAAAGCCCAGUUCCCGUCUGGCAAUUUAUUUCGAAGUCCAGUUCUCGUCUGGCAACUUAUUCCAAAGUCCAGUUCCCGUCUGGCAAACUAUAUCAAAAAUCAGUUCUUGUACGACAAAUCAUUUGCCAAAUACUAGUUCUCGUCUGAUAAAUUAUCUCUUAAUACCAGUUCUCGUCUGGUAAAUUAUCUCUUAAUACCAGUUCUUGUCUGGUAAGUUAUCUAUUAAUACCAUUUCUCGUCUGGUAAAUUAUCUCUUAAUAUCAGUUCUCGUCUGGUAAAUUAUCUCUUAAAUACCAAUUCUCGUCUGAUAGUUAAUUAUUUUCACUAGUUCUCGUCUGGUAGCCUACUUUAAAAAUUAGUUCCUGUUUGACAAACAAAAACAAAUUCAGUCCUAUCUGACAUUUCAAUUAUUUUCACGAGUUCACGUCUGGUAACAUAUCCUUCAAGUGUUGUCCUCAUCUGGCAGUUCAAUCUCCUUCACCAGUUCUCAUUUGGCAGUUCCCAUUCUAAGUCCACACUAUUGGCAUCAAACCGCAAAGCAAAAAUGUCUUAACUAGGGGCAUGUCCAAAUACCCAUUUGCAUUCUAACAUGCAUCAUGUAAAUCAAUCAUACAUGGUUUUCCUACCAAACAGAAAAUUCAAAAAAACACAGUCAUAUCAAUCAUCAGCAUACUCAUGCAUAACACUCCCACAAAAUGGGAAUUUCAAUAAAAAAAUAAAAAUCAUUUGCAUUCCUACAUGCACAACCAAAUAUCCCCAGCAAUUGCAUACUUGCAUGCAUCUCAUACACCACCCCAUACAUGGUAUUCCCACCUAAAGUGGGACAUCAUACAAAAAUCAAAAGUAAAAUGUCAGGACCCAAGGUCAUUCAUGUAUAUCUUGGAUAUUCCUCAUUCCAAAUGAAGUUAUUACCCUGCAUAUGCUCGUGGGAUUAUAUCUCAGUAAAUCAUUUUUUCGACUUUAUGAUUAAAAAUGAUAUUUCCAACAUUUUUCUUUACAAUCAUUGCUCCCCAAGCAGAGGUUACCCUAAAAAGUCUCUUAUGAGCUUUUCCCCUGCAGAGCAUUUCUAGUAAAUCUCCCUCAAAAGGAGUAUUUUCUUAAAAAUUCCCCCAACAGACGAAUGUUCGAGAUACUGCUUCAUUUAUCUGAAGAAUCUCAUUUUUCUGUUUGAGAUACUGCUCUAAUAUCCUCGGAGAGUCUUAGAUUCAAUUAAAGUAUUUUUCCCUUGCUGGAAUAUUUUAAUUCUAUCAUAUAAGAUGUUGUUUUGACUCGAUACAGAGAAUCUCAUUUUUACUGUUUGAGAUACUGCUUCAUCAAUAUGAAGAGUCUCAUUUCAGAUUCUUUUAGAGAUACUGCUCUAAUAUCCUCGGAGAGUCUUAGAUUCGGUUAAGGUAUCUUUCCCUUGCUGGAAUAUCUUAAUUCUAUCAUAUAAGAUGCUGCUUCGACUCGAUACAGAGAGUCUCAUUUUUGCUGUUUGAGAUACUGCUUCAUCAAUAUGGAGAAUCUCAUUUCAGAUUUCUAGUCUAUGACGAGAUUCAUAGGAGCCUCUGUCUUAGAUUCAAUUAAGGUAUCAUUCCCUUGUUCGGAAUAUCUUAAUUCUAUCAUAUAAGAUGCUGCUUCGACUCGAUACAGAGAAUCUCAUUUUUACUAUUUGAGAUACUGCUUCAUCAACAUGAAGAGUCUCAUUUCAGAUUUUUUUAGAGAUACUGCUCUAAUAUCCUCGGAGAGUCUUAGAUUCAAUUAAAGUAUUUUUCCCUUGCUGAAAUAUUUUAAUUCUAUCAUAUGAGAUGCUGCUUCGACUCGAUACAGAGAAUCUCAUUUUUACUGUUGAAAUGCUGCUUCAUCAAUAUGAAGAGUCUCAUGCCAGAUUUUCUUUAUAUUGCUCUAGCAUCCUGGAAAACUCUUGAGAUUUAGCUAGGAAUGUCAUUCUAUUACUAACAUAUCUCGACCAUGACGUCCAAGAUACUGUUCUGACGACUCCCAGAAAGUCUUGGCUGUUCCAUUUUACUUUAGGAUAACGUCUCUCACUAUUUCUCACUGCAUUUUCUUCCUUGCAUUUCAAAGGACAAAAUUUGGGUCUUUUCGUAUUUAAUUAUCUUCCACUACGAAUGUAUGAAGACUCUUGUCGUUCUUACCUUCUAGUUCAAGAUAAUGAAAUAGGGGCAACUGUCAUACCCCAAUUUUGUCCGGGCAUUUUAAAUUUUCAUAAAUUCAAUUUAAUUUUCAGUUUACAACAUAUGUACAUCAUAAUAUGCAUUUUAUCAUUAAUAAUACCUGAAAUAUCAGUCAGGAUAAACUUAUUAAAAAUACAGACAAAUCGGUUGAAUCUUUUCUCAAGUACGGACCAAAUCAGCGGGUAAAAAAUUUCAGAAUUAAAAUUACAGACAUCAGUAUUAUUAAUCUACAGUUCAUGUAGUUUAACCUGGUGUGCUCGUUGUAUUUUUCAGCAGCUGUUUCAGUUGUGUUUUGACCCGCCUGAGCCUUUUAACCGAUGCAAACUUAUUCUAGAAUUUGAAGAAACGCUGUAUUUUUUCAAUAAGUAUAUUUUGUGCUGAUCAUUUUAGUGUGUCUGAUUUAAUUUUUCGAGCAAAUUUUUGUCCGAAUUUUAUUCAUUUUUAGUCGUUUUAAUUUUAUUCUUUCGUCAAAAUAGUCAGAUUAAAUAAAUAGAAUUUUUCAUGUUAUUAUUUUAAUUUUAUCAUGAUUAUUUAAAAAGUUGUGAAUUUUAUUUGAUUCAAUUGAUUAAAAUUGUUUUAAAUCGAUUAAGUCAUCUAAAAAAAGGCAUUAUAUGUAUUUUGAUUUAUUUAAUUAGGAUGUGUUUCUUUGAUUCAAUCUGAAUCGUUGAUUCAAAUUAAUCAAAGGCCCAUGUUAGCAAUCCAUACUCAUUUCCAAUAUCCAAUCAUAAAAUAGAAAUUUAAAUAAAUAGUUAAAUAGAAAAUUAGAAAAUAUUAAAAAAUAUCUCUUUCAAUCCAAUUGCCAGGUGCCACGUGACAAUCUUAUCUUCUUGUGAAUGGUACAGGCUUGGCAAAUGGUCCUAUCACUCCUUUCCAACGGUAACAAAAAUAAUAUUAAAAAAGGGAGGCAUACGUUUCCAUGGGCCACUUACAUAUUAACUGAUGCUCUCUCCUCCAAAGAUAGAAAAAAAUGAAAUAGAAAGUGAAAAGGAGAAAGGUGGAUUCACGUUCACGAUAAAAUAAUAAAAGAAGGAAAAAGAAGAAAUCUCUCUCACUCACCUCACUAUCACCCACCUCCACUAACAAACCAAACCCUCGCCGUUUACCGUUUUCAACAUUACAAACCCAUUCACCUUCAUCAACUCACCUUCCGACCGUCACCAACCUCCGCCAUGAUUAUCGCUAUGAAAUCUCCUCACCCAAACACACCUUUCAUCAACUACUCAUAGCCUCGCCGCAAUUACCAACUCUGAUACGUCUUAAUUCCGGUUUCCACUCUGAUUACGUUUCGAUUAGAUUAAGCUUGUGAUAAGUUUUCUGUUUAGAUCUGUUGCAGGUUCUAGCAUCGAAGUUACUUUUUCCAGGAGAAGAAAAACGUUUGAGAAACAAUGCUCCAGAUCUGUUUCUACCGAAGCUACAACGCCAACUCGGCGGUGAUUCUCAACAACAAUGAAGCGGAAGCAUCAAACAACAAUGGAACCUUGUUUUCUUCCUUUUUUUUUUUGCUUUAAUGCGAUUGGGUUUUUGUCUGUUUGAUUUUUUUGCAGCUCAUUGCCGCUCAUAAUCGUUGCGGGUUCGAUUCAGGAUCUAUAUUCAAUUUUGAACUGAUUACGACAUCGUCAGAGUCCAUUCCAUUUCUAACCGCACAAGAAUAACCACCGUGUACACAUCUCAUGGG